Molecule: long non-coding RNA, 169778 nt
Filed under: Prunus persica (peach)
Lineage: Eukaryota; Viridiplantae; Streptophyta; Magnoliopsida; Rosales; Rosaceae
Description: long non-coding RNA (PPER_LNC003861)
Source: RNAcentral
UUUUUUUUUUUUUUUGGUAUUCAACGUUCUGCAAUUUGAAAGAUGUCGUUAAUAUCAAUAACAAUAAGUACACAACCUGUAAAAAAAUGAGGAAAUUCAAUAUGCAGCCGCAACCAAAAAAAAAAUAUAUUUAUAUUCCAAAAUUGAACAAAGAAAGUUCAGAAAUUGUGAGUGUCAAGGACCAUGUGUCCUAAUUGAACAAUAACCAAGGAUCCUUUAGUUACCCCCACAUUAGUCACCGAAUGUCACCAAAUAAUGGUAAUUGUUGCCACGUUUUUUUGUAGUGAUUGCUUGUUCAUUUUACUUAGUAGUGUUUAUCAAGAGAGAUUGAAACUUGUAAAAUUAUCAGGGUUUUUUUUGUUCUGUGUUUGUGGGAUUAGGAUUUGGUAUGAUUGGCCAUGUAGUUUGGUAUUCUUUUAAUUUUAACUCUCUCAUUCUUGUGCAGAGUUAGUUAGUCCCUUGUAAAUUCUUCAAAAAGUCAGUGAGUGAGUGAGUGAGUGAUUGGUGGUAUCAUAUUGGGUUUCCAAUUUUGUUGUUGCCCUGCCUUUCUUGAUAGACAAAUAAUGAAACCACGACUAAUUUUUGCAUGUUGUGGGUAUACCACGUGGCUAAUGUACCAUCCAAUACACAUGGAACAUGUGGAAAUAUUUUAUUUUUAUGUCCUAUGUGUAUUGGACAAUAUUUCCACGUGUCUCUGAAACCACAUGAUGAGUCGUUAUGAAUAUUCUUGAUGAUAUCAUAUAUGGGUUUCCAUUCGUUUUUGUUUAGCAACAGUUUGAACAAGGAAUACUUCUUUUGUUCUGGUUCCAGAUUUUCAGGCUGUAAAUAAAUAAUGCGCACUUUGUUUCCAGUUGAAUAAAGUUGUUCUUGUUGGGCAGGGUUUUGAGGAGAGAUCCUUGUGGGAUUUAUUUAAUUCAAAAGGUUUGCUUGGCUUUGAGAUCACAUCCUCAUACCAUUACAUCAAAUUAGUCAUAAAAAUUGAAGCCUAAAAAAGUUACUUCCCUUCCCUUCCCUUCGCCCAUAUAAAGUCUAUUGGAAUAGGAAGCAAGAGAUUUCAGGCGUUUUGGAAUUUGUUUGUGAGCCUUUAUUUUUCUCACCAAACACUGCGGAUCCAAUUCAAUGUAACGACAUUCGUAAUGUUGUUCAAUUCUUGUUGCUGUUGACCAUCAUGAAUGGAUCCAACCCAAUAAGAAAGUUGUGUGUCAUGCUAGCACCAACCGAGUUCAGCAUUCCAUUGUGUAAGCAAAGCGAACAUCCAUGGAAGCAAUUAAUUGGAAACCUCUUGUUGAUGUCUUUUUCUGCCAGGGGUGUAGAUUGUGCAACACCAAUGGCCCGAGUGUGUCUGUACGCUGACACCACUAAUUUUGACAGUGAAUGAACCUUUUAAUGAUCGAAUUGAAAGUUGGAUCGGACUUGAAAGAGAGCAACGGGCCCGACCCAUGUUGGUGGGUGAAAAUCCGGCUACUUCUCUGGGUUCUGAGUUGUUGGAUUGCUUAGGCGUGCCGCUAUUGGAAUCGAAGGCGACCCAAUAGGAAUGUGUGUAUUUGCAUGAUUAUGUGUUGGAUAUGUGUUGAUCUCGACUUCUAAUCGAACUAUUGUGUUCCAAGAGGGUACUAGCUCGGAUUAGUUCUUUUUUAUGCCUCAAUUAAGAGGACUUCAAGGGGUCGUUUGGUACACAGGCUUGGACUAAAUUUAGUACCAUGUUUGUUUCAUUUAAUUCUAGUCUUAGAUGGGAUUGCUAAUACCGGGCCCACCAAAAACACCUCCUUAUGAGGGGACUACUAAUCCCAUGUAGAAAGGGAGGAUUAGCUAGUCCUAUGUUUACCAGUGUAUGAGAUGCAUACAUUAUAUUGUAAUACUAAUAACAUAUAUUACUAUUAUUAUUAUUACAUACACAUAUACUAUAAUGUACAUAUAUACAUGUAUAUACACAUAUACAAGUAUAUAUAUACACAUAUAUACAUAUAUAAUAUAUAUAAAUACAUAUAGAUAUAUACACAUAUAUUAUUAUUAUAAUAUACUCAUAUACACAUACAUAUUAAUAUUAUAAUAAUAGCAUACAUGUAUACAUGUAUAUAUGUAAUAUAUAUUAUAUUAUAUAUUAUGUACAUAUAUACAUGUAUAUACAUGUAUAUAUAUAAACACAUAUAUACAUAUAUAAUAUAUAAAUACAUAUAGAUAUAUACACGUAUAUUAUUAUUAUAAUAAUAGCAUACAUGUAUAUAUGUAAUAUAUAUAUAUAUAUUAUUAUAAUACAUAUAUAUAAGUAUAUAUACAUAUAUGUGUAUAUACUAUACCCAUGUAUGUAUUAUAAUAUACAUAUACACACGUAUAUACACAUAUACAUUAUAUAUUUAUACUAUAUGUAUAUAUAUUAUAAUAUACAUAUAUACACGUAUAUACAUAUAUAUUAUUAUUAUAACAUACCCAUAUAUAUUAUCUAUUAUAAUAUACAUAUGUAUAUGUAUAUGUAUUAUACCCAUGUAUAUAUUAUAAUAUACAGAUACACCUAUAUACACAUAUAUUAUAUACAUGUAUAUACGUAUAUAUGUAUAUUAUAAUAUAUAAUAUAUAUACAUUUAUUAUACAUAUAUUAUAUAUACAUAUGUAUUUUAUAAUAUAUAUAUAUAUAAUAUAUAUGUAUAUAUACAUACAUAUAUACACGUAUAUACAUGUAUAUUAUUAUUAUUAUUAUAACAUACCCAUAUAUAUAUAUAUUAUAUAUUAUAAUAUACAUACAUAUAUAUAAAUAUAUGUAUAUGUAUUAUACCCAUGUAUAUUAUAAUAUACAUAUAUACACCUAUAUACACUUAUAUAUAUGUAUGUACGUUUAUAUUAUUUAAAAUAUAUAAUAUUAUUAUAAUAUACUUAUAUACAUGUAUAUACAUAGAUAUAUUAUAUGUAUGUAUAUAUGCAUAUAUAUUAUAAAAUACAUAUAUACAUAUAUAUAGAUAUUUUUGAAAAAAUAAAAAAAUUAUAGUCCUAGUCCAAGCAUACACCAAACGCAGGAUAAGUGUUAUUCAACUUAGACCAAGCCAAGUCAAGCCAAGCCAGUCCCUAAGCAUAGUUCAUGCCAAGACAGUCCUGUGUACCAAACGAGCCCCAAUAUUCUUUCACUUGUGCGUUGACGGUAUGAUAGGCACAUGACGUACCUAAUCCAACAGAAGAACCAUAUUUUGGACAGAGAAUACCUUAAUUGGGCUUAAUGACCUUGAUUGGGCAAAAAAACCUUUACGGUAGGCUCGUUUGUGCUAAUAUCAGGUCUGAUAGUAUUAAUCAGACCUUAAUUACCUUUUAUCGGGCAGUGUAUAUUUUGAUGAGACAAGAAGAAAACCCUUGAUCGAUCAAGACGAAAGCCCAGAUUAGGCUAAGUAUUGUUUGUCGGGCAAGACGAAAGCCCAGCUGAGCUAGUCUUCUUACUGUCGUUACAUUAUUGUUUGCAUGCACAACUUGACUUGCUUUUGGGUAUCCUGAUCCUAUAAUAUAAAAACAUCUCACAUCCUUUUCUUUCCUCUUUUAAUCUUAGCCGUCUGAUUUUGUUAAAAUAAAUUCAAUGGCUAACAAUAUAAUUGCUUUUUCACUUAAAACAAAAAAAAAUAUAUUGAAAAUGACAUAUCAUACCGUCAUGCCGUCUGAGUUUAAUGCAAAGCCAAAGAAAACGAGUUUAAACUCACAAAUAAUAACAGAAGUCCUCACAACAAUUUGUCUUUGCCAGCAGCAGCAGCAGCAGUUCCACCUCCACGUCGUUCAUAGAAAAACAUUACAUGUACAGAAUAACAUUUAAAAUUCACCAACUUUGGAUCUCCUAUUUUGAUAUUCCCCCGAGACUUGCAUGUAAAAAAUUGAGCAUGCUGUUACUCCAAGUAAUUUAUUUGCAUUCAAUAUUAUUGGUUUCAAAUACAAAUACAUUUUUUUUGGGUAAUUCAAAAUGAUGUCCAUUAUCUCCCAUUUGGAUCAUUAAUCUCAGAAAAGAUCGUCUCAGAUAUACAUUGGAUGGAUUCAUCUGUAGCGCAACCUGGCUUGGAACUUCUAAGUUCGGCAUCGGCACUAUCAUUGACGAAGGCAACCUCAUUGUUCCUUUCAAUGCAGUUGCGGUGGAGCUGCAAUGCAAGCUCAAGCGCCCUCACAACAUCAUUCAUUGACGGCCGUUCAAUUCCACUAUCAUUCAUGCAACUCAUUGCAAUCUCAACAAACUGAUUCAGACACUGAAUUUCAAUCUUACCCCUUAUGCUUGGAUCAAUAAUUUGAUCAAGUUCCCCGUCGCGAUGACAAUUCCUGGCCCACUCAGCCAAGUUCAUUUGCCUCAGCUCCACCGUAUGCAUCACAGCCGGCCUUACACACAGUACUUCACACAAUACUACACCAAACGAAUAAACGUCCGACUUCUCGGUUAGCCGUUGACGUCGGUAGUAUUCCGGGUCCAAAUAUCCGAAACUACCUUCCACCAUUGUACUAAUGUGAGUCUUGGACGUGUUGGUAGUGCCCAUUUUUGACAAUCCAAAGUCCGAUACUUUGGCCACCCAUUUCUCAUCUAAUAAAAUGUUUGUGCUCUUCACGUCCCGGUGGAUGAUGGUGCCCUUGGCACCGGUAUGAAGGUAGCUCAACCCUCGUGCCGCGCCAAUACAAAUUUGAAGCCGUUGCUCCCAAGAAAGAGGCGGGUUAUCCUUGUGGUAGAGAUGGUCGGCGAGGGUCCCACGUGCCAUGUAAUCGUACACCAAGAUCAUCUCAUUGUCGUCUGUACAAUAUCCAAUGAGAGACACUAAAUGGCGGUGGCGGAGCUGGGACAGCAACUCGAUUUCCGUCUUGAACUCAUGGGCUCCCUGUGAUGACUCGGGUUUCAGCCGUUUGAUAGCUACAGGGGUUGGCCCACCAUCGUCGAUAUAGCCUUUGUACACGUUCCCAAACCCGCCAACUCCAAUGAUGAAACUAUCAUUGAAGUUUUGGGUGGCGGCUUUGAUCUCAGCCAGUGGAAAGUAACGACAUAAAUAAGGAGGUAAAGAUGACCCGCGAGUCUCUGUUGACUUGGUUGGCCCGUGGAUGGAGGAGACAAAGGACUUGGCUUUCAGUCGUCGCCUGAAAAUCAGGAAUCCAAACAGGACAGAGAACACAAGUAGGCCGGAAGCUACACCGGCAGCAAUGGCAAGUAUACGAUUGGACUUGGUGUUGUGUUUUACUGAACUUGACGGCGUCAAAUCGGUGGGUCCAGCAAAAUUGCCAUUUAAGUCACUUAGCUUGAAGAUUUCGAGCCCAUUCAAGAUUCCAGCAUUUGGAUUUGCUUGCAGUGCGAGAGAGAGGUUAACUUUCUUCCGGGUUCCACCAGGGUCGGUAGGCAUGGAGACCAAAUAGUCUUUGUACACUGGGCUCUCAUUUCCACCACUCCAUUCAAUUAUGUCGGCUCCUUGUCCUGCGGUUAGAUUGACCAUUUGGAUUGUAAAAAUUCGGUCUCUAACCUUGGUGAUUUUUGGUUGAAACUCACAAAAAUGAAGCCUAACCAGGUAUGAAAACUCGGAAUCUACAGGAAAUUGCCAGAUGAGAUUAAAGCUCUUGUUUAUGUUGGCGUCCUCACCCAUUGACCGACCGGUUUGGUAAACUUCUUUUGGCGCAGUGUACUUUGCAAUUGUGUUAAAGUGGAGUUCUAUACUAGUAUUUUGUUGCAGAAGGCGGCUCAAACUUAAACUUGAAGUGUCCAAGUACCUUUUCUCCUCAUCAUCACUAUCCCAUUUGCGGUACAUGCCAGUAUCUUUCUUGGGAAGAAUUAAGACUCCCCCGACAUUCAAUCGGUAGACCAUCUCUAGAACAAUCGUGUUUUCAAUGCGGAAGUUGAUUUGGUUGCCAACAAACGCAACCCCGUCGCUGUACGGUGGAGUGUAGUAAAGAUUCCUAGGCAUGGAUACAAUUUCAAUGCCGUUGAUAAAGGCAUGCGCAUCUCGGCUUGCCCGGCUUGGAGUGAAUGUGAUGUUCAAACUCUUUUCUCCCUCCUCAAUGCUUACACAGAAUUCUCUGUAUAUCGUCUCCAUCCCAGAAGCAUCGGCAGUGAGAGAAGUGUUGAAGUUGUGGAGAAGGGUAAAGCCACCAGCUUUGACGGAGAAGACUGCAUUGGAGCGGUGGAAGUCGACACCAUAUGAAACAGGGUAGAAAUACAGACGAAUGAACUUUUGGCCAGUGGUGAGGUUAAAUGUGUAUGUAAAUUCAGAGCGAGACAGCCGCGAUCUGUUGUACGGCACAGCUCUGCUGGCAAAGGAGGACGACGGAGGUGCGUCUCUUACGAGGGAUGUGUAACUUGCAGCUUGGUGUACUUCAACGGGUGAAAACUCUGAAUUUAUGUCUCCAGUCCAAUUUCGGCCGUCAUCCAGAGUGACCAGCUGGCCAGAAUAGCCGCAUUGAACGGUGAUAGCAUUGACCGGAAUGUAUGGACGUGGGUCGGGGUUUGGUCCGGCAAGAUUUCCAUUUGUAUCAUUGAGUUUGAAGAGUUCAAGGCCGUUCAAGAGUACAUCAUUGUAUUUAGUCAUCCAAUCUCUUGGGUUUGCUUGCAGUGCAAGAAAGAGCUUAACUUUCUUCUGAUCAGGGCCUGCAGGCAUGAACACGACGUAAUCCCUGUAGAUUGGUAUCCCAUUUCCACCACUCCACACGAUUAAGUCGGCUUGUGGCUCAGCAAGUUGGUUCUCCACAUAGAUUAGAAACGAUCGGUCCCCGGGGUCCAUAAUUUCAGGCUCAAACUCACAGAAAUGAAGCCUUAGCAGGUAAAGAAACAUGGGAUCUACGGGAAAUUCCCAGGUCAAUUUGUAGCUCUUGUUUCGGGUGUGGUUGCUGCCCAUGGACCGGCCCGUUCGGUAAACUACUUGUGGAGCACAGUACUCUGGUAUUUUCACAAAGUUGAGUUGAAGGCUAACGUUUUGUGGAAGAACAGUCCACCUGGAACUCAAAUCAUCCAAGUACUUUUGCUCGUCUACUACACUGUCCCAAUUGCGGUACAUCCCAGUGUCUUGGUCGAAAGAGAGUGCACUUCCACCGACGUUUAUUCGGUACACCAUCUCCAUCGCCGUGAUGUUUUCGAUGCGAUAAUUGGCUUCGUUGCCUACAUAAUCAACUCCAUGGCUUUCGGAUGCAGUGUAGUAAAGAUUGGUGGGCAUGGACACAAUCUCAAUCCCAUUGACGAAGGCAUAAGCAUCUGGGAUUGCUCUGCUCGGAGUGAACGUGAUGGUCAAGCUCUGUCCUUCAUCAAUAUUCAAACAGAACUCUCUUAUUAGCGUCUCAGUCUCACUAGCAUCAGCAGUUACAGAAGCAUUGAAAUCAUGGAGAAGGGUAAAGCCACCUGCUUGAACAGAGAAGAGGGCUUUGGACCGGUCGAAGCCGGGGUCAUAUGAAACUGGGUAGAAGUAGAAGCGAAUAAACUUCUGCCCGGUGGAGAGGGAAAUUUUGUAAGAAAAUUCGAAGCGAGAAAGCCUAGCUGUGGUGUAGGGCACUUGGCUAACAGAGGAGGAGGGAGGAGCUUUUCUGACUUCGGAGGAGGUGUUGGUGUCAGCUUGGUGUAAUUCAGAGGGGGAAAAUUUUGAUUUGAUAUCUCCAACCCAAUUUCGCUUGUCAUAUAUGUUGGAUAAGGUUUCGGAAGAGCCACAGUUGAUAGUGAUGUCUUCGACCGGAGUGUAGAUAGGUGCAGAGAUUAGGCUGCCAAUUUGCAGAAAGAGGGGCAGGAGGUAGAGAGGCAGAGGAGGGAGGAGGAGUUUCUUCAUGGUUAUUGUUUGGAAAGGUGUUUGCUGCUAAUUGGGUUCUUGAUAAUGGCAAGAGCAGUAAAAGAUCAAGGGGUAAUUAAGAUGAUGAUUCAAAGGAUGGUUAUUGGUUUGUAAAGGUGUUUACUGCUUUCUUCUUUUGUAAAGCUUUCUUUUGCUUUUUUUUUAAAAAAAAAAUUUUAUUUUAAAACAAAAUAUUAAAAUUAUGUUGGUCAACAACAUAGAAUAAUUCAGGCAUAAGCUUUCUAUUUUUUUGUCCACAAAAGAAAAAAAAAAAGCUUUCUAUUGUUUCAGUGCUACCACAUCUUCGUCAUGUGUUCAUGUGUCUGGUAGGUAGGCGUAUGGUUGUCGGUCUCCUUUUAUCAUUGAGAUGCAUGAUAUUUUCCAGUUACCAAAAAAAAAGACAUGCAUAUUUUUCUGAGAAAUUGCGUGGAAAUGUAAAAGAAAGUAGUUUUUGUUUUCUUUUCUGAUUUUUUUCGUAUUGAAGCUUAUUUGCCUAAAACUUUCACAAGGAGACCAAAACGUCCAAUGAUUUCAAUCAGCUGAGCUAGUCUUCUAUAGUUGUCGUUACAUUCUUGUUUGCAUGCACAAUAUUGAAUUUCUCGAGCACAAGUAGGAUACGUGGAUGGAUCAACGACUUGCCUUCUCUGGUUUCGUCAAACAUCAAAGACUUUUCUUUCCUCUUUCAAUCUUAGACGUGGGACUUUGUUAAAGAAAAUUCAAUGGGCUGUCAAUAUAAUUGUUUUGACAGGGGAAGGAGGUAAAGAGGCAGAGGAGGGAGAACAAGUUUCUUCAUGGUUAUGGUUUUGCAAAGGUGUUUGCUGCAAACUGGGUUCUUGAUAAUAGCAAGAGAAGAGAAAGAUAAGAAGGUAAAUAAGGAGAGGAGGAUGAUGAUCAAGUGAGAAACAGGGAAGCUGCUGAAACAUAACAGAGAGAUUGCCCUGUUUAAUUUUCAAAUGGGAAUUUGGAAAGUCUUCUUCUGAUCAAGUGUUAUUGUCUUCACAUGGAGAAGAGAAAGAUCAGAUGCUAAUUGGGUUCUUCAUCCACAUCCACAUGACAAACAUCCCAUGGAGUAGUUGACAGGUGUGGUAGACUGACUGUAAAGAAUUUGUACAGAGACGAACUAGAGACGUGAAAGGAAAAUAAUAAACUAGGACCACAAACACUAGAAUCGAUUGAAAUAAAAUUGAUGGGGCAGAGGAAUAUCUUGGCGAGAUAUUAUUGUGGAACUUGGUUGUGUGUGGGAAUUGAGUUACUUGACAGCUGAAUGGCUGUCUCGUUUGAUAUUUUCCAUGAUUUCAGUGGCACAAAAGGCUUUUAGUUCUCGUCCAAACUCGCAUUUGCAUGCUUGCUUGCUUCUCCAUGUUUGAAUGUUUCAUGAUUUCACGUGCAGGCCAGGAAAAAAAGUUAAAGAAAGACAAAAAACAAACAGCAUGAACCCUCUCACUUGGGAUGGACAUUUGAACCGAAAAAUCCUAGUACUAGGAGCAUUUGGCAUGAAAAUUCUCUUAUGUGAUGAAUAUUUCUAGGAGCAAUUACCAGGUGACCCUAUAGCAAAUGUUUAGAGUGGAAACAACUCACUCCUGAUUAGUUCUUUCCAAGAGAUUUUGGAUGUAAUAUUCAACUAUCCAUGACCGGUUCCUAUUUGCAUCGUUCUUGUGUAAGGAAUGUAACUUAGCUCGAGUAGAGUUUUGUAUCAAAAGAUAACGGUGCAAUUUAAGGAGAACUCCCCCUUAUCCUUUUAUGCAUAACUUAUUCUCCAACAUAGAACAAUUGUAUUUGAUUCACAAUUCCUAACAAAGUUGCAAUUUAUUAAAAUUUUACAAUACUAAAUCUUCUAGAAUGAUCACGGGACAAACAACUACAAUAAACGUAACCCACUGCCCCUAAUUUUAAUUUGGUUCAAAUACAACUGAUAUGAAACAUUGAUGCAACAUAUUUACAAAAACCUAAAAAGCAGCCCCUUUGCAACACUUCAAUUAAAACCUUUUCUAUUUCAAGUCCCCUUUUGCUAUUCUUUUUAAGAAGAAAAUAUUUAAAUUAUGUUCGCCAACAACAUAGAAUAAUUCAGGCAUAAGCUUUCUAUUGUUUUUUGUCCGAAAAAUAUAAAAGCUUUCUAUUGUUACAGUGCUACCAUAUCUUCGAUCGUCAUGUGUUGAUGUGUCUGGUAGGUAGGCAUGUGUUGAUAUUUUCCAGUUACCCCAAAAAAAGGGAAAAGAGAUGCAUGGAAAUGUGUUUUUGUUUUCUUUUCUGAAAAGCACAACUCGACCAAAACGUCCAAUGAGUUGUCGUUACAUUAUUGUUUGCAUGCACAUCUUGACUUGCUUUGGGUAUACUGAUCCUAUAAUAUAAAAACAUAUCACAUCCUUUUCUUUUUAAUCUUAGCCGUCCGAUUUUGUUAAAAUAAAUUCAAUGGCUGACAAUAUAUAAUUGCUUUUUUACUUAAAACCAAAAAAAAAAAUAUAUAUAUAUAUAAAAUGACACCUAUAGAAAGGAGAAAGAAGCUGUCUAAAGUGUUGGGGCUCCCUUUCAUUAUGUAGAGGAAAGGAAUUGCUUUUGUUAAAAUAAAUUCAAUGGAUCUAACCCAAUAAGAAAGUUGCGGGUCAUGUUAGCACCAACCCAGUACAGCAUUCCAUUGUAAGCACAUCUACCAUCACUGGAAGAAAUUGGAAAAAACCAAAACUCUUCUGGAGAUGAUACAAUUACCUCUCUCCAUUCACUGCUAUCCGAAGAGAAGAUCUCUGCAAUGAAUUUGUACCCCGAUUUGUAAUGAGGAAAAACUAAUCUCACAACCUUGCCCCUACGCUCACCAUUAAUAUUAAUAUUCCGCUGCCUGCCUGCUGGGACUGAGGAGAUUACUACCACCACCACACAAGGAUGAAAAUAUUUAUUCGGCCUUCAAUUUAUGGUUAUUUCGGGGGAUAAAUUGAUGCCAUUUUAGUUAUUGGGGAAAAUUGACUGAUAUUGGCUUAAAAACACAUAAUUUUGAAGUAAAACUUUCAUAAAUAUUAAGCACAUUAUCAAUGAAUGUAUUGACCAAAAAAAAAUUCAAAAUAUACUAAGUAUAAGAUAUGCAUAUGAAUCUGAUGAAAUGUACGUGUAUAUAAUGCGCGAUGAAAAUCCUGAGAAUAAAUACAAUUAGACACAUACAACAGUAUUCAAAUGCAACCCAACCCAACCUGUUAAUGCAUAACCCAACAUUAUAUUACAAGAGUCAAACUUAAUGAUAAAGGAAACGAGAGAUAGAAGAUUAGGUGAAAAAUAAAAUCAAACACACAAGAAUCCGAGCAACCAGAGAAAGGAGAGGAAGAGCCAAAGAUAGCCGAAAUGACUGAUGAGAAUAGAAGAAAGAAGAAGCUACUAAACAUUAAAGCUUGGUUUUUGACAUUGAUUCAGGGACGUAUUGGGUUAUUUGUCUGGUAUCGGUAAAUAUCUAGGAUAUCAGGGGUUAUCCGGGAUAUAUUGCCGAUAAGGGGGAAGAAAUAGGCUUACCCCCUUGUAUCUGUAUCGACACCUAAAAAAGGGAUAUAUCGGCCGAUAUUUUCUUCCUUGCCACUACAAACACUCUGUUUGCAUCGAGGUGGGGAAGGAAGAGUAAUCCAUUGCCUGAUGUAUUUAUUGCAGAUGUAGUAAUCACAUUGAUGAAACCUGCUUGCGCAGGACAGAACUAGGUCAUUACACGUCCCUACCACACAUAUCUCUUCUCUAACGAGUGGAAACUUGCGAGUCUUUUAAACACAAGAGUUAGGGGUUUGGACGACGAUGAUGAAAAUCCGUAAAAAUUCCUCUCCUUUGAAGCUUAUCACAUUGGACACAUAAAAAAUGCUUAGAGAAAUAAGCAUCAGAUAUGAGAGUACACCAAUAGGUAGCAAAAUUUACCAACCCUACUUAAGUUUCCUUACAGAAGAACAUUUAAAAUUCACCAACUUUGGAUCUCCUAUUUUGCUAUGCCCCCAAGUCGUUCAUUGCCUUCAAAUUCAUUGCAGCAGAGUAAAAAUUGUUCUCACAUACACAAACUCUAACAUCGAAAAAGUGAAACCAAAAUUUACAUGCAAACUAAAGUUUAAGGAAUGACGGAACAAGAAGAACCAACACAUUUUAUUUUCAUCUGGAAGGAAUCAGGAAGGCAUCAGUUCUUACCAAAAGACAAGUUAAACUUAAAAGAAGACCAAACUAUUCGGGCAAUCAUAUCCACAUCCUAAAUCCCAGAAACAAAAAAACCCAAUAUUUACAAAUUUAUAUCUCUCUUUAUUAAAUAUUUUGGUGCAAAGUUCUAGACUCUAAAAAUACUUCUUCAAACUUCUAAGACCUCAAGUCUCAAUCUCUCGAGUAAACAUUUUGCUGCAUAAACACUACUAAGACCUCAAGUAACACCAACAACAAGCAAUUUAUUACACUUAGAAACUCCACCAAAUUAACCAAAGCUAUAAAAUGUUCAAAACCAAUACAAGCUUCAUUUCAUCAUUGGAUAUGAGACUGCCCGAAAAACGCCUAUUUACAAUUUUUACACUAAGCAAACCAAGAGUAUAUAUAGCUAUAUAAACAUCUCACACAAAUUGCUCAAACCUGACCUCUGAAUCGCCUGGCUCGCCACGGGUAGCCCUUUCACACUUGCUCCUUUCAUAAUCAGGAUCAUCCGUGGGCAGCUCAUACCGGCAAACCGGGCAUGUAUUUCGAAUGCCCAACCAGGGCACAAUGCAGUCCUGAUGAUAGUAAUGGCAACAGGGUAAGCUCCUGACCUUAUCCUCCGACGCAAUGCUGUCUUUACAAACAGCACAGACCACUUCUUCAUUCUUCAACUUCUCCUUUGUGAACUUAACAAAGGGAAGAUCCUCGACAACACUUGAAGCCGCCGGAGGGCUACCUUUCAUGGCAUUCGCAUUCUCCACGAAUUGCCCGAAAAUCGUGUUGAUGUACUCUGCAGUCUCUAAGUCAACAUCAUCAUCAUCGGCAUACCUCCGGAAAUUGUUGACUGUCAAGAGAAUUUCCCACUCCAGGCUUCGUGUGGCUCCUUCCGGAAUCUCUUCUUCUUCUUCAGUAGAAAACCCAGAGGCCACUGAGAGCUCUUCAACUCCGCCAUCGAUCCGAUUAGACUCAGAAUUUUCAAACAUGUUCCUCUGCUCCACCAAGAAAAGGUUGUCCCAGAUUGAUUGGAUACCCGAAUCGGUGAUCCGAUUACUUUCUAUAUCAUCGAUGGUACCGGAAUCCGAAUCAGAUUCCGAUUCCAACCCAACAAUCCGAAGGCCACUAACGCGCGAAUCAUCCCCUGGUGUAAUAUUAAACUCGCCCAAUUCAGAGACAGAGUCCUGAGAAUUUGACUCUAGACCAAACCCUAACCCCAAAUUUGACCCCAUUUCAUCUCCACCAUCAACACCCCCAAUUUCCGAUUCAAGCGAAAGCGGGUCCGAACCCGAACCCGAACCCGGAACCGUAACGCAGUCGUUAUUGGGCCGCUCCGAGGUGCGACGGUCGAAGAGAUCGGUGACGAAGCAGCUGACGUCAUGGUCCGAAUCGGAGGCGGCAUCGGAGAAACAGUCGCAAUCGGAGCUUCGGGAAUCGGGCGGAUCGGCGAAGGGGUUGCAAUUUUGGUUGGUGCACCAGUGGGCGAGGGGAUCAAGAGUUAGGGUAUGUGGGUCUGGUUCGUUUGGUUGUGGUUCGCGGGGUAGGUGAGUGGUGGCGCAAAGCUCAGACAUAGUUUCAAAGAUUAAUAAUGGAAGAAAUUGGAGAAAUUUUUGUUUGGUGGUGGUGCUUCAGUUUAUAUAGUGUGGGUUUUCUUCCCUCGUUUUUUAUUUUAUUUUAUUUUAUUUUACUUUGUCUUGGCCUGCUCUGUAAAAGAAUAAAAGUUUAAUCAAUAAAAAAACAUGCUAUUAUUAAUGUGUGCAUUAUUGGAAAAAUAUACGAAAAACAUGUUGCAGGUGUCUUCUUCGAAUUAUUACACAUAAUCUGCACCCUCCUCGGUGGUUACAUUCUCUAGUACUGGAUAUCAUAAGUCUAUCCAAAUUUUAAUGUAAAUUUUAUUCGACAUAUCUUCCAUGAAAGUAAUAUGACGGUCGAUGCUCUUGCUACUCAUGGACAUACACUUCCUCAUCUUUGUGUUUGGUUUAAUCAUGUUCCUCAUUUUGUAGCUCUUCGGAUAUUGUAUGAUGAUCGAUCUCUUUGAGUUCCUAGAGGAUCCCUCUUUGAAAUUCAUUUUGUAUUCCAAAAAUAAAGAUGUUAUCCUGACAGAUUAUCUCGGGGAAACUUCAAACUAGUACAAUAUUAUCCUGAUAAACUACAGAGUCAUGCGGGUCUCCCCAUGCUUCUCUUUCAGCUCAAAGAAUACGUCCUUGAUUGCCUCAAAUACCUCCUCAGGAGACCUUUCAGCAUCAAUCUAGGCCAAAAUCAAAGAAGAAGAAAAUAAGCUACUUAUGGGGAAAUCAAAUUUUUAGGUCAAAUUAGCCAAGCUAAACAACAUUUAGUCGUCUAAUUGUGAAACACUCGAGCGCGCUCAUGUAUAUAUAGGGUAAAAGGCUUGAACUAAGACUAAUAUUAUUCACUGGCAAAAGGCAAAGUAACCAUUUCCCAUGGAAUGUUACAAUCAGAAGCUUUGUGGAGAAGAUCGUUUACCUUUCGAACAUUGCCCUCGGCGCUGUAAUAAUUGAUUACAGGAAGAGUGCAUUCAAAGUAGACUUUAAGACGCUUCUGUAUUGUGCUAAUAUUAUCAUCAACUCUUCCCUUUGAAUCCACAGACAAUAUGCAUGAAAAAGAGUUAGUGAAGUUAGACACAUUGAAAAAUUUGUAAGUUAAAGAAGAAGAAAAAGGGCAGUUUGCUCACCUGGUUUCUAUUUAAAAGACGUCUUUUCAUCUCCUCUUCCGAGCAGUCAAGAAACAAUACAAAAUCUGGCUCAAUUUUCAUCUGUAGCAGAAGUUUUGAUUGUGCAUAUGGAACAGACAGAACAAUGAGAUAUAAAUAUGUUAAAAUCAGUGAAAGAAUAACAUAUGCUAUUCACAAAUAGUUUUUACAUUAAGCAAUGUAAUUAAACUAUCAAAGAAUUUGAUAGCUUAAACAAACAAAACAGAAAACUGCAAACCUACAAAGCUUUCAGCGGCAGCACGAUUUUCUUCAUUCCGUGGGAAGCCAUCGAUGACAAAUUUCUUGUUUUGGCUCCUCUGCAUUGCCUGUUGCAGAAGCUUGACAACCAGAUCGGAAGGAACAAGCUUUCCUUCUUUCUUACAGUCCUCAAUCAUUUUACUAUAAAGAAAUUUGUAACAAUAAAAGAUGUGUAUAACAAGGUGCAUAAUAGAAGUUUCAUCCAAAAAAGUUUCCUAGAUUUCCAUCAUAUGAGAAUUAUAAUAUUUACGUCUAAGUAUUAGGAAGCUGAAAGCAAAAUUAUUGGUUUAGUAUUGCACAAACAAAAGAAAGAAACUUUUGAAUCGAAUACCCGUAUUCAGAUCUAGUCUCAACUUCUGCUUCAAGAAGAUCACCAACACUCAGAUGACAAAACCCAAAGUAUGUAGCAAUUUUGGCGCAUUGUGUACUCUUUCCGCUACCUGGACCACCUGCAAAGCAUAGUUUAGGAGUAACUACAUCAGCAGGCACAACAAUUAGAAGGUUAGCAAGUCAUCUUAGAUAACUACACGGGCAGGAUUCUUUGUAAACAUUCUAACACAUCUAACGUCGUCAUUUCGUUUUGGAUACAAAAUGAGGUGAAGGUGCUCAAGCUCAAGAGAAGACUUCCAAUCCAUAAACUUGUAUAAAUUUGAGUGCAGAACUUGGACAUUGCCACAACAGCAGAAUUUCUUGGUUCCUUCGGUCCAAAAACUUCUUACACACCCAAUCUGGUCACCUAAGCUAAUUGUUUUACAGGGAGACAAAUUACCAUGAAUGUUGGUACAAUUUCAUGGAGAGCCACAAACCAAAGUUCAAAAGAAAUUUGUUACAUGUCACUUGGAUAUUUUGCUGUCAAGACUCAAGAUUAGUCCUGGAUCCCAACCCAACAGAUACAAAAGUGGACAGGAAGGAAAAAACAAAAUCGAAAGAGUUCAUGAUCAAAUUCAAAUUGCACCAACAAAAGUUUCACACCAGCAAAAUGGAGAAGUUGCAAAACAUUGUAAACUGCUUAAUUACCUAAAACAUAGAUAACUGUGUACCCUUUAAGGUUAUCUUCACUUACAUCCUGCCAAUCAAAGAUAAAUUUCAUUCAGAAAACAGGAUGAAUGCAAGACAUUUUCCCAGAAAAAGUAUGAGCGAAAAUUAGUAACACAUCCAAUAAUAGAUAGUGAUAUCUAAGAACCCAACCAAGGAAAAAAAACAAGAGUUGACAGUUAACCUUGUUGGGAGUCACAGUUGCCUCUUGUGCUGCACCAUCUUUUGCCAUGGUCUCCAUAAAAUCCUAUCCAGCAUGAGCUUCUUUAGAACCAACAUGCCAUAAUUUUAAGACCCUUCACCAGGUAGGUAAAAGCUUCAUCUUUACUUCCUCCACAAUUAUUUUCUUUUAUAUGAAGCAAACUUUUUAACCUUAACUUCAAGUUUAAAACUUCAAAAUAAAUAAUCCUAAAGAGACUAGCUUUAUAGGCAGGUGAGAUGAAAGAAGAGAAAUAUUAUGAAAAAAAUUGAAAAAGAAGUAACAAAAUCUAAUCACCUGACAGGGAUUACACUGGGGGGGAUGACUGAAGAGUGCAAUGCUUGCUCUCAGAUUCACAGGGUCCUUUCUGUGUGUAAACGGUGGCAUGGGUCAGCUAAACUGACUAGAGACUUCGAUACAGCUGCAAACGCUGCGUUUUAAGCAAAUAAAUGAAAAAGAAGUUCAAGGUUUUAAUUUUGUGGAAUUAAUAUACAAAUGUAAAUAAAAAGAACAAUUCAAUAAAUAAAGAAGGUAUCCUUUUUUAUUUUCAACAGUGUGUUACCCAGUUUAACAAGGUUUUCUUCACUUUUGCCCCUCGUCUUUGUAAUAAGACAGCAUAUGCUGUUGUCAGUUUCGUGACUAAGUAAAGGGGUAGUUAUGUUUGGGACCAUGUUGGUACGAAAUAGUUGUUUGAUAUACUCGCAGAAGAUGUAAAUUCUCUUUUGUUUUGAGGGAAAAUAUGGUUGGGGUUCUUCUUAAAGCAUUUUUUUAAAAAAAUUAAGGUUAGGAGAUUCUGAACGCACUACAAAAAUUUGAUCAGCAUGCAUAAAGACAAGAGAAAAAGUCACUUUUGAUCUUUAUAAUUUAUCGAUUUUUUUACUUUAGUUCAUGUAAUUUAAAUUUUGUCAAUUUAACCAUGCACACAUCUAAAUUUCCAUCCAAUUCCAUAUAAAAUUCCGUCCAAAAUACCCCUCCACAUAAGAGACGUGUUUAUUAUAUCAAGAAAUUGGAUGAAAAUUUGGACGUAUCCUUAAAUUGUAAUAAAAUAAACUACAUGAGUUAAAUUACCAUAAUUUUUGUUUGAAGAUAAAUGAGAAAUUGGAAGUAGUUACAGAAUUUUUGUGUAUUAUUAGCAAAGGUAGUUGUAAGAACCUAAUUGUCUCUGAACACUCGACCCAAGAAUUGUCUUUUACAAAGAACCUGUAACUCAAGUCAUUAAGAAUUAUUAUCUUCCCCAAAAGUUAUGUGUACAUGUGUUCAAAAUCUCCCAUCCCCAACAUUACUUUAUAUAAGAAGAAGUCUUUGAAGCUUGGUAUCCAGGGACAAUUCAAGGGUGUCCAGAGAAUCACCCUGCAUCAGAAACUUUUAGAAAUAUUCGGCCCAAUAAGUUGUUGGUAUUAAGCCCAAUUAUUAGCCCAUGAACUCAAAAAGGAAAGUUUGGACUACAAAAACUCAAAAAGGAAAGUCUGCAAAUGAAACAAGAAAAAACAGUCUGUUAUUGGAAAAGGCUGAAAAAUAAAAAUUAUGCUUGUUCUUCUUGUAGCUUUGCUACAUUCAACAACGAUCUCAUUCCUGAAUCCUUAAGCUCCAAAAUUUUGCUACAAAAAUCCACAAUUUCACUACGAAUUUCACAAAUUCUUCUACUUUAGGGUUUGAAUUGGGCGCGAAGCGAAUGCGAGCAAAGGGGGUCGAAGCUAGCUGGUAGCGUAGAGAGAAACAAUGAAGGCAGGAAGCGCCGCGAAGCUUAUCGUUGACGCCCUGCUCCAGCGGUUCCUUCCACUCGCACGGCGUCGUAUUGAGACUGCUCAAGCUCAGGUCCGUUGUGUGAUUCAAAUCCAUUUGAAUUCCUGCAAUUUUCACCUAUUUGGUUGUAUUUGGAUUUUCAGCUCUCUCUGUGUGUAUCUAUGUAGCUCUACCUCUGGCUUUCCUUUAUAAAGAAAUGAACACUCUAAUUUCAUCGUUGAUAAAGAGCUUUGUUCUACUUGUUUUGAUACUUCUUCAUCUUUAGUUCCAUUGUUUCCAGCAUGCCUUGUUAUAGUUCUUAGUUGGCUCAAGGAACUUGGUAGAGUUACUUAGAGUGGUCAUUGAUUCUUUGUAAUCUUCGUAUGACCGCAGCAAGAUAUGAUUUCAUAACUUUAGUCGAGGAAAGAGUAAUAGCCAUAAUGAAAAAGUUGAAAAUAGUUGUAAGUGGUCGUCCUAGAUUCCUAAUUCCUUUUGAGGUCCCCUUAUUUGCGUAGAACUGGUACCAACAUUGUCAUUUGUUACUGUGCGUUGUCGAUAUAUUCCACCCAAUGAGUCAAUGCCUUUUGCCGUUAGUGAAUGUUUGUAUUGCUAUGGUGGGUUUGGAAUUAAUCUAAUAUGUGAUGUUUGUCUUCAUUUUGUUAUGUGGGAAACUUGCAGGAUGGGCAAUAUCUCCGACCUUCUGACCCUGCUUACGAGCAAGUACUGGAUUCCUUGGCUAUGGUAGCUCGACAUACACCCAUACCUCUUUUAGAAGCUCUUCUAAGAUGGAGAGAAAGGUGGGUUUCACCCUUUUCCACAGAUAUGUUUUUCUGUGUUCCUCCUAGUUAUUUUGGACUUGAUGCCUCCCAGGUUUAUUGUAAGCUCUUGUUUACAAUGACUUUGUUAUAGCUAUAAUAUGUCAACGCAUUGUUGUUGAUCUGAGUUAUUAAUUGUUUUCUGUCUAGCCAUAUCAUUUUGUAACAUGGGAAUCUUUUUGUUGCAGUGAAUCCCCGAAAGGUGCAAAUGAUGCAUCUACAUUCCAAAGAAAGGUUUGUCAAAAGCUUGUUUCUUUGACCAGAUGCGUUUAUUCUUUAUUGUAUAUGGUGGAAGUCAAGAAAGUUUGGCCUAUAACAUCAAUGCCGUUCAUAGCUCUUUAUUGCAUAGUAUAGCAACCAAGAAUAUCAAAUUUUAUGAGUUUUUCAUUUUUUCAAUGUAUGUCAAUUUAUACUUAUAUUAUAUACUUGUAUCUGUGAUUGGGGAGUCUGCUUCAUUAAUUAUAACUUUCAUAAUAUGUUUGCUGAAGCUCAGCUUGCGGUGGAGUGCAUUUUUUGUUCAGCAUGUAUUCGUUUUGUCGAGUGCUGUCCACAAGAAGGACUUACAGGUUAGUUCAUUGCAUCGGUAUUUGAUUUUACCUUGAGGCUUGUGAAGUUGUGCUAUUCAGCGAAAUAAAACAAGCUUUGUUCUUACUGCAGAGAAACUUUGGUCUGGGCUUGAAAAUUUUGUGUUUGACUGGCUGAUUAAUGCUGACAGGUAAAGCUAUAGUUGGUUGUAGGAACUUCUUGGAUACAUGUUGUGUGAUUGUCUGAUUGGUUAAACUCAGAGCUUCGUACACCAACAUUGCUAGUUUUUCCUUACUGAGUCAACUAAGUUCUACCCCUUUGAUGUUAAUCUUGAGCAACUACUGUCCUAUAUCCUUCAUUGCAUUGAUGCUUUCUCAUUUGUCUUCCUUGUAUGUGUCAUACUUUUCCAUAAAUCUGCUAUAUGCAUGGAGUAUUUUUUUUAACCUUUUCUCUUUUAAUCAGGAAAGAAAAAAAGAUGUGGGUCUUGCUGAAGUUUGCAUUUUGCCUCGCUAUUCACUUCUAUGUUGGUUCUGAUACUUUGUUACACAGAUUGAUAAUAAAAUUUAAGUACCAGGAUAAUUUUUGGAUCUAAGCAUUUAGACUUUCAUGCCCUGGGUGUGAAAGAAAACAAAGAGGAAUGAUUAACUGGGUAAUACUGGUUGUUCUGUAUAUUAGUUGGAAGAGUUUUAGCAUAACAUUGAAUCAAGAAUAAUGCCUUAGGGACGAUAGGAUUGUAGAACACUGCUUGAACCAUUUACUAGUGAUCUAAGUCUGAAAGCUGAACUUCCCCAUCAACAGCCCUAUUCCCUGUGGUUGUAUGCAAUGUAGAAGAGCCAAAGAUGCAAGGACUAGAACACAUAUCUCAAAACUUGAUAAAACACAUUAAAAGUUUUCUUUUUUCAUUUGCUCAUGUAAGUCAUCUUGGUUGCAACUCACUAUACUUUCAUUGCAGGGUUGUUAGCCAGGUUGAAUAUCCCUCAUUGGUUGAUCUGCGAGGACUUCUUCUGGACUUAGUCGCUCAGCUCUUAGGGGCCUUAUCUCGCAUCAGGUGACUGAAUAUCAAGUUAUCAUAUUUGGAAUUGAUGGAAAUUGCUAUCAUUAUCCUCAAACUCCCUUGCGCACUCAAACCCCCCGUCUCUCCAACAAGAAGAAGAAAAGAAUUGCAAAACAUUAAAAACUAUUUGGUCAUUAUCAAAGUGGAUUUGAAAUCUAUUAUUUGUUGAUUUUAUAACUUUUAAUAAUUUGUGAUAUGUGUGAUUUAGGCUUUGUAGUUGAUAAUAACACUAGGUUUUGAUAGUUGGUUUUCAACUUUGUCAUCUAUCAUUGGUGAAGUUGGGUGUAAGUUAACUCAUUGAUGCAUGUCAUUUUAAAGAAUCUGGCAUCAUUGUUAUAUUUACCUGUCAAAUAUGAUUAACUGUCUAAGUUUAGUUAAUGUAUUAUAUAUGGUGCGCAGGUUUAGUUCUGUCACUGAGCGCUUUUUCAUGGAGCUCAGUAUUCGUCGGAUUGACACUAGUGUUGCCAGAAGUGAAACCCUUAGUAUCAUUAAUGGAAUGCGCUACUUGAAACUUGGGGUAUGUUGAAAAUAACAUUCAUGUAGGAAAAAUGACAUUAGGACAACUCUAUAACUAUUAAGUAAUUGUCAGGUAAAAACUGAGGGUGGACUGAAUGCAUCUGCUUCCUUUGUGGCAAAAGCAAACCCCCUCAAUCGUGCACCACAUAAACGCAAAAGUGAGCUUCAUCAUGCACUAUGCAAUAUGCUUUCAAAUAUCCUAGCACCUUUGGCAGAUGGUGGAAAAAGCCAGUGGCCACCUGCAGGUGUAGAGCCUGCACUUACACUCUGGUAUGAAGCUGUUGGGCGGAUUAAAGGACAACUCAUGCAUUGGAUGGAAAAACAGAGCAAACAUAUUUCUGUGAGUUGACCCCAACUCUUUUACGUCUUGGUUUUUCCAAUAUCUAAAUUGUGCAAAAUAAUAUUCAUAAUACUUUGACAUAACAUUCAGAAAGUUCCCCCUUUGUACUUUUCUGUUGCCUCCAAUUUAAUUAUGUUAUACAAUUCAAAAGAGGGGGAAAAAGAAUUUGAUAACUUUUACAGAGAUAAAUAGUUUGUUUACCUGUACAAAUCCUCAUGGUGGUCCUGGAAUUGUGUUGUUUAUCGUGUGAAUAUUCUCAUUUUCAAAUUGCUCUUGCCACUAACGGGGCAGUUGGUGCGUGAUAAAUUCAUGUGUCACAGUUACAGAGGCAUCUUUUGGUAUUUGGAUUUUCGCUCUGAUUUAGAAUUACAAUUAUUUCUCCGAAAAGGGUUCUUUUCAUGUUGUGUGGUUUUAAUGUUUCUCUUGAAUUUGGAUUUUAAAUGUUUGCUUUUGGAUGGUAUGGUUGGUGCUUUUAUUUCCUUUUACAUUGUCAGGUCAACUGUUAUUCUUUUUCCCCCUUUGUCAUUAUUGUUAAAUAUGAGUUCUCCAUCAAGCUAGUGCUUUCUAUUACAUCCUCCCCUUGCAUAUUUGUAUUUUUCAUUUUAAUUUCAUGAAGACAAUGUCUGUGUCAGGUUGGUUACCCUUUGGUAACUCUUCUUCUCUGUCUUGGCGAUGGUACAACUUUCGUCAACUACUUGAGCUCUCACAUGGAUCAACUCUACAAGCUUCUUAGAGUAAGUCCAAGAAACAAAUUUGUGUAGGGCACAAUAAAGCGUGCAUUUGGUUAAUUUGUUGUUGUGUACCAGGUCCAGUCAUGUUGUUUUCUCAUGUUAUUUUAUUUUAUUUUAUUUUUUGGGUGGGGGGAAGGAGCCUAUGUCUUCCAUUUCAGAUGUAAGUUGUAUGACAUUAUGUGGUUUAUUCAUGUAGGACAAGACCCAUCGUUUCAUGGCCUUGGACUGUCUUCACCGAGUUUUGAGGUUUUACUUGAGCGUCCACACUGAAAAACAGCCACCUAAUCGUACAUGGGACUACUUAGACAGUGUAACCUCACAACUCUUGACAGUUCUAAAGAAAGGAAUGCUUACUCAGGACGUCCAACAUGAUAAACUUGUGGAGUUCUGUGUGACUAUAGCGGAACAUAACCUUGAUUUUGCCAUGAACCAUAUGAUACUGGAAUUGCUGAAGCAAGAUAGUCCUAGUGAGGCAAAGGUUAUUGGUCUCCGUUCUUUGCUUGCCAUUGUCAUGUCUCCUUCAAGUCAGCAUGUUGGCUUGGAAAUAUUUACAGGUUCAGUCAUAUGCCAGAAAUAUAUUAUUAUAAUUGUAUUGGAGCUGAAGUUUUCAACUGAUCUUCAUUUGAGUCUUCUUGCAUCAACAGGUCAUGAUAUUGGCCACUAUAUUCCAAAAGUGAAGGCUGCAAUUGAGUCAAUUUUGAGGUCUUGUCAUAGAACCUAUAGUCAGGCUCUUCUAACAUCUUCAAGGACCACCAUAGGUACUUUCUUUACUAAUGUAUGUCAAUUAUUUUUCUAUAUAGUUUAGUAGGUUUUCUUUUCAUUUUCCAUUUAUAUGCUAAUUAAUUAUCAACAUUUUCAGUUUUAGUUUGCUGUUUAUAAUCUACACUGUGAUGGGAAAGUACCUUUUGAAGAUGUAAAAGGUAGCAUAUGUAGUGAUUGGUCAACGAAUCUGUCUUGAUCUCCUAAUUAACUCUCUCCCUACACUGCAGCCUACACCAUUGAACUUUUCUCUCCUUUACUAAGACAACCAGUAUUUAUUGCAGCUAUGGAAUAUUGAAGUUUUACAGUGAUUGUCUGUGUGUAACUCAACUUUAUGCUUAUGUUGCUGCAAUGACAACACUGAAUAAAUUUUAUGCUUUCCAGAUUCUGUAACCAAGGAAAAGUCUCAAGGAUAUCUCUUCCGGUCUGUGCUGAAAUGCAUACCAUAUCUAAUAGAAGAAGUUGGACGAAGUGAUAAAAUCACAGAAAUAAUACCUCAACAUGGGAUCAGCAUUGAUCCUGGUGUUCGUGAGGAAGCAGUGCAGGUACUGAACCGGAUUGUGAGAUAUCUUCCCCACCGUCGCUUUGCAGUGAUGAGAGGGAUGGCCAACUUCAUCCUACGACUUCCUGAUGAGUUCCCUCUUCUCAUUCAAACAUCAUUAGGCCGUCUGUUGGAACUCAUGCGUUUUUGGAGAGCUUGUCUAAUUGAUGAUAGGCUGGAAUGUGAUGCUCAAGAUGUCAAACGUGUGGGGCGAAAUGAUGGAUUUAAGAAACCUUCUUUCCAUAUAGCAGGAGACUUGAUUGAGUUUCGUGCGUCAGAGAUAGAUGCUGUUGGUCUUAUCUUCCUUAGUUCUGUUGAUAGCCAGAUUAGACAUACUGCACUAGAGUUAUUGCGGUGUGUACGUGCUUUAAGGAAUGAUAUACGGUACCUUACAAUAUGUUUGCAACCUGAUCAUAGUCUGAAAUAUGAACCUGAACCAAUAUUUAUAAUCGAUGUCUUGGAAGAACAUGGGGUGUGUUAUCUUCCUAUCUUUAACCAUUCCAUAUUCCAUUCCCACUAGCCUGCUUUUCAUUUGAGUUUCAAUGUUGCAAAUGUGCAUAUUAUUUUAUUUCAUUCAUGAAUCUUUUUCUAAUGUUUCAGGAUGACAUCGUCCAGAGCUGCUAUUGGGAUUCUGGGCGUCCAUUUGAUUUGAGACGAGAAUCUGAUGCAAUCCCUCCUGACGUGACACUUCAAUCUAUAAUAUUUGAGAGCCCUGAUAAGAACAGGUGGGCUCGUUGUCUUAGUGAGCUUGUCAAAUACGCUGCUGAACUUUGCCCAAGAUCUGUCCAUGAAGCAAAGUAAGUAUAUUUUUGUUUAUGUGUAGUUAUGUUGACACAAGUUUCUUUUGAUUUCAAAAUAAGAUGUAUGUUCCUUUCUAGCAUUGAUGUGCUCUUCUUUCAGUACUGAGUUUGAACUUGUGGUAUUUAAGGGUGUCUCAACUAAAAAAGGAAUUACUGCCUGUAUGUAGAGUUUGAGAAAAAAUAAACUUCUUUGGUUGCACAUACACGUUAAAUGUUUUUGUUAGGUUACUAUCAUCUGGUGAUAACGAGAAGCAAACUAGUAGCAUGUAAGCUGAUUUCUUGUUGGACAAUAUAUUAUGUAGUAAAGCAUGAUUUGGUCGUCUUUGUGCUGAGAACAUGAUUUUGCUUGUAUGGCUAUAUUGCUCUUAUCUUUUACAUGCUUUAUAAGGAUAAAUAUUUCCAGGUCAACCCAAAGUUAAAGAUUGGAAUCCCAUGAUCUUAUCGCAACACCAUCUUUAUUUGCAGGGCAGAGGUUAUGCAACGUCUGGCUCAUAUCACACCUGUUGAGUUGGGUGGGAAGGCUCAUCAGUCACAAGAUGCAGACAACAAACUGGAUCAGUGGCUUAUGUAUGCAAUGUUCGUAUGUUCAUGUCCACCAAAUAAUAGAGAAGCUGGUAGUAUAGUUGCAACCAAAGAUCUUUACCAUCUAAUUUUUCCGUCUCUAAAAUCUGGAUCUGAGGCACAUAUAGUAAGUACUGUCAGAGGUUUGUUUAAUUUCAGUGUAACGUUUCUUUAUUUUAUUUUUCUUGUUUCUGUGAAUACGAUAAAUUUGUCAUGGGGUGUCAGAAUGCGUGGUCAGUUCUAAAUCCAAUACCUAAGAUGCUAUUAUGUCACUACUAUUUUGAGGUCUGUUGCAUCUGUAAGGGUUUGCUCUAAUUAGAAACUUAUAAUCUUUUUCUUUAAUAACUAUUCCAUGCGUCUUGAUUCUUUUCAACUGGUUAGACUAAAUUUCGUCUCUAAAUUUAGCAUGCAGCCACAAUGACUCUUGGCCGCUCGCAUCUGGAAGCAUGUGAAAUCAUGUUUACUGAGCUUGCAUCUUUCAUUGAUGAGGUUUCUUCAGAGACAGAGGGAAAACCAAAGUGGAAGGUGCUGUAUGGUUAAACUCCUCACAUUUCUUUUAUUUGAUGGGUGAAAUUUGAAGACACUGAGCAUUGUGGCAUUAUCUAUGUUCUGAAUAUGUUUAGUACUAGAGAGUGCGUCGAUUUGCAGUGCUUUAACUUAAGGGAGGAAAAUUCAUGUCGCCAACCUCAAAGCAUAUAAUUUGUUACUUGAUAUUGAACUCUAGCAUGCCAAUCAUACACAUGGUCUGUUCCUGUUUUGGUAAAUUAGACAUGCAUUGUUGGAACACAUAGUUAUAUCCAUUCAUAAAAAUUUAUGUAAUGUCCCCUUGACCAGUCAAAUCAAAAUAUGUAGUAUUCCAUUUUCUCCUUACAAAGUCGUUAUAUUUGGUCAGUGAUUAAUGACAAAGGAAAAAGUAAUAGUAAUUACAAUAACACCCAGUAGAACAUUGUAUCCUUUUCCAAUUGAUUUCUCAUAUGUACAGCUUUCAGUCAAGUAGUUUUUAUGUUGGCAGAAACUUUUGCUAACCUGAUUCUUUGAAAACUUCACUAACCAUAUGAAUAUCCUUUUUUUUGCUUCAUCAGUUACUUAAAGUGCUUCAUUAGUUAGAUAUGGGUUCUCAAUGAAUAUGACUAAACAUAAUAUUCAAAUCACAUGAAUACAGAGUCAAAAAUCUCGCCGUGAGGAGCUUCGUAUCCAUAUUGCAAAUAUAUUUCGUACUGUUGCUGAAAAUGUAUGGCCUGGCAUGCUGGCCCGUAAACCAGUUUUCCGUCUCCACUAUCUGAAGUUCAUUGACGAAACAACCAGACAGAUCUUAACAGCACCUGCUGAAAACUUCCAAGAUAUGCAGCCUCUCCGUUUUGCACUUGCUUCUGUUCUAAGAUCACUAGCCCCGGAAUUUGUUGAGUCAAAAUCGGAGAAAUUUGAUAUUAGAACUAGAAAGCGACUGUUUGAUCUGCUUCUUUCCUGGUGUGAUGACACAGGCAGUACAUGGGGUCAAGAAGGUGUUAGUGAUUACCGACGUGAAGUAGAACGUUAUAAGUCUUCUCAGAAUGCACGGUCAAAAGAUUCUGUGGACAAAAUAUCAUUUGAUAAAGAACUUAGUGAACAGGUUGAGGCAAUCCAGUGGGCCUCCAUGAAUGCUAUGGCUUCACUCUUAUACGGGCCUUGCUUUGAUGACAAUGCGAGGAAGAUGAGUGGCCGGGUUAUAUCUUGGAUCAACAGUUUGUUCAUUGAGCCAGCGCCUAGGGCUCCAUUUGGGUACUCACCAGCUGACCCAAGAACUCCCUCUUAUUCAAAGUACACAGGAGAAGGUGGUCGUGGGACUGCUGGUCGUGAUAGGCAUAGGGGUGGUCAUCAUCGUGUUUCUUUAGCAAAACUGGCUUUGAAGAAUCUAUUGCAAACAAAUUUGGACCUGUUUCCUGCUUGUAUUGAUCAGGUAUUCAUGUUUCCUUUGCUCUAUUCGUUAGAUCUUUUCAAGUAAGAAAAUCCAGUUAUGGAGUGCACCCCUGAAGGCUGAUUAGCCUAUGCUAGGCAGAGUCUGUUGGCCUAUAGCUCCUUUUAUCCUUCCCACUUAAGAAUUUUAUAAUUUGAUUCACUUUUUUUUUUACUACACAAGAUAAUUGAUGAAUUGUUAAUUCAUUAGUAAAUCUAUCGUAUUUUCAGAUGAUACCUUGACAACAAGGUAAUUCUGACUUCCUAAAAAGUAAACUGGUGAUUCAAGAACUGAGAAUCCACGGAAUGCUUUGCAAGUCAGUUGGUUUCAAUAAAAUGUCAAAUUUCUGCUUUCUUCUUUUUUGCUGAAAAAGUUCACAUACACGCUCUCUGGUCUUCACUUGCAUGUUCACUGCUUUCUAAAUUGCUAGGUUGGUAUGCAGUUUUCACUCUAAUUUGUUGUGAACUUAAUGUUAUAGCUCGUAAGGAUUUCAUUCUUAUAAAUAAAUAAAAAAUUGAUACUUUGUUGCAGUGCUAUUACUCUGAUGCUGCUAUAGCUGAUGGUUACUUCAGUGUGCUAGCUGAGGUCUACAUGCGCCAAGAGAUACCAAAAUGUGAAAUCCAGAGACUUUUGAGCCUGAUUCUCUACAAGGUGGUAGAUCCAUCAAGACAAAUUCGUGAUGAUGCUCUUCAGAUGCUUGAGACACUUUCUGUUCGCGAGUGGGCUGAGGAUGGCAUUGAGAGCUCAGGGAAUUAUCGGGCUGCUGUUGUGGGUAACCUUCCUGAUUCUUACCAACAAUUCCAAUACAAGCUCUCGUGCAAGCUUGCCAAAGACCAUCCUGAGUUGAGCCAGCUCCUGUGUGAGGAGAUUAUGCAGAGGCAACUUGAUGCGGUUGAUAUUAUUGCACAGCAUCAGGUCUUAACAUGCAUGGCUCCUUGGAUUGAGAACCUAAAUUUCUGGAAACUUAAGGACUCAGGUUGGAGUGAAAGACUACUAAAAAGCCUUUACUAUGUGACGUGGCGGCAUGGUGACCAUUUCCCUGAUGAAAUUGAGAAACUUUGGAGCACAAUUGCUAGCAAACCCAGGAACAUUAGUCCUGUUUUAGAUUUCUUGAUCACGAAAGGGAUAGAGGACUGUGAUUCAAAUGCAUCUGCAGAAAUAAGUGGUGCAUUUGCUACAUAUUUCUCUGUUGCAAAGCGAGUAAGUUUAUACUUAGCACGAGUAUGUCCUCAGCGCACAAUUGACCACCUGGUUUACCAGUUAGCUCAGCGGAUGCUGGAGGAUAGCAUGGAUCCAAUUGGGCCAACUGCAAAUAAGGUUGAUGCUAAUGGAAAUUUUGUGCUAGAAUUCUCUCAAGGACCUGCAGUGCCCCAAAUUGCAUCACUUGUGGACAUCCAGCCACACAUGUCACCAUUACUUGUCCGGGGUUCCUUUGAUGGUCCAUUAAGAAAUGCAAGUGGGAGCCUCAGCUGGCGAACAGCAGGUGUGACAGGCCGAAGUGUCUCGGGCCCAAUAGGCCCAAUGCCUCCUGAGUUGAACAUUGUUCCUGGAAACACAGGCCGAUCAGGUCAGCUCCUUCCAGCACUGGUAAAUAUGUCGGGGCCUUUAAUGGGGGUCAGAAGUUCAACAGGAAGCUUGCGGAGUCGCCAUGUUUCCCGGGACAGUGGAGACUACCUUAUUGAUACUCCAAACUCGGGUGAAGAUGGGUUGCACUCUGGGGUUUCCAUGCAUGGGAUUAGUGCUAAAGAACUUCAGUCAGCCUUGCAGGGUCAUCAGCAACAUUCACUGACUCAUGCAGAUAUAGCAUUGAUUCUACUUGCAGAAAUUGCAUAUGAAAAUGAUGAAGAUUUCCGCGAGCACUUGCCUCUUCUAUUUCAUGUGACAUUUGUUUCGAUGGAUAGUUCGGAAGACAUUGUGCUGGAACACUGCCAGCAUCUGCUCGUUAAUCUACUAUACUCUCUUGCAGGACGGCACUUGGAACUGUAUGAGGUUGAAAAUAGUGAUGGAGAGAACAAGCAGCAGGUUGUCAGCCUGAUCAAGUAUGUCCAGUCAAAGCGAGGAAGUAUGAUGUGGGAAAAUGAGGACCCCACAGUUGUGAGAUCUGAGCUUCCAAGUGCAGCAUUGUUGUCUGCACUAGUUCAGAGCAUGGUGGAUGCUAUCUUCUUCCAAGGAGAUCUUCGUGAGACUUGGGGAGCAGAGGCACUCAAAUGGGCAAUGGAGUGCACAUCGAGACACCUAGCCUGCCGCUCACAUCAGAUUUACCGUGCGUUGCGGCCUAGUGUCACAAGCGAUACAUGUGUGCUGCUUCUCCGGUGCCUUCAUAGAUGCCUAGGAAAUCCAGUACCUCCAGUUUUAGGAUUCAUUAUGGAAAUUUUGCUGACAUUGCAAGUGAUGGUGGAGAACAUGGAACCAGAAAAAGUGAUACUGUACCCACAACUCUUUUGGGGGUGUGUAGCUAUGAUGCACACAGAUUUUGUUCAUGUCUACUGUCAAGUGCUUGAACUCUUCUCACGUGUGAUUGACCGGUUAUCAUUCCGGGACAGGACAACAGAAAAUGUGCUUCUUUCGAGCAUGCCUCGGGAUGAGUUUGAUGCUAAUAAUGACAUUGGGGACUUCCAACGAAUGGAAACCAGGAGUGGCUAUGAACAGCCUCCAUCUGGAGGAAAUCUGCCAACAUUUGAAGGGGUGCAGCCUCUUGUUCUUAAAGGACUCAUGUCAACAGUUAGUCAUGGUGUUUCUAUUGAAGUUCUCUCGCGGAUCACAGUGCACUCAUGUGACUCUAUAUUUGGAGAUGCGGAGACAAGACUCUUGAUGCACAUCACAGGCUUACUUCCCUGGCUCUGCUUGCAGCUUAGCAAGGAUCCGGUGAUGGGGCCUGCUUCGCCACUCCAACAGCAGUUCCAGAAAGCUUGCUCUGUUGCGGCCAACAUCUCAAUUUGGUGUAGAGCAAAGUCAUUAGAUGAAUUGGCUACUGUAUUUAUGAUUUACUCUCGUGGUGAUAUCAAGAGUAUCAACAACCUCCUUGCUUGUGUCUCACCACUCUUAUGCAAUGAGUGGUUCCCAAAGCACUCAGCUUUGGCUUUUGGGCACUUAUUACGACUACUGGAGAAAGGGCCAGUUGAGUAUCAGCGUGUGAUACUGCUCAUGCUUAAGGCAUUGCUCCAGCACACUCCCAUGGAUGCUGCCCAAAGUCCACACAUGUAUGCGAUUGUGUCCCAGUUGGUAGAGAGCACUUUGUGCUGGGAGGCACUGAGUGUGUUAGAAGCUCUUCUGCAGAGCUGUAGCUCAGUGCCAGGUUCUCACCCUCAUGAACCCGGUUCGUUUGAGAACGGGAUAGGCGGUGGUGAUGAGAAGAUGCUAGCACCUCAGACCUCAUUUAAGGCUCGCAGUGGGCCGCUACAGUAUGGUAUGGCAUCUCCAUUUGCAGCAGGUUCAACACCUGCACACGGGAGCUCAACUGAAUCUGGAACUUCACCUAGAGAAGUGGCUUUGCAAAACACACGGCUUAUCCUUGGGCGGGUUCUUCACAGCUGUGCACUAGGGAAGAGAAGGGAUUACAAAAGGCUGGUGCCUUUCGUGACCAGUAUCGGCAACCCAUAACCUACACACACAUGCAGGCUGUAUCUUUUCUUUCUAAGAUAUUUAAUGUAUAUUAGUGGAUGGAUGAUGAUGCGCGGGCGUAGAAGAAAGUUUUACUGGAUUUGUAUAUAGUAGUGCUUUGUGAAGCUAGUGGUGGUGUAAUAUACUUUGUACAGUCAAAUCAUUUAGAGGUCCCUCUAUGAAGAAUAAUCUUAAAUCCACAUUUUUGCCAAUCUUUUAAUUGUUUGCUGCUCUCGAUUUCAAAUCCCUUGAAUUUAAUGUUGGCUACCUGUUGUCAAAUUCCCAAUGUAACCAGUUCUAAGAGUUUUACUUACUGAAUCAGUUGCAAUCUCUCAGUUUAAUAGUCUUUGCAAGUGUGUCAAAUGGCACUCAUUUGCAUUGGUGAUAAAGUGUCCACAAGCAAGUGAACACCUUCGAGCUUCCUAUUUUUCAUCAUAAACAAACACGAAAACAAAUAACCAAAUAGACAAUAGGGGGGGGAAACGAAUUGUGCAAAGAAAAUUGCAUAACAAAUUUAUAAUACAUAUUUGUAUUUCUCAAAGCUCACUUCAUUUUGGUACAAAAAAGAGUUCAAUGUGAAGAACAAUAUAAUACAACACACGUGCAGAGGGCAGUGAAUUCCAUUGCCCGCUUCUUGCACUAAGCAAACUAACAUUUUAUACAUUGUGCAGAGUGUUCCUUUGUUUUUUAUUGAACGCUCUCAGAAAACCCUGGUUUUCUAAUACAGUUUGGAUCCAGCCAGUCGGUCUUCACUAAAAACAUGAGCACCUUCCGGCAUGUCCUCACAACGGAUAUCAUUCACGCCGUGAUGAAUUCUUGAACAAAGCAUAGGCAUCACUAUAUAUGGCCACCACGUUUGAGAACACAGCUAGUACAAUCAUAAAAACACUCAAGAUCUUGUCCUUCUUAGUUGCUAUGUUGUGUCGAUCCCUGACAUACCAAGGAAAAAGAGAUGAAAAGUAAUUCCAAGUAUAUUCACAAAACUGACCUAGCUAUGGGAAGAACCCAGUAAAUAAUAUCCCUAUCCUUUCAUGUUUAUGAGGUAAAAAGGCAGCAUACGCAUAAAAUCUGUGAGAUAUGAUAACCUUAAGUCCUAGGCUAUUCUCUGCAAUCUACUAUUCUCCAAAUUGGAAAAAGAAAACAAUUGGUUAUCAAAGUAAAUAAAAACCUGAACUAAUAGAUAGUUCUUGUGAUCAAGUCAAAAACUCACUUGAGAGUAAUUGCAGCAGGAAAAAUGAACCCAAGGCAAACUGCAGCAGUUGCUCCAGUGAACUGGAAAGCAUCCCAGAUGCUGGGGAUGAAGUUUGCACCCAAGAAGAUAACACUUAUGAGCCCAAUGGUGACCAGUGCAAAUCUCAUAUUAUCCAGAACCAACGGCCUUGCAGAGGGAAAGAGGAGGCCAUCCAAGUUGAGCCGCAAUGGGAAGAAGACAAUGGGAAACACAAGCAUAAGGUGAGCAGCAUAGCUGACACGAACAGCGUCAUUGAGCACGGAACUGUAAGGUAUGCCAAGGUUGGUGUCAAAGUUGGCAAGCACAUCGUCAAGAGUUCCGUCCCCAAAUAGGAGGAACCCAAAAAGGCUUGUCAUUAUGUAAACAGAUGAGCAUAAAGCAAGUGAGGUUUGCACAACCCCUCUUAUCUGCGUCGAGUCUUCAAGUUCGUUGUGGAUACUGUGGACUGCAGAUGAAUUGAUCAGGAAGAUUAUUACUCAACACGUGUUUGCAAUUAAAAGGUGAAAAACAUUUCAAAUAUGAGAUCUCCCACAUUCAACCAACAGUCCCAUUUCUAUAGUUUCAAGUGUGUACAUUAUGCCAAAAUGUUAAUUUUAAAUCACUUUUAAGUAUCACUGGGUGCUGGUAUGGAAAAGUACAAGGCCAGGAUGAUAAAAGGAUCAAGAUGUGUCAAAAUACCAAAUUUUGUAUGACUAAAGAUGUCACGGUUUUAAUUUUAAACAAAAAAUAGAGAACAUAUUUUAACAUGAUUUAGUUAAAAAAAUUAAGUAAAUAUUUUCAAUAAUAAGAAUACAGGAAUCUGGUGGAUAGAGGGGUACGUAAACCCAUUCAAUUCAAUUCUGACAUCGAAAUCUGACAUGCUACUGCUCAAAGUUUGCUGCAAAUUUAUGUUUUGCUAAAUAGUGAUUCAUUUAACAGGGGAAAAGGGAGGAAAGGAACUGAAGCGCAAACAUACAAAUCCACCAAAAAUUUCUCAUUCUUAUAUUGCAGAAACAUGGACCAAGUUCUAGGCAAAUGAACUCUAUGUAAGUGAACAAACAAACAGUUUCCAUACCAUUGUAGUGACAAAUGUAUGCAGUGACAAGAACAGGGACUACAGUGAAGAGUUUGAAGAAUGAUGAAACGUCGGUAACAUCAGGUAACAAUCUGGGCAUCGCAAUGCUUCCAUUGAACAACUUGACGACCGUAAUUCCAACAGUAAUAACAAGAAAUACAACUGCUAGUGCAACUGAUAAGGCAGACGUGAAGCUCAAUGAAUCUGCAACCAUAAUAGGCCUAUUAAGAUCACCGAAACAUUAUAUUCCAAAUGGAAAAAUAAAGAAUAAGGUCUUAACAAAUAAUAGGCUCAAAUUCAAUAAAGCUAGAAAAUUUAAUAAUAAAUCACCACUCCACCAACAACUUAAGUCAAAAGCUACACAAUGAUUCUUGACCAAAUCACUGUAUGCAAGUGAAAGUGAUAGAGUGAAAACUGAAUAGGGAAGGGCACAAGUUUAAACAAGAGGGGCUCUCAUAUAAAUAUGCUAAACAUAUGUUACCUUAACCAAAUCACUCUAUGUAAGUGAGUGCUAGCAGUGCACCAAACAAUGCCUUCAAACAUAAAAAAUAAAUAAAGACUAACCGAUUCGCUUAAAGCAUGACAAUGGAGCAAAUAUGCCAAGUGUGGUGACAAGAAGAAUAAUGGCACGCCCAGUCCACCAGUGUUCUCCAAACCAUCCUUCAAGUACACCAGCAUGGUGAACACCACUUGAAGAUGUUCCAGAAAGCACAUCACCUUCAUUUAAGUAAUACAAAGAUUGUUAGACAAAUUCAGACCUUUCCCUAUGACAAGCCGGGGCAGAUUUCUAGGCCAACAAAAAUAUUCACCAAAUAUAUCAAAAUGACAAAAUUGUAACAGAGUAAACACAAUACAAUAUUACAGAGCGAAAGACAUACCAAUAAUAAUCAUGUAGACAAUGAGCACGCCAAGGUUGUUGACUAGAACAGAUAUCUGUAACAAAACCUUCCCAUAUUUUCCAAAGGCCUCCCCCAUAAGACCUCCAUAAGAAGCAGACUUCCCAGCUCGGCUGAACCUAAGUAUCAGUUCAAUUGAAGCUUCGGUCAAGAAGGCCAUAAAGAUGAUCAUGGAAAUUCCAAGGACAAGGCCCAACACUUUCAUGGUUGCAGGCAAAGCCAUGAUCCCAGCACCAACAAUUGUGGUUGAUAAAUUGAACACUGCUCCAGUAAAGGAAGCUCCAUUAAACUCAUCAAACACAACAUCCUCUUGCCCUUUGGGCAACAAGGGGGCAUUCUCAUCAAUAACUCCUUUGCUCUUUCGUGACUUCUUUUCCUUCUUUGGUGCAAGAUUUCCAAUCGUCAUCUUGUGAUAUCUUAAAAAUCUUCAAAACAAAGGUUUAAAGCUUUUGGAAAAUCUAUAAAGCAGCUCAACCACCUACAAAUAUUUGCUUCAAUAAAAUUUUGUCCAACGGCCAAAUUAUAUACUUUUUUUUUUCAGAUUGAGGAUGAGGGGAAGAGCAAACACAAGCUAGAUGAAGAGGAUUUUCAGACACAAUGACCCAAACAGCCAAAAAUUCACAAAUAUUGAAUUCUUGCUGAGAGAAUACAAAGGUUGGUCCUUUGCAAAUGCUACCAAAUUGAUUGUGAAAUGAAUGCACAAUUCGUUUUGGGGCAGAUAUUUUGAAAAUCCAAAGUAAAAUAAAAUCCCAGGAGCAAAAGUAUCCAAAUUUACCUUUAGCUAAAACAAACAAAGUAUCAGAAUUGAAUUGAAUUGAAAACACAAGUAAUUCUUCAAUAUAUCACAGUUGAAGGUGGAUAUUUACAAUCAUUAGCUGGACUUUCAAUAUCAACAAGGGGAGGAAACCCAAACCCAAUUUCCCAGAUAGAAAACUUGAGAAAACCCAGUUCUCCCCCUUCAAAGAAAAGCACCCAAAACCAAACCAAUCAAACCCCAGAUUCAAGGUCAAUGAUUCAGCAGACCCAAAGCAAGAAACGCUGCUGAAUUCUUCAGUUAAAGCUUUGAUUUUUAUAGCCAAAAAAAAUUCAAGGAAAGAGAAAGACACACGCCAAUAAAGCUUGAUAUUGAAUAACAAUAAUGGAGGUGGAGACAAAAACUGGAAUUUAAUAAUGUUAAGUUGUUUUCUUUUUCUUUUGGUGUCUGUGGAAUUAUUGUGGAUUGGUGAAAUGAAACUGAUAAUGAAAAACCCUAAUCCACAAAAUUCCACAAACUGUAAAAUUUGUCGCUUUUGGUGGGAAAGUUACGGACUUUAUAAGAGUAUAAGGAAAGACGUCCGCAGAUGUCUACGUCAAAAGAGGAAGCUUCGCAAUUGGAUAAUAAUAUGCAAACCGUAAAUCGGCUAUUAAUUAACAAUUUACUGCCAUUGAUCUGUUCAUCAGCUUUCUAAAAAACAAAUUACCCAUAUAAGUGUUUCUAGGCGUACUCUUUCAAGUAACAAAUCUAUUUUUCUUUAUAAAAAAAAUAUAUUUAAAAAUACAACAAUAAUUUUAUUAUGACGGGUUAAACUUUGAUGAGUGAGAAAAUUAUAUGGAUAAGUUGAAGAAAAUGAACAAAAAUAGAAGCCUGUAAAUGAUUUGAUGAGUGAGAAAAUUAGAUGGAUAAGAUGAACAAAAAUAGAAGGCUAUAAAUGAUUGGGAGUAAUUAAUUUUCCGGAAAUGUCACGUGGGAAAAAAAAAAUAUCUUAGAAGGUUCACCUAAGAUUAUUAGGGUUGGUUACACCAUUUUGGGGAUUUCCAAAGUUCUAAUUUGUGUUUUCUUAUUGGUAUGCUUUUAUGGUUUUAGUGUAAUGGUUCUACAACCUAACCUAGGAUAUUAACAUAUAGGCCUAGGAGAAAUUUACUCUUAUGCUAAUAUUGUUUUCUUUGUAAAUAUUGGAGCAAGUGUGAGCCACAAAUUAUAAAAUGUUAGAGUUGAUGUCAUCCAAGGUGUAAAGAUGAAAUUGAUUAACCUAUGCAUGAUUCUAAUCUACUCUAUAGGAACCUUAAGCCACAUCCAACAAAACAUGACAUCAAAAUUAUGUGCUUAUAUAGAAGGAGUUACACAAGUACGUGAGAUAAAUUAUUCGAUGUGACGAUAAUUUAAAUAAAUUUGUAAAAUCACAGAAUGAAAGUCAUAUCAAAUAAUUUUGGAUGAUGUAGGCGAUUAACAUGAAUCAUUAUUGUCAUUAAGAAUUAGUUAUAAUGUUGCAAAUUAAGUCAAUGGUUGAUUUCAUCACUAAAAUUAAAAGCCGCACAUCAUGAAUGACAAAGAUCAGGGAACAUAGAAAUUGUCAUGCAGUGUUCCAGACAAGAAGUGUCAUUUCAAUUUGGAAAUCUCAUGUAUGUGGCCAGCCAGUGCCAGUGUUGGUGAAACCAUGUCUUAGGCUCCCAAAAAAAACCUACCUUUUACUCAAAUUUUACCAACUUAACCACAGUGAUUAGACAAUGAUGACAUUAGUAACCCACCAACCAAACACUACAUUUAAAAAUAAAAUAAAAAGACCAAUAGAUGAAUAAAGCUAAUAUAAUAUAAUCAUGCGGUGGUGGUUGCAACAGGUGUAAAAUUUGCUGAUGCAAGUACAAGGAAUCUUCCUCCUUCCUCUUCUUUCUCACAUCAGCUAAUCUGUGAUUAGUGAGCAAGAUUAGCAAAAAAGGAAAAUAAAAUAAAAUUGUGGACAGAAUUAGAUUGCAAGUCUAUUCGUCUGGUACAAGUUAAUAUUACAAAAAUUCCAUUAACAAUUUAAAUCUAAUUUAGCAUUAUAUGGGUUGGAUUUUAGGAAGUGGGCCCAUGAGCCCAAUAUUCCACCAACCGGAUGGCCCACCAUUUUCAUCAUGCGACCCGGUGACUCAAAGAUUAGAAUGUGACUCAGAAAGGUUGAUUGAUGUUAAUAUCAAUAGAUUAAUAAAAAGGAGUGGUGCAGAAUUUUUUCACUCACAUUUUUUAAUCUAUCAGACUCUCACUCUUUUGUUAAAUUUUAGUGAAUAUUUUAUAUUGAUCUUGGGCAUGUCGAUGUGCAUACACGUCAGCAUGGUCACUAAAUUCAACCAAAUUGUUUUAAAUUGGUUUGAUUUGAUUUAGUUUCUUUAAUGACUUUUAUCAAAACCGAACUGAACUAAAUCUUUAUAUUGUACCAGUACCAGAAAUUAAGUGUUCGAAUCCCUCCUCGCCCUAUUUUCGUAUCAGGGGAAAUAAAAACAGCAAUUAGUUUUUUUUGGUAAAAAGGUCAUAUACCAAUUAAAAAUAAUUAAAAAAACAGUUUUGGGCUGAUCAACGUUGUUUUGUUAAGGAGAAUUUUUGGGUUUUGGUGGGCCCAAGACCAUAGUUUCAAUAUCCACCGACUCAAAUUGGGCCCAAAUAACAAGCGCGCAACACGUAUCAUGCAAAAUGCAAAGUCCAUCACCAUCUUUUCUCUUUCUUUCUUUCUUAAACGGUAUUUUUUUCGUUGUAUUUGUCUUUCUGCCUUUGCGAGCGCUAACAGAAGCCGAGAAAAUUGUUCUGAAGGUACAAGCUUGCUUUCCGCUUUCUUACUGUUUUUUGUUUGUAUGGGUUUGCUGAGACUGGAAAAAAAAUGGUGUUGAUAUAUCUGCCGUUUCCUAGAUUUCGUUUGUGUUGUGGAAUGUAGGAGAUGGGUGUGCUAGAAUAUGUGCUUCUGAAUAUGGUUGGGCUCUUUUUGAUAUAUUUGAGUACUUUACGAUGAGCCUUCUAAAAUCUGAUGAUCUUCAAUCAUCAAGAGUUUUAGAAAGAAUGUAAAUCAAGGAACUUUAAUUGUUAUUAUUUUCAAUCAAAAUCAUGACUGAACGUAUGAUGUGCAGUCAGUAUUGGAUAUCACUGAGCAUACCCUAUAUGCGUUUUAGAUUUUUUGUUAAUUUGGGUUCUUGAUUUUGGAUUUUGGAAGAUUUCCUUCGAGCACAUAAAAAUAUUCCUGUUUUUAUAUGUGGGAAGUUUUCUACAUUUUCGUGUGUAUUGUUUGUAACAAACUUAAGUUAUGUUGAUAUUCAGGUUUCAGAACCAUUUUAACAAGUGCACCAUUAAAAUGGAUUACGAUGGUGGUCCCGAAGCAAGUGUAUCUGUCAAUGAUGUUAAUAUUGAUGACCCAGAAGUGGAUUCGAGUAAAGUUGGCAAUCUCGAAAGUGUCUCAUCUGAUGGUGUGAUUGUUGGAGAAUUAAGAAGUGUUGGCGAGGUUUUUACCAGAGUGGAAUUGGAUCUAGCAUGUGCUUCUGAGAAGUUAGUUAACUUAAAUGUUCUUAUGAUGCAUGUGGCAACCAAGGAGAGUGACUUGGAAGCCCUUGCUUCCAAGGAAGAGCAGACAUCAGUUGAUUUUGUUGAGAAGGCUAUGGAAUUCGUUCUCUUGUCUGGAAUUUUGGACUCUGAGGUGAGUGAAUUGGAUAAACUCAUGGCUAUACUUCAAGCAGAGAUCACCAAUGCCCAGGGGCUACUAUCUUCAUACACAUGUUUGGGAGAAACUUUCGUGGUAGUAGAAGACAAGCUGUGUGACUCUGAACAAUCUUUGAAGCAGUUGCAAGAUCAGAUCUCUGAAAUAAGGAUGCAAUCCUUGAAGUUCCAGAGGACGUUUUCAUGUUAUGAUGGAGAAGAAAAUUGUGAGUUACAAGCGUGAUUCAGUAUAUUGUUGUUGAUUUAUUGUCAAUAUCAUAUUUUUCUCAUUCUUAUUGUGCUUAUGGAUGAUGGGGUUGCCAGGAAACUUUUAGGGUGUAGGGCAGACAGGUUUUAUAACCACCUUUGUGCAGGCAUAAGUCAUGAAAUAUUAUAGCUUAGAACUUUUUUUUUUUUUUUUCCGCAUUCUAAUCCAUGCAUAUGGACAGGGAAUGCUAACAAAGGAGUGGUCUAUUUAGAGGAUGACAAGUUCUCAAGCAUGAAUCUAAAGAUAAAUAUGCAAACUGUUGAACAGCAAAGACAUAUACUGAGGAUGCUAGAGAAAUCUUUAGCAAGAGAGAUGGAUCUUGAAAAGAAACUGACUGAAUCAAAACAAAUCGAAGAAGAUAUGAAACUGAGGCUGCUCUCUUCAGAGCAAGAAGCAUAUUGCAUGGAGGAGGAGGCAGCAGAUGCUUGGGAGAGGUGGUUACAGGCAGAUAAUGCAUCUGAGGUCCUUAUGGGUAUUUCAAAAGAAUUACUGGGUAAACUCCAUAUUCUCCAGUUUAACUUAAACGGUUCAGUUCAGCGGGAAGCUGAACUAAGAUUGAAGCUUGAUGGUCAGGUUGAAUCCCGAGAAAGCUCUUUGCGGAAACUUGAAAGCAGCAACGCAAAACUAAAUAGCUUCCUUUUAGAUCAGACAGCCGGCUUAAAAGACAGCUUGAAGGAAGCUGAAGAUAAGUUAAUUCUUGCUGAUUCUGAGGCCUUUACUUUGAGAGAAAAGGUGAGUUCACUUGAGGAACAGCAUACUGUUCUAUGCUCAGACAUUAGUGAAUUGGAAAAUGUCAUCACAGAUCUGAAAGAGAAAGUAUCAAAGGCUGAAACUAGGGCUGAGAAUGCAGAAGCCAAAAGCAAAUUAUUAACAGAGACUAAUAUGGAACUUAAUGAAGAGAUCGGACUUCUUAAAAGCACUGGCAGUGCCUCGGAGACGGUGGAUUCACUUGAGAGGAAGUUAAGGGAAUCUGAUACCCAAUUACAGCAUGCAGUGGCAUCUGCUGAAGCUAGCCUGGAGAAACAACAGAUGUUGUAUUCUACAAUCAAUGACAUGGGAAGUGUGAUUAAGGAUCUAAAGCAGAAGGUUUUAAAAGCUGAAAGUCGGACUGACAGUGCAGAGGACAACUGUAUAAGAUUAUCAGAAUCUAAUGCACUGCUAACUGAGGAACUAAGCUUUCUGAGGGGUAGAUUGGCAUGCAUGGAGGCAUCUUUGCAUCAAGCCGAGGAAGUAAAAGUAGCUACUGCGACUGAUAUUGGUAUUCGGUCCAAAGUUCUUACAAGUUUAGUGGUGCAACUUGCUUUUGAAAGAGAGCGCCUUCAUAAGCAGGUAUUCACUUAUCAUGUAUUUGAUUAAUUUUUCAAUUUCAGGUUGAUUUUUUUAUUGUGAGGUGGAACUGUCUUUUUGCUGUCUCUGUAACAUUGCUCAGCGCCUGAUUUCUUUUUCCUUUUGGUCAUUUACCAUUUAGCAUGUAUGUCAGAAAUGUAAAUCUCAGCUAUAUAAUCUCAAUAAGUGAUAAUGUACUAUGCUAAACUAGGAAAUUACGUAAAUAUGGAGCAUAUGGAUCACUAAACGAAUCUUAUGAUCUCCAUGCGUAGAAAUGUCCACACACAUAACUGUGUAAUACACAGAGUAUAUGUGCAUGUGCAUGCCCACAUCCAUGUUUUUUUUUGUUUGUCUCCACAUACAUGUUCGUAUGUAUGUUUGUGUUGCCUUGGGAGCUUGGCUUAGAUGACAAGAGUUGAGGUGGAGGUUUGGCAGGACAGGUAUUAGGUCUAAAUCUUGCCAAGCUAGAAAAUAGAAGGUAUGCAGUUAUGUCUUUAGGUCUUUAAAGAGAGUUUGAAACCCAGUUAGCAGAUAUGAUUUCUCUUCACUUCGGAUUUAAUGUUUCAUCAAAUUUUCUUUCGCAACUUGCGACGUUUGAAAGUAAUUGUCUCUUUUUAUCUAAUUGAAUUCCUCACCGUAUUUUUAGUGUGCUGAACCGUUGAGUCAUUAGAAGGAUCAUAUUGUCUUACUAAACAUUGAAAGUUCUACAUUGUCUUGUUUAAUUUUUUUUAAGAAAACAUGAAAAUUUUACUUUUCUAUCAUUGCAUUAAGCACUUAGACAUCUUGUUUCCUGCCAAUAAAGAAAGAUUGAAAUUUUUGUUUUAGCAUAUUGAAAUCUGAGUGAUGGCACAUCAGCCGGCCUUGCUUUAGUAAAAUGUGUUUUUCCAAACUCUAAAUUUUCGUCUUAGCUGCUGGUGAUUGAAUGUGCAGAUUUCUUCAUUAGCGGUGGAGAAUAAAACUUUGGUACUGAAGUUGCAAACAAACAAUAGUCCAUCUGUGGAAAUGGGAAAUGAUGAUAGAGGAAAUCAUAAAGACUUCAUGCCCUCAAAGCAUGGUUUGGCUACUGGCACAAGAGAAAGUGAGGAAGAAGCUGAUGAGUUGUCUGAUGGUAAUUGUAAGGUAUGUGCCGUACCUUUUUUUAUAUAUAUUAUAAAUCAUUGUUCUUUUCUUUAAUUUUUGCUUCUGUUCCGUUUUAUAUUUCUCAUGCUUAAGGAUGCGUUUUGUUGUCAUUCAAUAUAAUUUCAUAUUCAGCAUUCAGAUUUCUUUGCACAUUUUCUGCAUGUACUGUGUUAUACUGAGAGCUUGUUUUUCAAUUGUAACACAACUUGAAAUACGACAUUAUUGACUCUAAAGUAGCCUCCUUAUUUAUAUAUUUUCAGCUGGAUGAGACUCAGAAUAAUGUUUCUGUUGGUGAGACUAAAGUGGGACCUACUGAUUCUACAUCAGAGUUUGAGACCGCAAGGAGAAUAGAUGCAGGAGUUCUGAGCUUCAAGCAUUUCCUCAUGGCGAUGCUUAUUUUACUGAUUUCAGUUGCAGCUUAUUUUUUUCUCCAACAAGACUGCCCAUUUUGAUGUUGCUGCAGGAGUUUCCUCAUGAGCUUGUCUCCACAGUAGCUUUCUUGUAACAACCAGUGUAAAGCAACGAAGAUCUGGAAAACGAAAAAACGAAGAACAAUGAAGUUAUAUUCUGAAAUUGUUUAGGGAUAGGCAAUCUAUUGUGCCUAAGGUACAAAUUGCAUCAAAGUGAGAUGCUGAAUACCCUUCAGCAUUGAGAAAUAGCAAGAUAUCAUUUGAUAGCGAGUUUCCCAUCUUAGCUUUCUCCUCAAGUACUCAAAGGGAUGUAAACGCAGAAUGAUUGGAGAUUGUUGUAACUGGUUCAGAAACAACUUCAAUGAUAGUUUUUACCAUCAUUUAUGAAUUUUUAGUGCUUACAAUUAUAAAUUUAUGUCAAAGAAAGAUCGACGGAUGUUUGUGAAUUUGUUCUUUUUGUGAUUGCCCAGCCUCCAUACCCAUAUAUAUAUUUUUAAAUCUCUUAUGCUCUUGGUUUGAAUUAUUUCGUAGGCAAUUAGGAAAUCCCUCCCACACAGACAUUGUAUAACCACCAGUAUCAAGUCUUUGGAUGAUAUGAUUUACUAACCCUACAAAACUCAUGCUGAGGUUCCAAUCCAGUAUCAAAGCACACAUUUUGUAGCAAAAUUCCUACAAUUGAUUCUUUGUUGCACUUGGACCAUUUGUCUCAGAGGGGUUCAAAAUAUUUGAUAUUAGUUUGGAGCUCACAAGCGUUAGAAUGUGACUUCGUCAAAACAUAACAAAUAAAACUCUUGAUGAGAGAGUUCCUUUGUUAUCAAGGACUCAAAAAUUAUAACCAAGUUAAGAACAAAGAAUACCUAGAUUCAGUUAUAACUAACUUAUUAAAUUCCUCCAACUUAAGAUAAAUAGCCCCUCAUUUUGCAACAACCUUGGUCAACUUCUCUGUUUAUGUCCCAUUUACCCCAACUGCGAUCAUAGACACGAGCUUGUCCAAGCACAUCAACAAAAAGCUCGUGGAAUACCUUCUUGGUUUAUGAACCUUGUGAUGUGCUCUUCUUGGGGAUUGAGGGAUUGAAAUAUAAUGUUACAAUUCCGAUCCAAUGCAACAAUGAAAUAUAAUGAUUAGAGGAAUUGAAUAAUCCGUUUCGCCUUUAUGAACAAAAUAGUAAGAUUACAAGUAGUUAUACUUGUAUUUCAUCAUUUAACCAUAAACAAUUCUAAAAAUUCCAAUCCAAUCCAAUCCACUCGGGCUUUGUGUUUAUCUAUGAGACUAUACAGGAAUGAUGAUAUGAAUGUUCUCUGUGAAUUUGAUGUAAUUGUACAGACCUAGAGCUUGUGUUUAAAUAGAGUGGCCGAUACUUGUUCCAACAAGUAUCAGGUAAGGACAAACUCAAUCAGAAAAUAUAUAUAUAUAUAUAUGAUAUUUGAAUUUUAAAAAUAAUUCAAAUAAAUAAAUAAUUAAUUAUUCGGAUUUAAUUUAAAACACAGAGCCCCAAGGCCUAUCUUUUGAUUAAUUAUAUAUAUAUUAAUUAACCAUUGACCCAACUAAUUAGGCAUUGACCCAAGAUCCCCAAGGCCUAUCUUUUUAUUCAAUAAUAUGUGAAAUUAUGUAUAUAAUACAUGAAUUUUGUGUGUAAUCUCAAAAAUUUUGUAAAAAAAUUCGUGUAUUAAACAUGAAAAUACGUAUAUACGUGUACAACACGAGUAUUGUACAUUUGCUUUUUAAAAAAUAUGUAUUUCAUUGAGUCUUUAAAAUGUGUAAAGAAAACGGAUAUAUUAAUGAAAAAUACAUAUAUGCAUGUAUAAUAUGAGUAUUAAAUGUGAAAUAUACUAAAUUCUUUAUAUGGGUAAUAACUCUGGCAAAGUAAAAAAAUCAAAGGAAACAAUAGAGACUCAAGUAAAGGCCUAAAAGAGAAGAAAAUAGGGGAUUUUUUUUUUUUUUUUUCAAAGAAAACAAUCACGGUAUAUAUAUAUAUAUAUAUAUAAAGAGUAUAGCCGCUCGGCUAUACAAUUUAUUUAAAAUACAAAUAAAAAACCUCAGUAACGCCGCGCGGCUAUACUCGGGUUUUUUUUUUAAAAAAAGUAUAGCCGCGCAGCUAUACUAUUUAUGAGACCCGCCUAGCGAAGCAGGUAAGCGGCCACGUGUAAAAAGACGUAUAGCCGCACGGCUAUAUUAAUUUUUAGGAAACCGGCGUACAGCCGCGUGGCUAUACUAUUUAUAAAAAAAAAUAGGGCCGCCACUAGUGAAAACAUGUAUAGCCGAACGGCUAUACUAUUUGUAAUAUAAAAAAUACCCUAGUGAAGCCGCACGGCUAUACUAUUUUGUUAAAAAGGGACCCACGUGUCAAAAAGGUAUAGCCGCCCGGCUAUACUUUUUUUUUCAUAAAAGAAAUACGGUAGUAUAGCCGCCUUACUCCUUGUAUCGUAAGAGUUGCUGCAAACACUUGCUCAUUCCAGAUUUCUCGUUCUUAAAAAACUUUCAAAUGUUCGACAGAAGCUUCGAAAUAGUUGAUGAAACAGGCACAUCAGGUUAUGGCGUAACAAGCGCACCAAAGAAACAUGGUAUCGCAAAACAAGUGGAAUCGCCGGAACAAUAAUGAGGGAAAAUCGAUGCGGCUGGUCUCUUCCUAAAUUAACAAGAUACCAUUGUUUUCAGUUCCUUGUCCACGCAAUCGUACUUUGCUGGAUACUUGGAAAUGAAGAACCCCCUAGCCACAUCAUUCAUAAUGAAAGGGAAUUCCGGAUUUCUCGUCCUUCAAAAACUCCCAAACAUUCCACACAAGCUUCGGAACUGCCUAGGAUUACGAGAUAAACAUCAGAAAACACGUAUCAUUGUUUCCUUGUCCAAAUAGUCGUACUUGGAAGUGAAGAAACCUCUAGCCACAUCAUGGUGAAAGAGAGAUCAUUUAUAUUGAUUGGCUAUUGUGAUUAUAAUCCAUAUUAUCAUGGAUUGAGAUUUGAAUAUCAAUAAAGUCCCUAAAUUAAGGGUUCCGAUUACAUCUACCUCCAUAUAUUAUUGUCAAGUAAUGUAUAUUACUUGUAAGGUAUAUUGCAAAAUUAAUUAUCUAUUUCCUAUAUUGUAUAGCUAAAUUAAUUUUCGGAUUUAAUUUAAGGAUAUUAAAGGGAUUUCCGAAAAGAAAGGGAUCAAUGAUGUGCUAGAAAUCUAUAUAUAUCUAUCUAUAUAUAUAAAGCAAAAGGUAGAGAAUGGUGAAACAUUCAAAAUGCCACAAAAUGCCCUUAGUUAAUUUAAACAUUAAGAAUUGAAAUUAUUAAUUAAAUGAGGAUAAUAUGGUAAGUUCACACUUUUUCAUAUUAAAAAAAAUUAAAAUUAAAAGAAAAAUUAGAUAAUGAAUCCUAUUUUUAUGGAACACAACUAUCCAUUAUCUCUUUUAAUUUUAAAAUAAUUUUUUUAUAUUUAAAAAAAGGCCUAGUUAUGAAAGCGCAUGAAGAGAGGCUAUAGUUAGGGAUUGUUCAUUUAGAAAAAUCGUACAGUUACAAAUCAAAGGAAUACAUGGUGGAUGGCACAGAUUGUAAUUUUAUUAUUGAUAUAAGGAUAAAUAUUAUAUGAUACAUAUUUUAAAUUUGAGUUUUCAUGGGAAAUGAAAUUUAGGGUGAGUUUAUAUAUAAAAUAUAGGAAUUAUAUAGAAUUAGGCACUUAUUUUAUUUUUUUGCACUCGGUUGGUUUGAUUGAAUCGGCCGCUUUGAUUGAUUGAUUUAUUUAUUUUUUUUAGUAACUCGGCGGCUUUGAAUUUAUAAAUCGAAAACUGAACCGAUAUACAAACAUAAUUAUGACAUGCAUCUGAUAAGUCGGUGAUUAGUUGAUAUAAUUUGACCGUGACUUUUAAUUUGAUAACCUAUUUGUUUGAAUGAAUUGUUUCCUUAGUGUAAGUGCCAAAACUGUGUGUGGGAUUUUGGAGAACACUGCGAUGCCUCAGUCCUUUUGCACUGAUGCUUAGCUAAUGUGUUAUUUGUCGAUCAAGAAAGGCUCGUUUGGGCCCUUGGUUUGAGCUUGACGCUGCCUUUUUCUUUGGAUGCGUUAGGCGUGCCACUACUAGUGUUUUACUUUUUUAGUAGAAAGAGAGAAUGAGUGACCAAGUGAUGUGAAGAUGGUGUUAUGCUCGUUGAUCUUAGCCUCUAAUCAAAGCCAUUGUACUCCAAGUGGGGAAUCUGGCUUGCAUAGGUUCUCUAUGCCUCAAUUAAGAGGACUUCAAUAUUUCACUUGCUACGGGACAAACUUGGAAGAAGCAACAACUUUAAAUUGAUAUCGGAUAGAAAGUGCAACGAAAGUUUAAAGUUGGUGGUGUCCGAAAGGUAUUAUAUUGUUGCAAGAAAGCAAAUACGUAUCUAUUUUGAUCAAAUAACAAUAAUCAAUCUAACAAGAACCAAAGAAAUGAUUAUCGGACAUAAACAAAACUCCUCAAACACCACUAUAAUACUCUUGAGACAGUACAAUGAGUCUGAUGAAGUUGUCAACAAUAUCUGCAAUGCCUAGGAAAACUUGCAUAUGCGAUACAAAUUUUGAUCUUUGAUAAACUAGAAAAAGUGACUAACUUACAAAAAUCAUAUCAAGCAUUGAUGUUGGCAGAGCAUUAAGAUUACAAAACAAUAACAAAGUAAUUCCGAUCAUGAGUUGUCAAUUGGGAAUAAAUCAGAGUAUGUGUUUGAGAAAAGAAGAGAGUUUCAAUCAGGAGUUGUCAAGUGGGGACUCAAGAGAUUGAGAGAGGAUUUGAUUCAAGUCUUAGCCAUUGAUAUGUUGUGAUAUGUAUUUGGCAAGUUAUUUGAGUCAAGUGUAUUUGAAGUUGGUUCAAAUAAGAGGUUUGUUCUUGAGAGAAAUUGGAUGUCCUUGAAUCAAUAUCUCCUCCAUUUAUUUAUAGUCUUUUUGGCUUCUCGGAUUUGUCCUCUUGGUAAAAAACGGAAAGUCCUGAUUACUAGUCUCUUCUCUGCAACUGAGUUUAGCGGUCUUUUGGAUCUUCCUCAGUUCUUGCGCUUUUAGCUGGCUCAAACAUGUUGAAGCAGCCAAUCUUCAUGGUUCAAAUCGCAUUUAAUGAUGUUGUCUUACUCUUCUUCCACCAUAUGACUUCCCAUGAGUUGUUGAAGUAAGCUUUGAGUUCAAAAUUGGAUACUCGCGCUUUUACCUGGGUAAAAAUAACGAUCUUUUGAGUUUUAGCAAAAAAACUUUCGAAUAAACCACACCAUAGAUCUUUGGUGCGGCGGAAAACUAAUUUUAAAUUCAUACAUUUACAUUGGCUGUUAAUUUAUGAAUCUUAAAGAAAAGAAAGCAUUUUAUCCAUUUUAGGGGACCAAUCAUGUGACUUUGCCAUAACCAUUUCAAUUUGGUUUUGAGACCAUUUAUUUUAUUUCUAUGAUAUCCUCACCACUCUUGUCUCUCCCACAAGGCCAAGUGCUACCAUACAUGCCUCUGGUUACCCAGCUCUUCCCGUGAAAGAAAACUCUGUACCGUUUUUUAACUAUUGUUUCUCAAAUAUCCAAUCGAACUAACUUAGACAUCGAAGGGCCUUUGGCCAAUACCUCUAGGUGUGGUCUUUUACUCAUGUUUAUUUCACAGGAACCGAGAAAAAAAUAAAAAGAAACUCAAGAGGUGGAGAAUCUAAAAGCGAAUAUUCUCCUGAGAAAUUUGCACAAAUAAUAUUCAUCAGACACAUUCAGUCCGAUAAGCUUUACUUUUCCAGUUGACCAAUUUGUUUACUCAAUGUCUUCAAAGGUCCCCGCAUUGUCCGAUGCAUUUGGGCUUUUAAACAUAACUUGUGACGAGCCCCAAUCAUUUUAUAACUGACUUGGGCAACUGCUGUUCAUAAAAUCAGCCCAUUGAUUGCAGAACUUGGGCUGAGCCAAUUUUGGUCCAAACACUAGGCAAUUUGGAAAUUCCACGCAUUGUAUAACUAACCUGCAAAAAAGAAAACUGCAAAUCACUUUUUUUCUUUUUCUUUUUCUUUUUCUCAAGCUCUUGGUUUGAUCACUCUGUUAAUGGGAAUUCUACAAACAAAUUCAAACCCAACACAAUUCAAAGGUCCACGUUCCAAUCAAAUUCCAAACCCAGUUUUUGGAUUAUAUGAUUUACCAACCCAACAAAAAUCAUGCUGAGGUUCCAAUCCAGUAUCAAGGCAUACAUUUUGUAGCAACAUUCCUACCACUGAUUCUUUGUUGCAAUUGAACCAUUUUUCUGAGAGAGUUUCAAUAUAUUUAAUAUUAGUUUGGAGCUCACAAGCAUUAGAAUAUGACUUCUGGGAAUCCAGAAAACAUGUCGAAACAUAACAAAGAAAACUCAGACGAGAGAUUUCCUUUGUUAUCAAGGACUCAAGAUGAGAAAGUCGUGACUGAUAAAUACUCUGGAGCAUCCUUUCAUGGCUCUGUGUUCAAUCUGUCAUGCACCAUUGUUGGUUCUGGCAUUAUGAGCCUGCCUGCAACCUUGAAAAUGCUGGGGCUCGUUCCUGGGAUUGUUUUGAUCAUUAUAGUUGCAUUUGUUAUCGAGGGGUCGAUCGAGAUGUUGUUGAGAUUCAGCAAGGCAGGGUCUGCAUAUUCCUAUGGUGAUGCCAUGGCUGAUGCCUUUGGAAGAAUUGGGAAAGUCUUACUUCAGAUCUGCAUUGUUAUCUACAACACUGGUUCUCUUAUAGUGUACAUGAUUAUAAUUGGUAUAACGCCAUUUCUUACUUUUCUGCUUACAUUGGUCUUACUACUUUCGAUACCGUUGUUUUGUAUUGUUUCUGUUGUGGCUCAAAAAAUGUUUGUUUCCUUUUCGAAACCAGAGGAUGUGCUUUCUGGAUCAACCUCAAAAGAGGUUCACCAUGCCGGCAUUUUGGAAGGGUGGUUUGGAGAGCAUUGGUGGACUAGCCGCGCCUUUGUUCUUGUUGCAGUAACUGUUGUUAUAUUUUUUCCAUUGAUGUUCUUCGAGCGUAUUGGUUGGUAAAUAUUUCCUUUAUGCAUCAGUACUAAUUAAUGAUACCUUGUUUCUGCGUAAUAUAAGGUUGCAGCUUAGUACAGUUCCUGUGUAAAUAAAUCAUCUUGGUAUCUUGUAAUUUGAUAUAAUUUCGUAGUUUGCUAUGCAUAAUUAGGUUAAACUCAGUAGGGCAGAGAUAUGAUUCUUUGUUUUUCGGUUGCAGAUUCAGCCAGAUAUAUCUCUGUUAUAUCAGUUGGAUUGGCGAUUGUGUUCCUUCUUGUUGUCAUUGGGGUCACAACUUUCAAAUUAGUGGACGGAAGCAUAGAGACGCCUAAAUGGUUUCCGGCUGUUACUGAUUCAACAUCAUUCCUUAAUCUCUCCACUGCUGUCCCUGUCGUUGUCUUUGCAUAUAUCUGCCACUACAAUGGUAUUCAAUCUGAUCAUCUCUUUAUUUCCAAGUCGUUACAUGUCUUUGCUUCCCUUAUAAUUUGCUCUUUGUUCCCCCUCAUGGUUAGCCUUUUUUGUGCUAAGUAUGCAGAAUGGAAGGAGAACAAAGUUCCAUACUCAGAUUGUAAUCCUUGCAAAACUUUAGAAUUUGCAAAUGGUUGAAUUCUGAAAAUAUGAAUGUUGAUAAUUUUCAGUUCACACAAUACAGAAUGAGCUUGCAGAUUCUUCCCUAAUUCAAGGGGUUGUUCGGGGUUCGCUUGCUCUAUGUGCCCUUGUCUAUGUAAUGACCGGCAUUUUCGGGUUCCUUCUGUUUGGUGAAUCAACAUAUACUGACUUGCUCUCCAACUUUGACACUGACAUUGGCGUUCCAUAUAGCUCACUGUUCAACAACAUUGUUCGAAUUAGCUAUGCCGGUCAUGUUAUACUUGUCUUUCCAACCAUAUUCUUACCUCUGCGGCUCAACUUGGAUGGCCUCCUUUUCCCCUCAGCAAGGCCCCUGGCUUUGGACAAGAAGAGGUUUGUGUUGGAAAGUGUAGGGCUUGUCCUCAUUUCCCUUGUGGGUGCAAUAUCCAUACCAAAUAUUUGGGUAGCUUUUGAGUUCACAGGAGCAACAAUGGGAGGGUUACUAGCAUUUGUGUUUCCUGCUUCCAUCACUCUCAAGUGAGCUCUUUUUCAUUCUUAAUUCAACUAGAAACUCACUUAUCUCGAUAUCGAUUGUUCUUAGAUUUUCUCUGUUAAUCUGGUGUUUCAGGGACCCUCAUUGUAUAGCAACUACCAAGGACAAGAUUGUGUCAGUCUCCAUGAUCAUUCUUGCAGUAGUUUCAAACUUCAUGGCCAUAUAUAGCAAUCUGCGCUCUUUGUUGUCCUAACUGAGAAGAGCACUUGGUGCCUUGGCCAAAUGGGACGAAAGACAAAAGAACAAAUGCCAUUGAAUUUAUUCAUGAAUUUAAGGAUAAAUUCACAUAUUUGUUCUUUGAAAGUGAAGACAAUUUGUUUUAUUCAUUUAUUUAUGUAGCUUACCUGAGAUUGUUGUACAAGUUUCAAUGUGAUUGUCGUGUCGUACUAAAUAUCUUGGCCAACCAUGCCACGUGUAGCAAUUGGAACCUCCUGUAGUUUCAAAGCGUAUGUCCUGAGGCUUCCGUUAUUGUCUAUCGUUUUAGUAUAUGACUUCUGCCUAGGUGCUGAUUACCCAUCUAACUAAACCACAUGUCGUAUCACCACAAAUAAUGGAGGCCUUCCAGUCAAAUGGGAACACUCAUUUUUAUAUUUUUGUAUUUUUGUUUGACUAGCAGCUGAACAGCCUUUGCUCUAAUACUUAAAAAAAUUUGUCCCUCUAAAUUCAGAGUUUUUAUCUACUUUUCUUCUGUUUGUCUACCUAUAAGAACCAGUUGUUUAUUUUAUUUAGAUUCUAUAGAAACCAAAUUUGACCUUUUGUUCUUUUUUCUGUUUUCAAUUCAACUUCUUGUUGGCAAGAGAGAUUAUGUUCAAUAUUGUUGAGUUCCACUAAGAAGAAAGCCAUUCAUUUUAAGUACUUGCAGUUUUUGAUUCUUUGGUCUUGAAUUUAUAUCAAGAUUUUAUAACCCAAUUGUCACUUCCAUUACUAUUGUUAAGUCCUGUAUCGAAUUUUCGAUCUAGUUCGAAACAGAGUUGUUUUCCGUUUAGUAGUUUUGCUUUGCAGGCAGCACAUUAGGUGAUUCUUUUGGGAAUUUAUAAAAUUUCUGCUUGCUAACUGAUGUUGUAUAUUGAGCUCAAGUGAUAAAAUUUGAAAGCUCUGAUUUUGAAGUAGUGAGUGAGCCAUUGGAAUAUGAGUACAUCACAAAGUGAACACCAAUUGGUUGAUGAGAGGACCCUUUUGUUGCCCACAAGCCAAAAUGAAGAAGCUCAGGCUGGGUUUGGCAAACCCAGCAGAAGAGCUUCUUUUCCUGGGUCUGUGUUCAAUUUGUCCUGCACAGUUAUUGGUUCUGGAAUUAUGAGCCUGCCUGCUACCUUGAACAUAUUGGGGCUCAUCCCAGGGGUUGCUUUGAUCAUCAUAGCUGCAUUCUUAACAGAAGCAUCAAUUGAUUUUUUGCUGAGAUUCAGCAAGCCUGGUUCAGCAUUUUCUUAUGGUGAUGUCAUGGGUGAAGCCUUUGGAAAAGUUGGGAAGUAUUUGCUUCAGAGCUGUGUUAUAAUCAACAAUAUUGGUUCUCUUACUGUGUAUAUGAUCAUAAUAGGUGAAAUUUCAAUGCUUUUUCUUCUUCUGUUAUCAUUUACCAAUUUUUGUCAAGGCUCAAAUAUUACAGGCAUUCUGUUCCAGAUUAAAUCAUGCUAAGCUUCUUGGUUAAUUCUAUUUUUUGGUUACCAGAGGAUGUGCUUUCUGGCUCAACUUCAAAUGGAGUUCACCAUGCUGGUAUUUUGGAAGAAAGCUUAGGGGUACAUUGGUGGACUGGACGUGCUUUCGUUCUUAUUGUCCUUACUGUUGUCGUAAUUGUUCCAUUGAUAUGUUUUAAGCGCAUUGGUUAGUAUCUCUUCCCUUGUUAAUUUUUCUGUUUGGCACAGAAUAGCUGUACAUAGAGAUUUACCAACAAGAAGACCCUUUCAAAUUUGUCUGCAGAUUCACUGAGGUUCACAUCAGCUAUAUCAAUUACGCUGGCAGUUGUUUUUCUUGUUGCUGUCAUCGUAAUCACAGUGUACAAAUUAAUACUGGGAAGCAUAGAAGCACCUGCAUUGUUUCCUAGUGUUACUGGUCUGACUUCCUUUCUAAAUCUCUUCACUGCAUUUCCUGUUGUGGUUUUUGCUUAUGUCUGCCACUACAAUGGUAAGCAAGUUGAUCCUCUUCUUAUAAACCAGUCUUCUUUUAUGCACAGUAUUUGUAAGAAAGUGAUCAUCAAAACAUAAUUAUACAACUUGCAAUCUGCAUCCACAUUAUAUAAUCUGAUAUCUGGUGUGAUGUCAAAACAUAAAUGAGCAGAAAAUUCAGCAAGUUUCUGAAGAUGCAAUAUAAGUUAAAUGACUGGGAAGAUAAGUUUCUAAUCUAAAAUUUUGAGGAUGACUAUCUAUUAGCGGGAAACAUCUUUGAUCCCGUCUUCAGCAAUGUCUCUCAUAUCAUAUCCUUGUCUAUAUAUCUCAAUUUCCAAAAUUUCAAGUUGAGAUCCAGCCAUUUUAUUUUGAUGCAGUUCAUAGCAUACAAAAUGAGCUUGAAGAUUCUCGAAGGAUGCCAGCCAUUGUGCAGACUACAGUUGCUCUCUGUGCCUUUGUGUAUGUGAUGACUGGCGUGUUCGGGUUCCUCCUGUUUGGUGAAUCAACUCUUUCUGACCUGCUCUCCAACUUUGACACAGACCUUGGCAUUCCAUACAGCUCUGUCUUCAACGAUAUAGUUCGUAUAAGUUACGCGGGCCACAUCUUACUUGUAUAUCCCAUUAUUCUUUUUCCCCUGCGCCUUAACUUGGACGGCCUUCUCUUCCCCUCAGCCAGACCGUUGGCUUCGGACAACGUGAGGUUUUUGUUGAUCAGCUCAGGGAUCAUUGUCAUCACCCUCUUGGGUGCAAUAUUCAUACCAAGCAUAUGGGUGGCUUUUGAGUUCACUGGAGCAACUGUUGGAGCUUUACUUGCAUUCAUCUUUCCUGCUUGCAUUGUUCUCAAGUGAGUUUUAUCUUUUUACUUUCUGCUAGAAUUUCUUGUAUUUUAAUCUUCACAUUUGGUUUUGAUCUUUUGUUUUUCAGGGACCCUCAUGGCAUAGCAUGGAAGAAGGACAAGAUUUUGUCUGUCUUCAUGAUCAUUGUUGCUGUAGUGUCUAGUGUGGUAGCCAUUUACAGUGAUGCAUAUUCAUUAUUGACAUAGCAAGGGCAAUAAAUAUACCCUCCAAUUUUUCAUUUUUAAUAAUGUUGCUUCGGGGCUCUAACUAAUCAAUUGAAACAUGUCAGAUAUAUUGUCUGAAUGAAUGAAUUGUAGUUGUAAAGACAGACACAAGGAAAGAGAAGGAAAUUAUGCUUCUGCAACCUCUGAUUAUAAGCGCAAGACUCUCAAUUUUUUCCAUUCAUGUUAAAUUUGUUUAACAUUGCACCAUAUUCUAAUGAUCUAAUCACCUCUCUAAUAUGUAGGACUUACCUAUGUAAGUUCAUUUCUAUAUAAAAAAUGCGAAGAACAAAAUAAUUUGAACAGAGCAGCAUGGCUUUUUUUCUUUCUUUCUUUUGGUUACUCACAGUGAUGGGGCCAUGGUUAUCAGAAAUUGUGAGUUUAGUAUAUUACACAUGCUACAUGAAUGUUAGGAUUUGAACCAAGAAUCUUGCGUGGCUAAAUUUAGAUAUUACUUUUUAUUCCCAAAAGCGCACGUUUUAGUUGCGGUUCUUAUUUUGUUUGAGGACCUUUCUUAUUGACAGAUGCAAUAGUAUACUAAACUAACACAGACUACACGAAUACUAAGACUCGAACUCAGAACUUUGCCUGAGAAAGUAAAUACUCCCCCCACUACAUUAGUGGUGUGGUUCCCAUGCUUAUAGUCGCGGUUCUAAACAAUCAACCGAGACUCUUAAACAGCGGUUUCCGAUAGCGGUUUUAGCACUAAUAAAGCAAAAAAUUCGUUAUUGGCCUUUGGGUGAAACGGUUGGAACCCAAUUUCGAAUGGCUGGGAAAGAGGAGCAAGACAAGCUCGCCGAGUCUCUCAACGAUCUCUUCACCAGCGUCUCCACUAUGGUCAAAUCCGAGCUCCAGGUUCCAUCUCUGAAACCCCAAUCUUCAACCUUUUCAAAUCGAUUUCUGCGAUCAUCAAUUGAUCUAAGAACUGAGUACUUGUUGAUAUGAAUUCAUUUUGAUCAGGGAUCAACCAACCACCUGGACCUUUUGGAGAAGAUGAAUCUGAGAGUGGCCGAAGAGUACAAAGGCUUCGGCGACGUGGCCUCUGGGCUGAGCGUCUUCGUAGAGCAGCUCAAGUCGAAAAGCGGCAGCUUUGAAGAGUAUGCGAAGCAGAUUGACGUUAUAGAGCAGCAAGUCACGGAGUUCGAAGCUGUGAUUUCAGUGCUGGAUAGAUAUGUGUCUAUGUUAGAGUCCAAAGUCCAAUCUGUGUAUCAGAAUCCGUCUCCUUCCUGAGUUUUAAGUGUUUGUGAAAAUUAUUUGGCUGUUGGUUUAACUUUUGUGGCAAUCUGUGUUUUUUAUUUGGGGUGUGAAAUGCUUUGAAAUUGGAAAUGAAAAGUGCCCUGCUUGAAGUAAACACACUGUACAUUUAAAAGCGGUUUACAGUAAUUUUAGACUUUCGCUUGUAUAAAAACAAAAAGCGGUUUGCACAAACUUCAAAUUUUAGCAAUCCGACACAAGGUUUGCUUUGAGCAGUCGAUCAUGGAAACAUACGUGAACGAUUGUCAACCGAUAAUGUACGUGGCAUAAACGCAAGUAUUCACCUUCUAAAGAUGAAAGCAACCUUCUUUGAAUGACUAAUUUAUGUAUAAUGGUAAAAUUAACCAUCCCAGUGUUUCUGCUAUAUAGUACAAGUAUGCAACCAGCUGGUUCAAGUCAUCAACAAGAUAACUAACUACUAUGUGCUUUUGUCAGUUUAUCUUUCUGUGAGACUUGCUACUUGUUUUGUAUCGAGGAGGCUGCUUCUUCUUACGUCUUUGUAAGUUUUGCAGCAUCAUAGCCCGUGUUUUCCCAUCUGGUUGCAGACCGUUCUCGCGCAUCUUCGUGUAAAUCUUCUUUGCUAAUUCAAUUUUGCCUCUUAAGCACAUUCCUUGAAUGGCAGCAUUAUAAAGAGACAUAUCUGGUGCAGCCCACUGCAGAACAAGUAAACAUUAUAGAGGUAAUUAUCUUUGGGCAUUGAAGGUCUAAACAAUCCCAAACGAACAAUAAUGCAUGGAUACAAUAUGAGUCAAUUGCACCAUUGAUAGAAAGAGUUUUUGAAUUUCACUAUAAAGAGUUGUUUUAUACAUAAUUUCCAUGCUAUCCCAUAAUAGCAAAGAUAUGAGAUAAGCUGAGGCACAAAAUUAACAUAACCCUGAAAAAAGAAGGAAAAAACUUACAUUCAGAAUUUCCUCCACUUCAUCCCAUAGAGAACCCCAAAUGCAACCCCUUAUUAGUGAUAGAUAAGUAAAUAUGUCUGGGGUGCACUUCUGGUGAACCAUGUGCUCAUAAACUUGCAAUGCCACUUUAGGUUUUCUUGCCUUCUCACAUGCACUGACUACAAGAUUAUAUGAUGCAGUUGAAACUGACUGCCCCGAAGCUUCUAAUUGCCACAAAAGCUUCAGAGCUUUAUCCCAUAGUCCGAGCUUUGAGCAUGACAUUAAAGCCAUAUUGUACAAAUGUGAGUUCAGCUGAGAGCCCUGACUUGUCUUGAUACUCUCAUAAAGCCUAAGGGCAUCAUCAUGUCGAUUUGCCCUAUACAAUGCACCAAGUAACGCAUUCCAUGUGUAAGCAUCGGGUGAAUGACCCAAAGAUUUCAUGAUAUUAUAUACCCUGAAUGCUAGUUCAACCUCCCCAGCCUUUCCAAGUGAAUUUAUCAAUGCAUUCAAUGCAACUGCAUUUGGCUUGAGCCCACUGUCCAACAUACUUUGAAAGAUGUUUAGCGCAAGAUCCCACUUUCCGUCCUUUGAGCAUGCACCAAUGAUAGCAUGCAUUGUAUCAUUCCCAGGUUCAAAUUUGUUUUGAAUCAUUUCAUUGUAAGCAUCAAGAGCUAGUUCGUGCUGACUACAACGAACAAAAAUGCUAACUAAGAGGCAAUAAGUAACUCGUGUUCCAGUAAGGCCAUUCUCCUUAAUAUGUCUCCAUAAUCUCUCAGUUUCACGCCAAUUGUUCACUUUACCACAAAUUGAUAUCAUUGUGUUAUAGACGAUGGUAUCAAAACUGUCCCUCACUUCACUUUCCUCUUCCAUUGCCACAAACAUUUCAAUGGCAGAGCUGCAGCCCUCAGCAACCGAAACUGCUUUCAGUAUUAAACUAUAAGUAUGCCCUGUGGCUAGCUUCUUUCUCUUCAUAAAUUCAAACACUCUCAAGCCAUCAUCAAGUAACUCAUUUCUCAAAAGGCAAGAUAAUAAUGAAUUACAUGCAUGUAAAUUAGGAAGCAGACCUGAUAGUUCCAUGGAAGUAAACAGUUCCAAUGCACUUCUAGUUUUGUUUGUUCUACUAAGCACCAAAAUUCGCUUUGAUAACGUUCCUUCAUCCAUCUCCUCUAAAAAGCUUACCCUAUUUACAUUCAAUGAAGCCUUCCUUUUUAAACAUGAUUCGGGCUGAAUGGGAACCUCAGGUUCAAAAUCCAAGUCCUCGUCAAUUGCCAACUCUCCCCAUGGAGGCAAUGUCUGCUUAACAAAAGAAGCUUCAUAGCCUCCUUCUCUUUGAACCACUUUAUCUUCUUCCUCUUCUUCACAAACCAAACCAGAUUGGACACCAGCCACCAUGUUUGGUAAAGUCAGAGAUUUUGCCUUCCUUGUACAUGCACUUGUCAAAUUUAUUGGCAGCAUAUUGGGUAACCACAUAGAAACUAAACACUGACGAGAAUGCCGAUAACCAAUUUUAUGCACAGAACUAUUUGGGUUAAAUGGUUUAUGUUGGAAAUGAAACCCAUUUGACAUAAUCACUAUGGAAACUGAAACCCUCAUGACCUCCCCCAUAACUGAACCCAGAAUUAAAAACUAACACAGAAAUACACAAAGAUACAAACUUUGGUCUUUCUUCAACCAUAUGAAGUAGUUUGAUGAGAAAACUAACCUCAAGAGCAUGACCCAGUUUGAGAAUUCAGCUUGAAAGAUGAAGAUGAAGCUCACGCCCCUGUUCCAUUAAAACAACACCUUUCUCAAGCUCCAAGCAAGUAUUUUUCAUGGUGAAAAAAAAUUCUAAAUUGCAACAAAAAUCACUGGUUGAGAAGACCAAUAAAACCCAUCAGCUGGAAACUGUAGGUCAUAAUUUGGUAAAUUAUGCUCCUUUUCUUCUUCUUCUUCUAUACGGGAGACGGAAAAGAAAGCAUAUAUCUCCAUUUGCUGAGAGGGACCGCUUUGUUGAAUCUGUUCUGCUAAAUAACAUCCAGAUACGACAACGUUUUGUGCCAAAAAAAUGAACCGCAGAGCGAACUCGUUUUACAAAUAAGCGCCAAAAUCUUAACCCGGCCCAUAAGCCCGGCCCAUUAAAUUUGGCGGUCGACGGCUGUUAAGGCUCAACUCCUCUGCCUCUCUAUCUGUAGCACAAUGACGACCGCCAUGGCUCCUCCACCAGACCUCGUCCCCGAAACCCUAAGCAGCGAACUGGCCGAAACAUCUUCGUCUGCAAUUACGAUGAAGCCCCCAAUGGGUCCUCCACCUGCCAAAAACCCUAGCCCUCCGCCACAAUCUGAAGCUCCUAUCUCCGAAGACCAACCCCAAUCCAAUUCAUCCAUUAACGAUUCAACAGAAGCAGCCGAGGACAAUGCCAAGCAGACCUUGAAGCCCCAAUCUCAAGGCUUUGCCGUUCCCUACACGAUCCCUCCCUGGAGUGCAGCUCCGUGUCACCAGUUCCAACUCGAGGUCCUCAAGGACGGCGCUAUCAUCAACCAAUUUGAUGUGUAAGCUUCUUCUUCUUAUUACUUUUCCAUGGAAGUUAAUUUUUCACGUUAUGCUAUAGCGUUGUAGAAGUUGUUUCUGAUUGAAAAUUUCAGAUAUGAGAAAGGAGCUUACAUGUUUGGCCGUAUAGACCUCUGCGACUUUGUCCUGGAGCAUCCAACCGUUUCUAGAUUCCAUGCUGGUAAUUAAGCAAUUCUUUUUCCUUUACAUUUUACCUUGGUGAUGUUUUCAUGUAUGUAUGUGUACUAUAAUUGUAUUACAUUUGAUUUUAUUAUAGAUUCAACAAUUCUUAGGCUUAAUGCAUUCUAAGAGAUUUUUGCGCUAAAUCUAUAAUGGUGACUUGAAAAUUUUCCAGUCCUCCAGUUCAAGAGAAGUGGGGAGGCAUAUCUUUAUGAUCUCGGCAGUACUCAUGGUACUUUCAUCAACAAGAAUCAGGUAUUUCUAUGCAGCUGAUUGCUUUCCUCACAUUGUUUGUAUGCCUUGAAACAUUGGAUUGUAUUGUGUUGUGUUCCAUGUGCUUACUUUUUUAUUCUUCUAAUACAUAUUUAACAUUAAUUGUAAUAUCUGUCUUUCAACCUUGUUUUUGGCUUUGGUUUUUUUUUUUUUUCUUUCGGUUUAAAAAUGCAAACUUGCAUUGACCUGGUCCAUCUUCAACCCAUUUUCAAAUUAGGAAUUAAGUUUGUACUGUGAACAGCUGGGGUUUUUGUAUACUCUCAUACAAAGGCUCUUGUUGCUAUAAAUUGUGAGUAUUUAAUAUUGUUCCUAACCAUUUUCUCAUGCCUAAUAAUCAGGUGAACAAAAAGGUUUACGUGGAUUUAUGUGUUGGUGAUGUCAUCCGUUUUGGGCAGUGAGUAUCUUAUUAUCUUGAUCCCAAUCCAUUCACUUCUUAUGUUGAUCCUUAUUUUCCCAUGUUUUAUGACUUAAGAGUUCUAAAUGCUAAUCUAUUAGGUACUUGAGUUUAUUAGGUAAUGAGAUUUAGGCAUUUGACAAAGGAUAGUUACUUAGAAUUAUCUUAAGGAACUCAUCAAGGAUUAAUUUACAAGUGACUGAUUUUUUUACAGAUGACUUAUAGUUUCUUACCCUUUUCUGAUUUAUCAGAUAGUGCUCAUAGCCAACUGCCAAACCCAUUGAUAUGGACCUAGAAUGUGUCAUUUGUGGAAAAAUACAUUUUUUUUCUUCUCUGAGACACUUCUGAUUAUUCUUCUUUUUGUUUUUAUAUAGUUCAUCUCGUCUGUACAUUUUCCAAGGACCAUCUGAGUUGAUGCCACCGGUAAGACUUUCUUAUUUAAAUCUGUAUGUGUUAUAUUUCUUUUGUUCACCUGAUUAUGAAGAAUUGUAAGAGGAGAUUUUCUUGAGCUACAGGGGUUAAGACAAUGAAAAUGAACUAAGCACUCAGAAUAUGUUAGCGUUCAAAAUAGUUGCAUUUUCUUUCAGAAGAAUCCUCAAGAAUUUUCUCUACCUUCUUAUCCACAUGAUGACACUACAGUUAAUUUUGUAAAGAGUAUGUUAAUGGGGUCAAGUUUGGCUUUUUAAAUUAUUCAUGUCCAGAUUUUGUUCACAUCAAGCAUAGUCAAAUGGCUCAUGCAAAUAAAAUUGAUACCACUGCUACCAGGUGUGGCUUGGGUUGCCUAAAAAAGAUAGCAGCCAAGUUAGGGUUCAAAGCAGAGCAUAUUCUCACGGACAGGUCAUGGAUUAUUGUGUGGUUUUAUGUUGUAGGAAAAAGACUUGAAGCUUUUAAGAGUGGCCAAAAUGCGUGAGGAUAUCCUAGAUCAGGAAGCAUCACUUCAACGAGCAAGACUGGAGGCUUCUCUUGCUGAUGGCAUCUCAUGGGGCAUGGAAGAGGAUGCUAUUGAAGAAGCUGAGGCAUGUGGGAUUUAAUGAUCACUUUCCUUUUUGAAUUAUGUUUUGAAUAGAGAUUUACCUAAACUGCAUUACAUAUCCUUCUAUUUUCUUCAAGUAUGAUGUUUUCUGCAUGAUGAAUUGAAAGAAGAUAUUUCUAUCAUAUAUAUCACUGAUUUCUGUGGUUUUGGAAUUUUAGGAUGAUGGUGAAGAAGUAACUUGGCAAACGUACAAAGGACAGCUAACAGAAAAACAGGAAAAGACGCGUGAAAAAGUACUUAAAAGAUUGGAAAAGGCAAGUGAUUUUAAUUCUUCUUGCUUUUUUGUUAAUGAAAUGCUAUCUCCCCUGUAUGUUAGAUCAUUUGGUUGCCCACUGUUUAUACCCUCAAGAUAUUCUCCCUGCUUUUAAUCAUUGAAAUGCUAUCUUCCUGCAUGUGUUAGGUCUCUCUGUUGCCAAUUGGUUUUACCCUCAAGAUGUAUAGUUAGCAUCUUAUUGUUUCAAGUUGUGUAUAUUGCUUGGUAUUGGAGAAAAGCAGUUCUUAAAUUGGUAUUCAGAAAAGUCACAAGCACAACCAGUGUAACUGUUAUGACCAUAUUGAAACAGUAUGUGUUGAUUGGUGUUUGAGGAGCACAAUAAUUCAUGUACUUGCAUUUUAAUAAUAGAAAUAGUGCACCUAUUAAAAAUGGUUGAAAGUGGCUCUUGACAAAACUGACCCAUUCUCAUUGCUUUCCAUUUUUCAUGAGAAUACAAAGAAUAAAAGAUUGGGAAACCUUUAAAGGUUGAUGAUAGAAAAUUUUUAAUGCAGACGUGUUCUCCCUUUAUCUUAGACUGUUGAAAUGGUUAUCAAUCAAAUUAUCCUAUUAGAAACUCAACAAGUAUUCUUUAUAAAGGUCCUAAGCUUUAUGGUAAAUCUUAUUUUUUCUUAUAUCCUUUUUAUUUCAUUUUUCUUCUUGUAGAUUGCUCACAUGAAGAAAGAGAUAGAUGCUAUUCGUGCUAAAGACAUCUCUCAAGGUGGUUUGAGUCAAGGACAACAAACUCAAAUUGCUCGAAAUGAACAGAGAAUAGCACAGGUAAAUUCUUCACAAAUAGGCAUAUGCUGGUUCAUUUCUCCUUUACACUGGUAGUUGAUAAACACAAGAAUUUUUGUGUCCAACUCCACGGAGGAAAGAGAGGGGAACCUUCUGGUUAACAUUUUAUUUGUUUAAAAUUUUAACAGAUUAUGGAAGAACUUGAAAAUUUGGAAGAGACACUAAAUGAGAGUAUACGAGAAAGUUUGGGUGCACGUGUUGGGAAGCUAUCUUAUGGUAAGAAGAAAGGAGCAACUGACGAAGAAGAAGAACUUUUGAGGUAUUUUAUUAAUAACGAAUACCUAUCUGGAAGUGUUGGUACUUCUACUCUUAAUGGUUGUGCAAUAGAAAACUCAAUUACAGCUGUGCAGAAUGCUUGGACCAUGUGAAUUUGUUUGGAUGGCUUUUAGAUUUGAUCAGGGUAUUCUUAUGAUAGCAAUCAUGAAGUUGUGAUUUCAUGAUUAACUGUGAAUUUAGAUGACUAUUAGAAAUGUCAUGCUUUAUUUGUCAGUAUUAUAGGAUUUCUGAAUUUAUUUGUAGUUAAUGAUUGUAAUGAUUUGUUAUUUUGCAGCGAUGAUGAUGAAUUCUAUGACAGAACAAAGAAGCCUUCCAGUAAAAAGGCGGGUGAAAACCCAUCUGUUGAAACCUCUGAUACUCUUCUUGACAAGAGAGAUGCUAUCAUGAAAGAAAUGGAAGAAAAGAAAGAAUUGCUUUCAAUUGAGAAAAACAAAAUGGCAUCAAAAACUACAGACGAAACUGAUGCUGCAGAUGCACUGGACGCAUACAUGUCAGGGCUUUCAUCUCAGCUUGGUGAGUGUUUUGUGCUACUACCACUUAUUGUUGAUAAUUGGUUAUAGGUGAGUGUUUUAUGCUUUCACUUAUUGUUGUUGCUUUCCUUCUUGUUAGUGCUUAAUAAAACUGAGGAACUCCAAAAGGAACUAUCAGCUCUUCAGUCUGAAUUGGACAGGAUAAUCUUUCUUUUGAAGAUUGCUGACCCAUCUGGAGAAGCUGCGAAGAAAAGGGAUUCAAAAGUGGAAGAGGUGCAAGAGUCAAAACCUAACAAAUCUGAAACUCCUGCUCCUGCCAUAAAAAAGCAACCUCCAAUGGAACCAGAGGAAAGCAGCCAACCUGGAAAACCAGCAAAUGACUCUAUACUGAAAGAGGGAACUACAGAGGUUAGCAUUAAAUCGAGCACGGAGCUGGCAGCUAGCGAGAUUGUAACUGAUGCAACAGAAGGAAAAAACGUUGUGUAUACUGUUGUAAAGCCACAGUGGCUUGGGGCUGUUGAGGACAUAAAAAUGGAGAAGGGUCAUCAAGAGGCAGCACCUUCAAAUCAGGACGAGGCUGGUGAAUUCGUUGACUACAAAGACAGGAAGAAAAUUUUGGAGAAUGUCAGUGAUGCUAAAGUUAACAUGGAAUCUGGGAUUGAAAAUGCUGCUCCUGGUUUGAUUAUACGGAAGCGGAAACAAGUUCAUGAGUCUAAAGGUAAUGAUAGUGAUUCUCGUCAACAGCCGGCAUCCUCCACGGGAGCUGAAUUCUUGGCAGAGGAUGCUGUGGCACUGUUGUUAAAACAUAAAAGAGGCUAUUAUGCACCAGAUGAUGAGACCCAAGAUGUUAAAGAAGGGAAACAAUUGAGCAAGGAUAAGAAGAAGCCUAAACGAGUUCUCGGUCCCGAGAAACCUUCAUUUCUUGAUACUAAUUCUGAUGAAACAUGGGUGCCUCCUGAAGGUAAAGCUAUUUUGCUUUCCUGUUCUGUGUUAUUACCUUCUUUACUCGCUUUUGCAAGGUGGGGAGGACAAGAGUACUGAUUGCUGAUUUGUUUUGUCUUUUUGAAAAACCUCAUUUCGUGUUGGUGCUUAUCUUUAUGUUUCGUGCAGGACAAUCCGGCGAUGGACGAACUUCCUUGAACAGUCACUAUGGCUACUAGAUCCGAAUGCCUUCAUGGUCACCAAGAAGUGACAGUUUAUCGCUUGAACCAACGUUUAUGCGCCUAAAAUGUCAUCCAUGGAGCAACAACUGGGAAACGCACUGAUGGAGUUGUUUGGUAGCUCUCAUAUUUUGUAAUCAGGUUGAAAGUUGAGGCUGGAUUACGAUCAUGAAAAAGCAGUUUAGGGACUGAUUGUACAGAGAUAUGGAGACACAAACAGAUCUCUGAAUCACUGUUGCAAACCCAAAUGUAAAACCUAGUCCGAUAAUGUACCUUCAUACUUCCAAGUUUCAACUAUUGCUUGUAUCACUAUCAGAUGGAAAACAACAAGAAAGAGAUUAAGCUUCCAAGUUCUCUAACAAGGUUUGAUAAUAUAAUGCCAAGAAGUACAAUAUAUUUAUGUAUAUAUUUUCAUUUCCGGUUGUUUUUAUAUACAUCGUCAGAUCAUCAUAUAAUAUUUGAUCGUACGAUUGUGAAUCCUAAUCAUCCAUCUAUGGUAAUCGGGUGAAGAAAAUUAACAAUGAAAAGUCGAGCAAAAUUGGCACGUGCGCCGUACUGAAAAGGACCAAUGGGCAAAAUAUGCCUGUUUAUAUUAGCAAAUGAAGCAAUCAUAUAAAUCAUUUUUUAAUAUAGAGAUUUAUUAAAUUAUUCAUGAUUUCUUUCAUAAAAAAUUAAAAUAAAAUUUCUUUCAUGAUUUCAAGUUUAAAUUUACUCGUAUAACAGGCCCUUUCAUUCAUAGUCAAAUUGUAUUUUGAUUAAAUGUGAACGAAUUGAUUCCCAAUUAUUUACAAAUCUGUUUAACCAAAUUUGUCGCUCAAAUUUACAAGAAAAGAAUAAAGACAUCAACAUAAAACUGGGCCAUGUAAGACUAGAUAUUGCUUGAAUCAGCCACAAAGCUUUUGCAUACUUCACAGGAAUAUACACCAUGUAUUCUUAUAAAGCAUUAUAACAUCUUUGUUUCUCAGCUUCCUCUUCAGAAGAAGCUUGUUCCAUGAACCAGCCUUGGAUUAGCUUCGACUGCAUAUACGUGCAUACGGGUAUUCAGAAACUCUCAAGUUAAUGGUUGGCUGUACACGGGUGGCGUAUGUGCACUGACAUCUGAAUGAAGAACCCUUUCCAGAUAUAUACAGCCAUAAUGCAGCGAGUCUCUGCCUGGGUUGUUCGAGCAGGCAGCUUCCAUCUUGGCAUGCUCAUAGAUAUCAGCAGUGUGUGAACAUCAGAGGCAGAACAGAUGCAGUUUCAAAUGAAAGAUAACUCUCCAUCUAUUAGUUAAAGAAAUACGGCGACUCUAAGACAUCCCUUAAGUCAAAGUCACCCCGUUCAGGCAAGGGGGGGAACGUUAAUGCGGGAAAGGACUGCUGAAAGCUCUCCAAUAACUGGACACAAAACAGAUGAUGUAGAUCACUAAGACAAUACCAUAAAAUAAAAUUGUUUGUCAAAGAAUGCAGUUGUGAUGCUUCAUGAUGGCGUAAACAUUUCUUUUCAAUUUAAACUUGAAAGGAGCAUUUCAGAAGAGAAGAUACUGUACAUUCUCUAGUAUUGGAGUCUCAUACAGCUGGACAAACUUUUCACGAAGUAUCUUGUUCAUUUCAUCCACGUCACACGCAUGUGUCCAAUAUGAGUCAUGAACUCCUGUAAUCAUAUGUUAUUACAUAGCUAUUGUAAGUGUCUACGUGUGCCUGAGAGAGAGAGAGAGAGAGAGAGAGAGAGAGAGAGAGAGAGAGAGAGAGAGGCAACUAAUUACAAUGGAGUGCACAAGAACAGACCUGCAAAGCUUAAGCCUGCCUUUUUACAGGCAAUCGCAGUCAUCAUCAUAUGAGAACUGUCUAGAGAAUGAACAAAAUUUGGUGGGAAAGCCGUCCUCUGCCUCUUGACCAUGACCUAUCAUAAACAAAAUUUAGUUUAAAGAUUUGAGGCUCGGAAACUUAAAAUAUGUAAAACAAUGCUCAUUUGGUGAUUUCUUUUUUCUUUUAGCCUUUAUUGCCAUAACGAUGUGGUUAGUUAAACUUGUCAAAAAUAAAACAAUCAGGCAUGAGGCAACCCAAAGAUGGCAUGGUUUUUUUUGUUCCUUUCUUUUUCUAAAUACAAAAAGACUGAUCCAACUUAACUACCAUGAUUCCAAUGAUGAUACGAAAACUACUAAGGGAAGGGCUUCAUAAUGAAUCAACCAUUUCACUACCAUAGUUCUGUGGAAGAAGUUUUUGCACAAAUAUUAAUCUGAAGGAUUAACCAGUGAGAAGAGAGAGGAAAAAGUCCUCUGCUGCCACUUCCUGGGGCAGGAGGUGGAGAAUUGCAUAGUGCAGGUGCAGAAAUUUCAAAUAUUCCUUAUCCAAUUGUACAAAAGAAGAAAAUAUAAGUAAAAAACACAUGGUCGGUGUUCCACAUAUGAAAUGAUAUAAGACAAUGCUUUGCUAGCAAAAUCCUUUCAGUCUUAAAAACUAGAAAAAUCUGGAUAUCUCAACUAAUGCGAUUAUGAGUGACAUGAGUGUGAGCUUGAAAAUAACACUAAAUGGCAGGACUAACAAGAUAGAAUUACCAACGAUGAUAACUUCAGUACCUUUUCUGUUUCUCGCUGUAACGUCAAAACUUGAAGGGAAGUUUUAAUCUGCAACAAAUUUAACCAUGAGUUAAUGAUUGAUUUAAACAUUUAGUAACUAUGAAUACAAUACGAAUAUUGACAACCCUUGUCGACUUAGCAGAAUUUGUAAUACUCACAAGAUGCCUUCCGAAUUUACGGUAAGGUUGCACAACUGGAAGUCCAAGCGGAGUUGUCCACCGUACCGGUUGGUUUUCAGAUGCAAUUAUCUGCAAAUCAAGAAAAACAAAUAUCAAAAAGUCAGGAAAACAUUGGCACAGAGAGAGAAAAACAAAAAACAAAAAAGAGGAAUCUGCUACAAACUUUUGCACAUUCGCCAAGCCAGCUCAUGAUACCUCGUGCAGCUUCAAACAUCUCUCCUAAAGCAGUUAAGGUGAUCUGCCAAUUAUAUACAGAAUCUUGUCAUACAAAGAUAAAAUCCACAUGUACACAUGCUCACGUGCAUAUGAGAAAUUAUUUCUAAUUACAUGGGGAAGAAAAAGACACCCUCACAAUAUGAACUUUCUAUUACCUUUGCAGCAUAACAAGCACAACCAAAGAUCUCUGCAUCAUCUGAAAUGGAACCACGUUCCUUCAACCUCCUCUUGAUUUGAUCCCGAGCACCAAUGUAAGUGACACCAUAUACUGAUGUCAUCACAGUCUGCUUCACCAAUUUCCUAUCCACCUAAAUUAUGGCCAGCCAUCAGGGUCAACCAUCAGUUGCACGAUAUAAGCAGGUAGUCAAAGAAAUGCCAGUUCACACAAAGCAAUCGGAUGAGAACCACAUAUUUUCUGAUAUAUCAGUAACCAGCACAUGUUUUGUUAUGGAAUUUGAAUGAUAUUAAGUUAUUAACUCCAAUAUCAGGUUAUCCGCUUUGUUUUAGUAACAUAUGCAUCAAAAGAAUGAACUUAACAGUUGUAAAAUCAACCUGAUUAAUUAAUAAUUUUGCACGCAACGCCUCUGGAAAAACUACAGGAUCCUUCUGUGCAUCUCUUCUCAUGAUUUCCAGUACCCUGCACCGUGAAUUUGAUACUUAAUUAUCAUAAUAUUACUUACUCAUGACAUGAUGACAGCUUCCAUGGAAAUUGAGACAAAUAAAACUCGUGUAAAUGAUGGGGUUCUAUACCCAUCAUGUGAUGGAAACCUAUGCCUUUGUCAUAAACCGCUUACCUAACAGCUAUUCCUGAGUAAACAUCUGCAGGCUUCUCUCCUGUAACCAGAUUCACAGAAGCUGCUCCCAACUGAAUGGAAACUUUCCAAUGAGACAAUAUAUAUGAAACAAAUGCGUGCAAUUUCUGCUAUACCAUAGGUAGACAAGGGAGGGAAGGAGGGAGAGGGUGUGGGAAAAAGGUGAACCAUGUAUGACCUACCAUAAAAUAAAAUUGAAAGUAAGAAAUACCUUGUCUCUUCCAAGGGCAGCAUAGUGUUGUAGACCAUUGCACGAGCCAUCCUAGAGAACAUCAGUUAAAAGCAAGAAAUGUAAACAUAAUAUGGUUUAAUGAAUAAUGAGAGGGCAGGCGCAAUUUAUAUUAAAAAGAGCUAUUGCUUAAGCAAACAGUCCCUCAUUUGAAAAACACAAAAUCACCUGAUAAGUUCCCAAUAGGCUACCAUACUAGAUAAUUCCAGUAUCCAAUACUUAACUAAUGGAAACAAAGCCAUCUAAACCUACUUCUUGGGUUGUUUCAACAUAGACCUCAAGGAAGGAGGUUACGAGUAUAAGAAACAAAUCCCCUCAGGAUUCCCCUACCCCACCCAAAAAAAGAAGAAUCCAAAAGGUAUGUAUGCAUGUGUGAACAGUAAACUGCAGAAAAGAUCUAUGCCUUACACAAAGCAUAGAUCUCUGCUAGCUUCCUUUACACAAGGCAGUGCACACAUUUAUACUUUUCCAGUUUAAUUCUGUUAUAACUUUUAACACAAGAAAAAUACAUAGAACACAGAAUCCCCUUCAAAAAUGCCCGAAACCACGUAAUUUAAACAUCCAAAACUAAUUGAUUACUUGUGGGACUCCCUUUGUGAAAGUACCUGAUGUACAGGAAUAUGUGAAAUAAAAGUCUCUGGAGAAGAGCUUCUCAAAGCUUCAGCAAGGUUAAUGCACACAGCCAAGCAUUGAAAUGGAUCUUCUGCCUUCAACCACCAGCGCCUUCCUUCUAGUGGUUUGUCCACAGAAUCAAAUAUAUCAUCCAAGUGAUUCUCAGUAAAUGCUAUUCGACCCUCAAGAGAUAAUUUGUCCACACCACCAGCAUAUAGAUUUGCCAAGUGUAUCUUCAACCAACUUAAGCCUGACUUUCCAAGGGGGCGUCCCUCUUGAAACUCCAAAAUACCCCGGCAUACAUCUGAACCGAGAUGAUUCAAGUAUGGGUGCAUAGGAUAUGCACGGCCCCGAAAGUCAAGAUUGUGCGGAUAGUAAAAACCUUCUUCAUCCUUCAUUUUCCGUGCUACCUGCUCCUCCGUAAAAUAAGUUUCACAUAUUCUAAGUAUGUUAUGAUUAAUGAAUUCACAGAAAGUGAAAUAAAUCUUACAGCUAGUUUAAGUUCUGUGUCACAACGCUGUGAAUGCCUCUCCAUGUUCUCUUUCUUCACAGACUUCACCUUCCAUUUCCAUUUCUUAAGCAGUGUUUCAUCUUCAGUAUCUGGUUCCUCUGGUAAAGGAACCUGAAAUAUGGAAAUAUCAAGAAAACAAGCUUCAAAUCAAUUUCAAUGAAUUAAAAUUUCCUGAGAUAGCACAAGAUUAAUAUCAAUAAUUUGGAAGUAAAAUGAAGGAGUGUGCAAAAGAAAUUCAAAAACUGAUUAAACCACCAGUUUGGUUUUUUUUUUUUUUUUUUUUUUUUUUUGGGGUCUGAUCCAACCGAUUAACAUUGGUACUGUUUGGAUUUUGUCAAGUAUGUUAAAGGUUAACCAACCAACCUCUAAUAUGUCCUUCUCUUUUUCUUUUGGGUGGGUGGGGGGAGAGAUUGGAGUACUAUAAAUUAGAAAAUAAUUAUGAAGGCAAGUACAUUACUUUUAUAGGAAAGGCAUGCACAUUAACUGGAAAUAUUUCAAAGAAAAGAAAAAUAUGACUGAUAAACUCACAUCAUUACGGUCCACCAAAUCAGCGAGAUGGCCUCCGCUAGCCCAUAUUCUAUCUACAACACUAAGUACCCUCUUAUUAACUCUCCAUCUGGUAUUCCCAAGAGCGUCCAGGGCCUGGCCAGGAGAUACACAAAAUUUACACAUAUGAGAAUCAGCACAGAAGGCACCACACUCUUCAUGUUGGUCGAGUUCAAUAAAAGUUUUCAUGAGGACAAAAUUUCUAUGUAUAUAAACCUUAAAAACUGGUUCCAGUUGCUCCCUUGGGGUCCUCUUAAUUGCUUCACGCUGCUGUCUCGCUCCAUGAAUGCGCAUGACAUAGGAUGGUAGGAAAAAGUACCCUCCUUUGUCAUAACUGCAAAAAUACCCAAAAUAAGGGGAGUUAGAUGAAUUUACAAAAACACAAAAGAGGAUAAAAACAGGCUAACAUCUCAAAAAUGUAAAUCAGAAAUUAUGUCUCAUAAAGAUCUAAACAACAGUAGGAAACCUAAAAAUGGGUUUUUUUUUUUAAUCAUUGGUCCUGACUGGUUAGCCAACCAAACAGAACUCUGAUGAAGUUGAAUUCCCAUUCUCUAUGUCCAGAUGCACUAAGAAAGUUGAAUCAUGCCACCUUUAAAGUUUGAAUUUAUUGGAGUCACCCUACUCUAUUUCUAUAUCAAAUCCUAUUGUCCAUCUACAUCUCAAAUCCACAAUAAUAAAAGUUCUCUCCAGAAAAAAAGUGAGGGUAAAAUGGUGGAAACUUUUCAUGAAAAAGGUAUUUGUGAAUAGUUUAGUGGAUGAAAAUAGAAACAUCUCUCCCCAUGCUAGUUUGAAAAUAAUUAAGAUAACCUGAACUUUAACAUCUACGAUGGUGAAAGCACUUGAUUCAUUAAGCUCAUUCUUCUAUAAUGUUGGAUUUGUUAGCAGCUCUUAAGUGAGAUUAUAAUUUUUUAUCUAGUGAGCAUGUUCUAUUGUACAUCCUUUUGAGUUGUAAUUUCUUGUUUUACUUGUUCUUUCCACAUAGUGGAUACCUUAUCCGCUCUUUGUAUGCAGCUUUCCUACUUUAAUAAAAACUAUGUUUCUUUUCCAGAAGGGAAAAAAAAAAGAAAAGGAACUGCAGAUUUAGUUUCUUACUUGUAUCUUGUAUCUGAUGAUCUUAGCAAGAAGGGAGGGAAGGCUAGUGGGGACGAUACUGAGGAAAUAUUAGAAUAACUUCUACACAUCCCAUCCCAUCCAUUACCAAUUUUCUAAAUUUACGAAGCCUCAAUCUGAUCAUAUAUGAUCUUCGAAUAAAAGAUUUUAAAAAAUGAACAAUUAUAAAAUAGGGCAAAACUGGUAAAACAGAACUGAUUUUUCCAUACCCAGUCCAGUUCAAUGGUGGUACCAACAUCGGCAUAUAAGGAAUCACCAUGUGCCUUGCCUGUUUAAACAGUAACAAUUAUUAAUAUAUCAUGCACUAAAGAAGGAAAUAAAAUUCCUGCAAGAAUUUCUUGACGUGUGUCCUUUGGCAGGAAAUGAGAAACCUUAUACACAAGUAGUUUAGCCAACACUGCAUCACCUGCCAGGGACAAGUGAACAAUGCUCUACAGACGAUGUUAUUAGCCUUGAAUCAAUUUCAAUACUAUCAAACUAUCUUAUCUAUAUAACAUUCCUAGAUCGUGAAAAGAAGAAACUAUUAAAUUUAAAUAUAUAUAGUUGCAUAGUUCCAAGUGUCAACAGAAAACUUCAAUUGUUUCAAGAAUAACAGAACGGAAAAAGGAUCAGAUUUGCUUACUGUUUUCUCAAGGCCUUUGAGAACAAGAGGGUCACAUUCAAUAACCCCAUAUCUUCUGCUGGCAUUCCUGUUGAGAGAAAAUUCCACAUCAUUAUUCAAAAUUAUCCGGAGGGAAGGGGGAGGUAUAGAGUUAUCAAUAGGACAGACUAAUAAAUACUUUGCAUCUUUCGCAACAGUCCUAAAUGUGUGUACAAAUGCAGGUCGUAUAUCCGGUGGACCAUCUGCUAACUGGUCAGCUGGAGGCUGUAUAAAAGCUGUUUGAGUCAACAAUUCAAUCAAACGACUGCCGACCUAAAAAUGUACAAAGGGAAAAAAGCACCCCUUUAGAAUGCAUGUGAAUAAAAUGCUGAUAACGUUUUACCAGUAAAAGAAAUAAUCCAUGCAAACCUUAGCCCUGGCUUCCAGGCUCCAUGAUUUUGAAGCAUCAUGUUUGCUCACUAUCCCUCUCACUGCUUUCAGUUUUUGUUUUUUCAUCAAAUUAGUGACUUUUUUAUUCAACUUCUCUCGUUCCUUCUUUGCAGCAUCAGACUCCCCAUUUUCCUGAUCUUUGUCAACCUUUUUCUUUCUCGUCAUUUCCAAGAACUUGUGUAUUCUAACCUGAUGCAUUGAAGCAGUGACACAUCAGUGCUCAUCUAGGAGAGAUGGGCGGGAUGACACUGUGUAGAGUAAGAAAACCAAGCCUUAGGAAUACUGCUUUACUUAGUCCAGCUAGAGAACAAUAAGAAACAAAGAGCAAUGCACUAAGGUUUAGAGUUUUAGAACGUGCCUCAAGCCAACGUCCACACAAACUUGACAUGCUUUGAAACAAAGGCAAAAAAAGGAAUUUCACUACGGCAUCACCAUUAAAUGGAUUCCAGCAAAGACAAAUUAAACUAAACGGAUAAAUAAAUAAGUAAAUGACCGCAAUUCUACUCAUGAAUGGAAGAGCAUGGACUAUUAACCAAGUAGAUGAAACCGAAUCAAAAUGUCCAUGAAGAAUAUGAGUAAAGCAAAGUUCAAACCUCCUGCUCAAUGGCUUCACCUAUCGUGCAAGCAGCCGCUACCACCCUGCAAGUUCCAUGUUCGCCUCCAGUCAUCAGCAAUCCCAUCAACUUAUGCAUUGUAAUAACUGACAUCAUAUCAGCUGGUAACUGAUCAAUAUACGGUGCGUAAGCUGUCUUAUUCUUUCCUUUCCGACACAGGUCCUGCUCUUUGUCAAUGGCAUUGCGCAAAGGCUCAAACCAACCAAGAAACAAAGACUUCAUGUAUGGCAAAUUGGGUGCUAACUUCUGCUCACACAUGUCCAUCAUAAGCUCCCUGUACUCCUUGGCCGCCCGUUCCCAUGCUUCAGUUUCAAUCUUUAUCUGUCUUCUCUUAAGCAUGUGGUACUUCCCUUGCCCCAUUCCUCUCGCUCUAUUCUGCCUAGUCCGCUGCUUAUAUUGGGCCUCCCUCUUCUCCUCUAUACUCAUUUGUUGCAAUAAUUCUUGAACUUCAUCAACAACAGACACUUCUUCCUCAACAUCAGUGGAAGAUACAGCCUCAGCUACGCUCGCAUACCCUUUGGGACAAAACCCAUUAAACCAAAUUGGAUUCCUCACAGACCAGAAACUGGGCUUACACAUACAAUCCUCAGGUGAAGAAAUAGCACCUUUCCCGCGAAAACCCACCUCAGAAAACCUCAAGCUUGAGCAAGAACUCAGCUCAAAAGGCUUGAAAUUUCCCGGGAAAACCGAUUCCUGGCAAAUACCCAGAAGGCUAUAAGCUCGUGAAAAAGACUGCGAAUUGAUGUGAAACCUCUGCUUCCUAGAAAUGGCUUGCUUAGCAAAAUUUCUCCACACAGUUGUUGAUAUCAUUGAUGGGUUUUUGUGGAAAAUUAAGGGGCUAUGAAAUGUAAAAUUCUUGCUGAUAUUUGCAGGGGACAGUGGGGUUUGGCUUCUGGACAUCAAAUUAAAAUCAAAUUUUUUUGGAGUAAAUUAAUUGAUGAAACUGGGAUCAGAGGAAAUGGGUCGAUGAAUGAAUUUGCAGAAACAAUGGAAUUCAUAGAGACUGAGAAAGGGGGGUAGUAACCAGUAAGCUAGCAGCCGCCUUAAGCCCUUAACCCUUUCUUAAACCCUGUCUUUGAUAUUUUAUUGAUCGAACGCAAAGCCUCGCACUUCGGAUUUUUGCUUGCCUUGGUGACUGACGGAGUCUUAGGGAUUUGGCUGGGGUUUCUACAAUAUUUUAAAUCUUUGCACCCUAUAUGUAAUUUGACGAUUGAUGAUGUGUCGGUUUUUGUUUUUUUUUUAAUUUUUUUUUUUUGAGAUGAUGUCGACUAAUUAAAACUUCGUCCAUGAUUAAAUUAAUAGAGAAAUGGACUUGUACAUUUUCAGAUAGGGAAGAGAAUCAAAGGCUUACUUUUUGUUGUAAUUUUUUGGGAAAGGCCCAUCUACUUCUUAUUUUCUGGAUAUAAAUUCAACCAUUUUUUAAAUGUUUAUAAAAAUUCAAAUUUGAAAUGUGCUAUUAUGUAAGAUAAUAUUUGUUCUAAUAAUAAUUUACUUAUUAUCUUUUAUUGAUAAUAGGUAAAUUACUUUUAUAAAUUAUUAGGUACAUUAUUUUCAAAAUACGUUAAAAGUUGGGUAUAUUAUUUAAUAAAUAAAUAAAUUCAUACUAAGUAAAUUAUUUUUUGAUGUGACACUCACAAUGUCAUGUAAUAUUGCUAAAUUACUUAUGUUGUAACACGUGUACGAAUUUAUUAAUUUUAUACACAAAGUCUAUGACACAUAAACAUUGUCAUUUGCUCACAUUUUAGUACUUUAAUUCAUAACGCCACAUGAUAAUGUGAUAAUAACACCCUAAGGGCUAGUUUGGCAUUACUGUGCUGUGAAAAUAAUCGCUUCCAAAUUUGCUGUGAGAAAAAUCAGUUGUAAGAGAAAACAAUUUGGCGUUUGGUAAACUUUUUUUUUAAAAAUGUUGUUGGUACUGAUUCAAGCAUAAUCAGAAAAUAAUUCUCGUAUAAUCAUUAAACCCAGCACCUCUUCGAAACUAAUUUCUAGCAUAAUCUGAAAAUGAAAGCACAUCAUUAGUUGAUUUCCCUUAUAACUUUCUCUCACAGCAAUUUUGAACAAUAAGUGAUUUUCUCAUAGUUUACCAAACGGACUGGGCUUUCCAAAAUUUAAAAAAAAAUCACUUAUCACUCCAAAUAAGCAAUGUCAAACGGGCACUAAGUCUAUGAUUUAAGUUCGAGAGACACCAUAUUCCAAAUUUACAAUGGUUCUUUUUUGUCACUAUAAUAGGGUUUCUGACCACUAACGAAAAUGAUGGUAAGAGCAUGCUCACGGGCUCAAAGCAAGACGUGAAGAAGUUAGUGCUAAAUCCUGGCUUCAAUUUACAACAAUAUGACAUUUUAGAGUAUCGGCAAAAAUCAUUGAUCUCAAAUUGAGCCAAAAUUCUUGUACUAACUUUUGCCUGUCAUUUCUUGUCAUAUUUUCAUAUUACUACAUCGAAAGUGAAAAGUAUUCGUAGCAUUCUGGGGUUUGACAAGUCUAACAAAGAGCAAUCAGAAAAUUUGGCAUAUCCAUGAGAGAGAGAGUGAGUGAGAGAAAGAGGGGCUAGAUUUAUUAAGUUGGAGAAUUAACUGAGAUACAUAAUUUGCCUGGUCUAAUAAACUUCCUAUUUUUUCCUCUAAGAAAGAGAAACAAUGACAUUUAUCCUAUCAUUCAAGCCCCCAUCCAUGAUGAGUACAUCUUUCUUGACGUAUACAAUACUUGAAUUCUCAAUGCAGAUGCUACAUAGUUGGUUCUCAUCCUCUAGAGACUUUUAUCCUAUCACCAACGACCCAAUUAACCAAUCAAAUAAAUAGAAGCGGGGUAGAAUACAGAUUCAAUUUGUGAACUGAUCUCGUCUCUUCAUGCACUAGUAGCUGUGGGCUUAAAACAAUCAAUAUUGCACAAUCCGACUGAUCUGAACAUCUCUCCAAAGCUGCCACCAAGGUUAAAUUUCAACAAUCAGAACAACCAGAGUUGUAUGUGUCUGUGCUACAUUGUGGAUGAUUGAACUUUGAACAACAAAGCAAGUAUGGAUAGAAAAGAAAAAAAUAGUUAAUGAAUAGCUAACCGGUCAAUGCUAUUUCGUGCUUUCUCUGGCUGAUCCAUGCUAUUACUUGCUUUUUCUGGGUGAUCCGUACUCUUUCUUGAUCUCUCUCUCUUAUCAGUGCUGGCCCUUGACUUCUCUCUGUGAUCUGUGCUUAGCCUAGGGUUUUCUCUAUGGUCGGUACUUGGUCUAGAAUGCUCUUGUUGAUCUGUAGUGGAACAAGAUUUCUCCCUAGUGUCAGUGCUUCUCCGUGGAUUUUCUGGUUGAUCCGUAAUUGGCCCAAAUCCAUUUCUAAGAUGUGGAUAUUUCUCAACAGCUGAUACAAACUUCUUGACAUGCUUUAUGUAUUGUGGGUAGAGCUCCAAGUCACAAUGAUUCCCUCCUUUUAUCCAUAAUGGCUCAUACUUCUCCUUACAAUGUUCCCAAAGCUGCUUGCCAUGGGACCAAUCCACAACAUCAUCAGCCGUCCCCUGCACAGAACAAAACAACCUGGAAAAUAAGCAUGCUUCUGAAAACUAAGCCAUACAUUUAAUGAUACCAUAAGACAAUCAUUGCACUCUAUAUGCUAUGCAAUCGGAGUAAUCAACAAGUACACUGGCAAUUGGAAAAGAAAGACAGCCGAGGCAUGUGUGUUUGACACCAAAAGAGCAUCCCUUUUUCAGACCUUACCUUUAAUGUGGAUGAAAUGAGAAAGAAAAAAAAUUUUAAAAAUAGUUUUUUAAUUUCAUACCAAAAUAAAUCUCAUGCCUUCUUUUAAGGAAAAAAAGAGGCAAAAGCCAUCAUCCUGCGUAAGAUCAUUUACAGCCCAUAUGGUGCUUCAUGUCCACAUUCACUUAUUUUCUGGAGAACUUAGUACCAAAUGGCACAAUGAGUUUAAAAAAUAUAUCUAUCCUAGUAUCCAAUUAGACGCAUUAAAUGGCUGUUCAAACUUGUUAACAAGCAGCAGACAUGAAAUGUUAGUGCAUCAGUGCACACAUAAGUCCAAUUUGCUAUGCCAUCAAUGUACAUUAUUAGCUUGCCAUGUUUUUUGAAAAGAAUAACUUGCCACAUUUAGAUUCACAAAAUUCUAGGGAAAUAGAGCAUACAAUUUAAAGAACAAGAGGUACUCACAUGAAUCACCAGAACAGGACAACUGACCAAGGGUAUUUUGUCAAUGUUCUGCACCAUGAAUAGGCCAAACUCUCAUUAGCAUGCAUUCACUUCAAAUAUUAUGAGAAAAUUGAACCAAAUCGUCUAAAACUGAGCAAUCAAUAAAGAUUAAAAACCUUAUAAAUGUCAAACCAGUAUGUCCGCUUCACCGGAUACAUGACACGAAGACCAGACAUGAUCGGACUGUGAAGAACCACCGCCCUCAAUCUUGGUAACCGGGUUGCUAGAUCUAGAGUGGGCCCACUACCAACUGAUUGCCCAUAUAAGAUAACAUCUUCCUCCUUCGCACCGUACCUCUCCACAAGGCAUCUAUAUGCAGCUUCUAUGUCUGCAUAAGUGUUUUGCUCACUUGGCUGUCCAUAAAGGAAAAGAUAUAUAUCUCAUUUUGAACAUUCUCCUAAGCAAAUUAUAGCUAAGACUUGUUUGCAUUUAUCAAAUGCUCAAUUUGGUCUGUAGGAAAGAAGAAAUGUGUCUAAUUAAAAAACGAAUUAAGCAGGAUGAAAAACUCAACAAAGGGGGUGCAUCAGGCGUUUUAAGUGUCUUUAACCCCAAGUAACAAAACCAAAUUGAAGUUUCAUUUCCUCUGACAAAAGAAACCCUACUGAAAUCAAAUAUAGAGAAUUGUAACGAUAAAAUUAACAUUUUCCAGUUUCGCUUCCCCUCCUCUAUGGAGCUACGUUUUCUGGGCAUCCAAACAAAUUAAUACAAAUCCAAAUCCCAUACCUUCCCAGUAGAUUGUCCGUACCCCGAAUAGUCAUACCUACAAAACACGCACAGAGCCCCAUAAGUUCAAAACUUUUCAAAGUACACACAUAUAUUUAUGCAAAAAUAGAAACACACACACACUACUAAGCUAUAUAUAAUUAAACAGUGAAAUCAUAGAUGCACUUGACUGACCCCAACAAGUUGACUCGGAGAUGAAGACUGAGCUCGCUGAACAACUCGUACAUCUGACCCAGAUCAGCUGCGUUCCCGUGCGAGUGUAAAACUGUGAGCUUCGCCGACGGAUUCCUUAUGUACACCGCCACGACGUCGUUCCCUCUCUUGGUCUUCAGCUUCAAAACGUCCACGUUUUCCCUGGUCCCUACCCCAGUCAUCUUCAGCUUCCCACUCUCCUCCUCCUUCUCCAGUCCGUACGACGGCGGGUUCGGUGGGAAAAACGCGAACUUGGCUGCCAUUGACGACGUGACUGCUCCCAUCUCAAGCCCGCCCAACCCCACUCCCCCCAAUAAUAAAUUAUAUAAACAAACGGAACUUUAAUUUAAAUUAAACGAAUCCAGUCGUGGAAGAACUUGAUUAAAGCUCAUUUGAAUCCGGGUGGAUUGUUCCCGAAAACGUCAAAAUCUGGAUAAUAAUUUGGUGACUGGUUAGUGAGAAAGUGAUUGGUUAGUAAGAAAGUGAGAGAGAAAAUGAGAUUCUAGGGUUUGAAAUCACCGUAAGGGGGAAGUAAAGAGGGUUUUUGAGCUGUGACAGAGAAAGAACGGAGGAUAUUCCGGCGUGGAAAUGGAGGGCACCACGUGUGAAAUGAUUAAAGUUUAAGAGGGGGUUGUGGUCCGGUGAUGGUGAUAUGAGAGAAAAGUAACUGCAAGCGCUAUUCUGCCCCGCCACGUGUCCUCUCGGGGCAGCCGUGGUCCACUGAUCCUUUGAAGGGCCAGAUUGGCAACAUAAUCUUCUUCUUUUUCUUGUUUUUUUUGGUUUUUUAUGUCUUGGGAAUUAGUAUAAAAAUGUUUUUAUUUCUUUUCCUUUUUGUUUGGGUUCUGUUGUAAUGGCUGGAAAAUGGUUGUGACUUAUGUCUUUGGACAGGUCCGUCAAAAACACCAAAACAAGAGCUGUUUUUUUGUGUAUUUUGUGUGUGUUUCUUUUCUCACAUGCCCUAGUCAAAUUAGGCGUUUUAGAGAAAAAUUUGCGUAAGUUGUUUGUUUACGUGAAUUAUUAACAGUUGUCGGUUAUUUAUGCAUUAUGUUCGAUCUACGGUUAACGUUAAUUUCUCUUUGACCUAUAAUUAGAUCCCAAAUCUUCUAGAUUUUGUAGCUUGAAAUAAAUUUUGUGGUUAGGGCUCAUCUUGUUAUGGUAGUUUAUUUAAAUUUGAAUUCAAAGUUUUAGUCUGACGCCAGUUUUUUCUUACUAUCAUAAAUCACAAAUUAAUACUAUGCAAUCGCAGUCGUUUCUCUUCCUUUCUUUCUUUUUUUUCUCCUUUUUUUAGGGAUCCUUUCUUAUUUAUUUGAUUUUAUUCAUGCCUUCUAGAUUCAUAGGGAAAUUAUACAUAAUAAUGGAGGCUGAUCUGUUUCUUUGACUCAUUGAUUCUUAUGCCAAUUGCCAUAAGUUUAGACUGUUUCAAAUAUGGAAAUUUUAAGACUUUUGAUUUAAGCUUGAGCAACAACCCGAAUUUUUUUUAUAAAACUAAAAAGGAAAAAGUUUGGCUCCUUAAGAUUAUGGAGUAGCUCCUUCUUACGACCAAUGUGGUUUUGACAAGUGUCAAAUUAUUUUAAUUUUUCUUUUCUUUUUUAUUGAAACUUUGCCAAUAUUGCUGGAAUUUGACAAAUGUCAAAACUCCAUUAAUUUGAAGAAGGAGCUUCUCCUCAAUUUUAAGGAGCCAAACUCAACUAAAAUGGGCACCAUUGGCCAAAUUUGAUAAUCAAAAGUAGUAUGUCGUUUGACAAUUUGGUCUAGGCCCAUAUUGAAGUGUUGACCAAACCAUAGUGGGGUCAAUAAUCGAAGGAGUUGUUUCGUUUGCUGAUGACAUAAUAAACUCAUGUAAAUAUAGGUUAAGUCAGUUCGCUAAAAUAGUAUACUCCGUCUCUUUUAUCCGAGUUCAAAUCUAUUUUCUGUACAUAUAAUAGUUUAAAAUAUUACUCUUGUCAAAGAAAAAAACAAGCCAAUAAACCCGUGAAUCGACUGUAAUUUGGCCAUGAAUCACAAAUAGAGUUUCAACUUUGAACCUCUUUUCCGGUUAGAGUUUGCAACUCUAACAUUUUGACAUUUAGUAAGGGUUUUAAGAUUAUCUUUUGAAGGUUGGCCCCCCAAAAAAAAGAUUAACUUUUGAAGAACGGCACCACAUAUAUAAAACAUGAAAAUGACGGUCAUCUCAUCUCUUUAUUUUCAGGUUGUUGUACCUUUCAUGGGCCAUCCUUCAUACCUACCAUUUUUCAAUAAGAAUUGAACAUAUUCAAAGUAUGUACACCAUAUUUCAGGUCCACUGGAGACUUUGAGUAAUUAUUUGGGUACCGAAUUUUCUGUCCAUUGAUCAUUAAAUUUUCAGAGAAACAUGCAUAAAAUGCAAUAAAGAAAAGCAGUGAAGUUCUCAACCAUUAGUAGGCUAUUGGGCAUGCUGCAUACAUAGCAAUCAGUUCAUAUAAGGUAUCGGACUUGUAUUGGAUUAUUUUUUAUCUUUUUUGUUUUGUUUGAAGUUAUAUAUAUAAUCCAUAUUAAAGAAGAGGAGAAUCGAACACGUGACUUUGGAUGCAAUGAUUAACGGUCUUAAUUACUUGAAUUAGUUUUGAAUCUUGAAUGUGGUAGCAUGACAAAUUUUUAGCCUUUUUAUAGCCUUUGGCUGUUCCCUUUGUGUUUUUGUGGUUGAUCUUGUGACCUUGUUGUACUUUAUGUGCUUAGAGUUUUGCCCUCUUUUUGGUUAAUAAGUUCAUCUUUAAACGUUGGUCAUCAUCAACCGCAAUUCAUAUGGACAUUGGACAUGCACAAUUCGGAUCCAAAAGAUGAAAGAAAAGAAGCAAAAAAAAAGGAAAUCUAUCUUAACCCACAACUUAUAAAGAAAUGGUUGUCAAACAAAAAUCCUUUUGAAGUUUUCAAAGGUGGAAAAGGAAACCAAACCAAACCAAUCCAAUUCAACAAAGGAGAGGUCCCCAAUUGUUGUCAAAAAGAGUACUUGUAUUUGAACUUUAAAGAACACUAGAAAAGGAGGAAAAGAAAAAGGGGAAAUGGCAAUUCUCUUUCUGUGUGACAAUUCAAACCAUCUCUUAUAGAAGACAUCCUUCUUCUUUUUUCCUCCUUUUGGUUUGUAUCAGAUUAUGAACUUACUCAAUCAUUCCUAAAUGAAGUUGGAAUUGAACUUAGGAUAUUUCACUUACGUUUGCAAAUAUAUAAGCCUUGAUCGACAGCCAUCGCAAUAAAUUGUGGAACUAUUUAGACUUUCAUCCUCUAUGAAAUAUGAAUUUUCCUGCACACAUCAAUUUGGGGGUGUCCUUUCCUAUUUGCAUUUAUUUUGGUGCAACAAUUCACAGGAACAUGCUUUGGUACAAAGAACUAAACAAAAGAAGAUUGAAAAUAUUAUAUGCAUUGAUUAUAAGCAUAUUUACGAGAUUAAAAAGAAUAAAUUUCGUCCGUAACUUAUGCACAAAAUUUUCUAUUGCUUCCUUUAACAUGCCUUAAACUUUAAAUCUAGUGAAUUGAUGUCUUUUAUAUAGAAAGGGACCUUAAACAGAAACUAUAAUUAUAUAUUUUUUUUAGUAACAACCAUAAUUAUAUAUUACUUUCUAUUAACUAUUAAGAUAUGAAGGUUGGAUCAAACCUCUCUCAGCUACCCCAUAACACAGACAGAGAGACACUUGCACCUUGCCUAUAGUUGACAUGUGGUAAAGAACAAUGCUUUUGUUUGGUGCAUUCUGUAGAUUAAACCUUCAAGCUCAACAACCACCAGAAAAUAAGUGGAGCCCAGCAACAACAAUUUAGUGGAGCCCAAUAAUCUAUACCAAAGGUAAUUCAUAUUUUGGGGAAAAAAAUACAGUGCUUCUCUGCUCUUUAUACAACCACACCUAACCAUCAAUCAUUGCCGUCCACUAUGUCUGAUGAUAACUCAUUAGUCAAACAACUUUAUCAACUACUAUUAACACAGAAAAUCAGCCCCUUGACCCAUUUCUUCUUUGACGUGGCAUCCUCUAGUUGGCUGGACAUCAGCACUAUGCAAAUUACUUCGCACCAGAUUACAACUGCAAAGACAUAUGUGGAUUCUUCCUUGUCCAUUUUGUCAAAUAGUGACAAAGUAAAUCAAACACCAAUGUAAAGAAAGAGUCUUUGAAGUUAGGCCCUAGGUUUUUCCCUCAUUUCGAUGCCAGAAUUUGCUCAUAUCUGUUCCAGCAAGCUUCCUUCACCAAGCAGAGCCAUGGAAGAUUGCUCAGUCCGAAGGUAACCCAUCUCAAUUCACAAGGUACAAGGAGGCUUGUAUUUGUAAUGGUAAUUGAUCUGUGCUCAACAAAAUUCUAUCUUUAACUUGAGCCAUCUUACAAUCUACAAGAUUAUCAAUUUUGGAUCUGACUAAAGAUUCGAGCUUUUUGUAUUAAUCUCAACUGUAAUGUUGGUUCUAUGCUAUGAUUCUUAGAGCUGUUGGUAUUUGAAUUAUGGGUUUUCUUAUUUUGUGCUGGAAAUUAGUAGUUGAAAUUGAAAGUUCUGAUCUUUUGGGGUUAAGAGUCAGCAAUUGGGUACUAGGGUAGAGCCGUCAGAGUAAUAUUGGGUUAGUUUGGGAAUUGCCACUAUGGAUGGUGCUGGGGAAUCUUCUGAAUCUGGGUCUGCAGUAUCAAGUCUGAAAUCUAUGGAAAAUGGGUGUUCUGGUAAAGAUGAUGGGUGCCCAAAGCAAGUGUCGCCUCUUAGAGGUGGUGGGUCGAGGAAUACGAGUCCUUUGGGUUGUGUAAGAUCAAGAAACACUAGCCCUUCGAGGCAGAAGGUGGUUAAGACAAAACCGCGAGGGCUAGAUGAGGAAACGGCUUCUACUUUUGGCAAAGCAAUUCAUCCUGAUGUUCAAAUGGAGGAUAAUAUAUGGGCAAUGUUGCCAGAGGACUUGUUGAAUGAGAUAUUAGCUAGGGUUCCACCAUUUAUGAUAUUUAGGCUCCGGUGUGUUUGUAAACGGUGGAAUACAAUUCUACAAGAUAGAAGUUUUCUUAAGUUCCACUCGCAAGUGCCAUCUCACGGGCCUUGUCUUCUCACAUUCUGGAAGAACUCUCAGACCCCACAAUGCUCAGUCUUCAGCUUACCAUUAAAAACAUGGUACAGAAUUCCGUUCACAUUUUUGCCACAGUGGGCAUUCUGGUUGGUGGGCUCUUCUGCUGGUCUAGUUUGCUUUUCUGGGCUUGAUGGCUUAAGUUUUAAAACCUUGGUUUGUAACCCUCUUACACAAACUUGGAGGACAUUGCCAAGUAUGCAUUAUAAUCAGCAAAGGCAGCUGAUAAUGGUUGUUGAUAAGAAGGACCGGUCAUUUAAAAUUAUAGCCACUAGUGAUAUUUAUGGUGACAACAAGUCGUUGCCCACUGAAGUAUAUGAUUCAAAGCUAAAUAGUUGGUCAAUUCACCAGAUAAUGCCUGCAGUUAAUCUUUGCUCCUCAAAGAUGGCAUAUUGCGACUCCAGACUAUAUUUGGAAACUCUUUCUCCACUUGGCCUAAUGAUGUACCGGUUGGACACAGGAUACUGGGAACACAUUCCAGCUAAGUUCCCACGGUCUCUAUUGGAUGGUUAUUUGGUAGCUGGCACCCAAAAGCGUCUGUUUCUAGUUGGAAGGAUUGGUCUUUAUAGUACUCUUCAGAGUAUGAGAAUAUGGGAAUUGGAUCAUACAAAAUUUAUAUGGGUGGAGAUUAGCAGGAUGCCUCCAAAGUAUUUUCGAUCUUUGUUAAGGUUAUCAGCUGAGAGAUUCGAGUGCUCUGGACAGGAUAACUUGAUUUGCUUCACAUCGUGGAACCAAGGGAAGGGCCUUCUCUAUGACGUGGAUAAGAAGGCGUGGUCCUGGAUUGCAGGCUGUGCUCUUCAGUCGUACAACAGCCAGGUUUGUUUCUAUGAGCCGAGAUUUGAUGCUUCCAUCUACUGAGAAGAAAGUUUUGCUUUGCAGUUCUUGUUUUAUUUACUAGCCAGAGAAUUAUCAGUGGACAGCAUCUCCAGUUAGCAUUUUUCCCUUGAUCCAUUCUUUGCUUCUUCUCCAUAUGGUGCUGAAGGGAUUUGACACUGGGCUUGGUGGCUAAUCAUGUGAGUUUGAGGGAUGCGUGGAUUUGGCAAUAUGAGUGCAUCCCAGAAAACCAAUUUUUGUCAUUGAGAUUUUGUAGACUUUAAUUGGUGAUAUUACCUCAUAUUAGGUCUCUGUGAUGCCUAAUGAUUGAGCAAAGGCUGGUUGUUAGAGAAAGAACGUGGUCAGGGGGAAGAACUGUAAGAAGGCAAUUUUUUCCAAAUCUUGUACACAUUUUGAAACUAUUAACACAUCCAACCUGUACAUUUAAAAGUUUACCGUGCCUUGCUAAUUUUAUUAAGUCAUUAUCUGAGAAUUUAUUUGAUAUGCUUUUUGCUCUUGAUCCAAGGUCGCAUCACAAGCUGCAAUUUGUUACUGGAGAUGUGUAAAUAUGGUGGUGUCUUUUGCUUGGUGAUACAAGUUUUUUUUCUUUGAUCAGAUGCAUUUCCCCAGGCUAAAGUCUUAGCAAUUUUCUUUAUUUGAACCAUAAUAGAUUCAUUACACUGUUUUGGAGUUCUGAAGCUUUUGAUUUUUCAAUGGAUACAAGUGGUAGAACCUUUGCUAGUCUACUAGUUACUUCAUCGAAGUGAGUAAAGUUGCUAUGGGAGUCGGGGCUUGUUGCAGUGCACUUCUCAGUCCAAUCUCUAUGGUUGUGGUUGUGCUAGCUGAGCUGGCCCUGAUAGGGUGACAUCUCCGAGAAAAACUUACCUAUACCGGGGUGUAUGUACUUGAAGGAGAUUCCUCAACCUUAACUUGGCUAAAUGGACCCUUCGCUUUCAAUUGGUUAAAGAUUCAAUCCAAGUCCACUGACCUUUCAGCUCUCAACUUAGCAACAUGGGGCUUUUUGCUUUGGAAUGGUUUUGAUAGGCAUAGGGAAGAGAUUUCCUUUGCCAUAAAAAAAAAAAAAAAAAAAAAUUAUUAUUAAAAAAAAAAAAGAAGAAGAAAAAGAAAAUGUUGUUCAUGUGUACAUGUUCCAAAAAAGAAAGCUAACUAAAGGGAAUCUUUUUCUUGGGUUCGCUAAUCAGAUGGAUCCCUGGACACUUUUCACAUAUUCCAUAGACUCAGCCUGCUUCUAAUCACAAUAUCAUGAGGUGUGUUAUAUCAAGUUUGUAGCAUAUACACAAACACAAGCACGCGACAUGCAUAUACAACUUCCUAAACCUCAAAAGCUUCACUUCACUUGGCACAUACAUACCUGGGUCCAAAUUUUAAUUGGUCUUGUUCGGAAAACUAUCAAAACAAAUGGUGGAGACAAGACAAUAUUGGUAACAGGAGCCGGCUUUCUCCAUGUCCAUUCGUUUUGGUUACUUCGUUCAAAAGUUUGCGAUGAGAAUUAUAGUUUUAGAAGGUGAUAAUUAAGGCAAUAUUUGCUAAAUAUAUAUAUGUGCUAUGCUGGCCAGUAUAAAAUAUGUCUGGGACCGACUUGCAUAGAAAUGACACAUGUUAACACAUUUCUCAAGGUGAAAGCACUAGCAUAUAGUUGGAGGUCACGCCCUCGUGUUCUAAAAUUGCAACUCACACAAACACACUCAGGAACUCUAACCCCCCUUGUUUGUUUAAUUGAUUAAUAUCUUCAUAUAUUGUUAAAAGCUGAAAUGUUUUGAGUAAUUCUAUGUGAAAUCACUUGUAAAUGUCCUGCAGGCUCUUAAUUUGAUGCAUUCUCGCGAUGCCCUUCAUGCCUCGAAAAAAACUAUCCCUUGCAUGCUAAGUUCUAACCCUCUUUAUAGUAAGUAUCGAAAAUAGAUAUAUCAAAUUAUCACGUGAUUAUAAAAUAAUAAGAAAUAAAAAAGAAAAUUUUGUGACAAUCGAAUAGUCAAAUUCUACAUAACUUUGAAGACAUGAAAUUUGAUAUUAAAAUUGACAUCCCAUAAAGCAAAGGAUCAAUGAUUCAAGAUCCUGAUCAUAUUGAAGUGUUUGAUGUCUGAAUAUUCUGCUGUACAAAGACAAAUUUUUGUUUUUGGCGGAACCCUUAAAAUUUAUAUUGAAGGUGAGGACCGAAUCUCUGACUGAUCAGCAGAUCUUUGCAGCUCGGAUUGACCCUAUUAAUUAUGUGAUGAUAUUUUCACUUACUGUAUGUGUUGGCUUGUUUUGGUAACAUUUAAAUAAAAAAUAACAGCUAAUAUCUGACUAUUCAACUUGAUCUUUUUACUGUUCAACUUGGUUAAGCUUGAAAGUAUAAGAUUUCCAUAUCUACCUUGCAACAUGCCAACAAAAAAGAGUACAAUUAUAAUUGAUUUUAGUACUGCUGAAGCUGAAUAGUACUGUAUGAUCUUUUGACCUUCCUUUCACUUAAACAUAUCUCAUAGUGAUCCUGAACUAAUUAAACUUUGCAAUUAAUAAUUUAUAGUCCGGAUAUAAGUACUCUAGAUUGUUCUCUAUACUCUGAUCAUAUACUACAAACAAUAUCUAAACUGCUCUAAUUAAUUUACGAGAUGGGAGAAUCGAACUCGAGUGCAAGAGGUGUGAUAUGCACACACUGCCGUGGCCAAACUAGCCUAUUCUACAUAUGCAGAAAGAGUAAUGUUAAUGACUCAUCUUUGAGCACCUUAUUUAGUGACUUCGUUGCAUGCAUGCCAGUAGAGAUAUAUCAUACACAAAAAUCAAAAACCCAAAUUCAUGUUUCACAUUUCAUAUAUCAUAUUUGAUGAAGUUUCAUUUAAUAUGCAUCAACGUACGAUUUUAGGCCUGCUAACCUCUACAGAUUCAGUUUAAUUAACUCGAAAAACCACAUUCAAAGUUUUGAAAACCGAAAACGCUGUCUUCCUUUGAAUAGUUUAUUCAUUAGAUUAUUUUGAGUUUUGUGUUCUUCCAAGUCCUGUCUGUACCCACGAGAAAUAUUUUAUGCAGGUAGUCUGAACCCUAGCUUUGACUUGGGUUUGAACUCUGUCUAUAAAGCCCACAUUAUUCUCUCCAACUUUCCUCUCUUUUUGUUGUCAAUCUAAAGAUCACUACACUUUCUCUAGCUAGAAAUUAAGAAGGAAACUACACAAAGAUGCUACAGCUUACAAGCUUCAUACUAGGGCUUCUUUUUGUUAUGCAUGCACUAGGGCACUUUACUACUGCUGCACAUGCUCAUCAGGGUAGAUAUACUAGUAGAUAUAUAUAGCCUUCUCUCAUAUUAUAGCUAGGGCUAGGGAUUUCUAAUAAAAUUUUGGGAGGAUUUUCUAAUGAUUAAUCUUGUUUUUUUGUAGGUAAAGAAGAGCUUUCUAUGACUGAGAAACCUGUAAUACUCUCUGGUCAUAAGGUAGAGUACUUAUUAUUCCAUGAUUUGUUUGUGCUAUUAUUGAAGUUUAGUCCUCAGGAAGCUUCUUGCACUCGUCAAGUAACACUGCGCUAUAAUCGCGUUGUUAUUUGCACUUCUCCACAAUAGUGCAAGAAGCUUUUCGAGGAGUGUGAAUAGCGUUUCUCUUUCUUCUAUAUAUGAUUAAGUAUAAUUUUCGAUAUAUAAGCUAAUUACCGUAUGAGUAUGCAGGAACCAAAUACGGAUGGGGUUUCAAUAGCUGGGUCUAGGAUGAUAGGGCUUGGAGGAAGAAAAAUGGCGGCACACAAAGUGUUGAGGAAAUUAGAGCCUGCAAGACCAGCUAGCCAGCUGAAUGGAGAGACUACUUCAUCAAAGAAUUCAGGUGCAACCCGUAGUUCUGAGGGAAAUUGUGACUUCGAAGGAAAGGGAGAUCUAAAUGAAAAAUGUAAACACGGAGAUUAUAAAAGUAAAACUAGCCCUUCUAGUGCUAAGAAGUACUUCAAAGCAGCACAUGAUUUUGUAGCUUUUGGUGCUGAUUAUCACGGGCCUGCACACCAUCCUCCAAAACACAAUUGAGAAAAUCAUUGAAACCCAAGUUCGAUCUUAGAUCAGUCUUCACGGUCUUGUUGUUGCCAGAUGCUCUAGUGAAAACAUAUGUGUGUGAUAGAUAUAUAUCACGUAGUAGCUAGCUAGCUAGUGUAGUUGUAUGUAUUAGUAUUCAGAAAAAGAUAUAUACAUAUAUGUUGGAAGGGAUUUCUCGCUCUGAUGCUUAAUGGAUGCAAAUAUUGCUUUUGUGUUCUUGGAACUAAAUUUUGAGAUGUUGAUUUUGAUGAGGAAGAAGGUUAAUAAUAAUAAUGGUUCAUGUUAGACAUUUCUUGUCUGAUUGCAGGUAAGGACAGUAAAGCUUCAAGCAACUCCCAUGGAAAACCUCAAAACAUACUGAACCAGCAGGUCUCCUCUCUCUCUCUCUCUCUCUCUCUCUCUCUCUCUCUCUCUCUCUCUCUCAUACACACACACACACAAACUUUCAUAAAUCAAAUUUUGAUAUGCAUGUAGUAGCUAGUACACUUAAACAAAGAGGAUUUUCUUUACCAUCAGAAAAGCCCCACCUUUUGCCUUUUAAUUUGGUGCUAAUUUGGUUAUGUUCAUACACAUUUUCCAGGCCGAUAUCAAGAUAUUGGAGCCAACAACACUGAAGGCUGCUGCCAAUAGUUUUGGAAUUCCCAGAGUUCUUAAGCCAAAGCACUCUCAAGAUUCCAAGACAAAGCAGCCAAUUAUCAGAGCUCAUCAAAAGACUAUUAAUUAUGAUGAUACUGAUGAUCAUCAUAAGUUGACAGAUGAAGCAAGAAGGCUUCUUAAGGCAACAAGAGAGAUAGUAAACCUGAUGCAUAAAGAUUAUCAUGGAAUGGGUCGCCGCAAGCCGCCCAUAAACAAUCAUGAGCCACAACAUUGAGAUUGAGUCUGUCUAAUACUGGUUUAGCUAUAUAUCUAGGCUCACAAUUUUGCCCCCUUCCCCCACUAGGAAUAUUUAGUGAUCAGUCCCUUAUAGCUAGCCUAUACAGAAUAUGGUGUGUGCUUGUUUAAUUUAUUUGUUUUCUUUUUUUGAUCAAGCAUAGGAACUUUAACAAGUAGUGAACUGCUGUGUACAUUAAGUUUGCCUUCAUACACCUAGCCUCUGUGAAGUAAUGAUAUAUAUAUAUAUAUAUAUCAUAAUUUUGUGCCCUCUUCCUCCUUUAUAUAAUCUAAUUUAUUGUUUUUUCCUUAUGCAAAACAUGGUAAAAGGUAAAACAAGUCUUUAUCUCAGCCUUAAAACUCCACCAAAUGAAUUUGGCAAUUGUGUGUUUGGAUCAACUUCAGUUGCUCCUCCUAAAAUAUUAAUGGAUGGUCUCAUGCUUGUGGGCUCUGGAUCUUCAAUAUUUAUUUAUCAAUUCACUGGCAAGUUUAAACAUUUAGUUUAUAAGCUCUGCUGCAGGAGAGUACAAUAUUAUUAUUUCCAUGAUUUCCAUUAACCAAGAGCCUUGACAGAGCUAGCUUGAGAGGUAAUCAAUCUUAAUCAGUACAAAUUAAUAUGACAAUUAAAAAAGGACAAACUAAUCCCAUUUUUUAAAUUGACCUUGCUGAUGGGCUGAUGCAUAAUGGAUUAUGUUAUACAAUUACAUUUCUACAAGUUGCUUGAUGUUUAAGGGGGUGCAAACAGUUGAACCAUUGAAGCAGCCUGUAGCUAUAACGGAGGAUACAGAUUCAGUAAGGUGGAAAGCAUCCCAGAAGAAGUAAUUGUUUGGUUCUAAGCAUGGUGCAAGCAAUGGAAUGCUCUCUGAAGUCCCAUCUGCCCAAGUAGUGCAGCAUGGAUUGCUUCCAUCGAUUAGCCCUGCUCGAUUGAUACAUAUCUCAUUAACAUCGAAUCGAUUAACAACAAGAAAAAUCAGAGAAAAAAUGAGACAACUUGGUUUUUGAAGUUUACCAUAUUUAACAGGACUUGUGAUUGCAUCAUAGCCGAUCCAAUUAGCUCGACCAAGAACAAAGAAAGAACCUUGGAAAGUGUUUGUCAAAUUUGCCAGCGUCACACGAAGAUUUUCAUUAAAAAUUGUGGCUAGCACGUUUGUAUCUUCCACACAGUUUCCACUGUGGUUAUGUGUCUUUGCAAUUGAUGGAAUGCAUCCAAGGGGACCAAUUUCAAACGUGACUAUUUUCCUGGCUCCCAAAUUGUACAUCCUCUGCACUUUUGCAAUAAGAACAACAAGCUUAUCAUCCAUUUUAACAUUGAAUGAGCAGAGAAGGAAGGGAUGAGAGUUUGGUACCUCCAAAUGGUUAGCAAGCGCAUCCAUUAAGAGUUGUGCAAAUUGUUGAGGAGAGUAGCGUUGACUUGUAUCGAACGCUUUGAUGUAAAGGUAGUUAUUGAUGAAAUCAUUGCUACCAAUAGAAAACAGAAAUAUAGAUUUGGAUAGGUAGUGCAGAAGAUCAUGGGGAUUUUGGAACUGUCCUGGCAAGUCUGACUUCACCGUUCUUUGAAACAAAUCUAUCUGGUCUUUUAGAUUCAAGCAUUUCCCCUGUAAAAGAACACCAAAUAAAAAAAGAAAGAAACUCAUAGUAUAAAACUAUAUAUAGCUGCCCUACUAUAGAAAAUUCAUGCAUGGUGGGUGCAUGAACAAUAAAGAUUGGCAGGAUUGAAUAUCUAGAACUGGUUCUUCACAGACUCAUGGGUCAUGACUAUCUUACAAAUUGGCUUCCGGUUUCAGGUAGAAUGCCACAAGAACCAGAUGCAUAAUUCAGGCCUUUAAGUGCUGUGUUUGAUCCACGUAUGCUCAUGUAUGGUGGAGGAUAUGGUAGCUCAAGAAAUUCAGCUUAACAAAAAAGACAACACAGAAACCAUAGGUACUAAGUUAGAGUCAAUAAUAUUCAUGAACUGAAACCAAACCAAAGUUACAAGUAUUUGUUUUGGGCAAUAAUAAUAUCACCUAUAAAAUCUGCCACUGUUCUGCCAUUGGUAAAUCUUCCAGUGACUCCCUUGACAAAAUUCACCCCAUAAGGCAAGUAAUCUGCCUUACAAACAGUUGGUAAAAAAUUAUUGUUACCACUGUCAAACAAAGAAUCCCCAAACACAUACAAUGCUGGUGCAAUUGGCAAACCAUGAAUCUGCAGUGAAUGAAAGUGCAAGGAAAUUGUGAACAAGAAAAUAAGUGACAUUGGUUUCAUUCUCAUGUUCUGCAACAUUGCUUUGAUGCAAAUGCUGAAUUUGCUGCUAGUGCUUUGUGUGUGUGUGUGUGUGUGUGUGUGUGUAUACAAUUUGUUGGGAGGAAAAUGCUGAUUGUCCAGUCACAUGGAAGAUCAAUUGGUGUGAGCUUUUAAUGAGGUGGAAAAUUUCGGUUGAGCUUAUAGUGAGGUGGGGAUUUCGGUUUGGGGUACAUGUAUAGGUAACUGAUAUGAGAUGAGUUGUUUCAACUCUUUUGGAAAGUGAUUGAAUCAAGGCAGCGGCCUAAUUGUACAACCCUUUUUUUUUUUUUUUCUGGGGUUGAAAGUUACUUUAUGAAUUUAAGGGGUCCAACUUCACAUUUCAUGUGACCACUGCAGCUCCAAAGCUAACUGAUGCUGCAAAUUUUGGUUUUGGGGUCAUGGAUUGCGCCUACUGAUCAGUGCUGAUCAUUAGUUUUGAUAUAUGGUGCAAUAAUUGGGCAACAUUUACACAAGGGAAUGAAACUAAGGUAAUGAGCAUGAAAAAUGGUGAUCAUUAUCUGAUUAGAAACCACUUGAUUGGGUUUCCAUGUGAAAGUUUAGACUACAUCCAUCUUUAUGAUUAGGCUUCCAACCACGAAAGCCCCAUUUUUUGAAGCGUGCUUUGCUGGGCUACUAGCAUGGGCCCAAAGCACUCACAUUGGGGCAUUGAAGCUACAAAGUGGAUCAUAAACCAUUUGUGAAUAAAAAAUAGUCCAAGUAGGGUUUGUGGCUUGGAAUCAUUUUAUAAUGAGAGCCUUAAGAUGAAGCCCUAUCUAUUAACCGUGCAGUACCGUCUAACCAAUCCUCUUUUCAGCUCUACCUAACCCUGCCAAGGAUAUUAGUCUAUGUAGCUCUAACCAAUCCUCCUCAAUAGUUGAAUAUUUGUUUGGGACAAUAUAUAUGCCAAGUCAUGAUACUCUUCUUGAUUAGCAAAAACCAGUUCAAGUGGAUGAUGACAAUAUAUAAAUUAUAUAAAAUAUGUAAGAGAAUAGAAAAACAACUCAAAAUUCACAUUAUUUUCUUUAGCUGUAUUUCUCUUUGUAUUUACAAUUAUUUUCAUCUCUCUUCUUAUCUUCGUUUUCUUGGUUCAAACAGAUUACAGAUUUGCGAAAGAAAGAACAACAAUAAAUUAUGGAUUUGUUGGAAAAGAGAGAAAGAAAAAAAGAAGGAAAAAAAUCGAAUGAAUUAUUGAAGUUAAGGGACCGCAGAGAAUAUUUCUUCCCAUGAUCCUACUUAGACCGUGUCAACCCACCCCAAAAAAUAUCGUUUUGAUUGAGCAUAUUUGGUUGACCCACAAGGAUGAAUAUUUGCAUUAAGUAGCAUGACACAACCCACUUGCUAACCUAAGUUGAAGCAGCCAAGGAUGGAGGCUUACACAUGCAAGCAUGUAAGGCAUUUUUCUUCAUUAUCACUAACACUAUUACCAUUAUUAUUAUUUUAAAAAACGCAAUUAAGGUAUGUAUGUCAGUGUAUCAGUAUUUUAAAUUAAUCACACAUUGUCAUACAUUGUCAUAUAUUUUAAUUGUAUCAUAUUGUAAUUCGUAAUUGACUUGAAAUAUUAUUGGCAUUUUAACUUUCCACCAAGACCAUGGAAUUUAUUCCGUGGACCAUGAGCUCAAAGCGACAAAUUGACCCAACCAAACAAAGAGAAAGCAUAAGAAUUAAAGGCGUCCUGCAUCUACAUUAACGAGGCAUUGGUAUUUGGUACGGCUGAAUAAGACCCAUAUGUAGUUUACAACUUUACCGGCUUUUGCUUUGCAUUAUGUGAUAUAAUUCAAUUUAAUUUUCCUAGGCCUACCAUUAUAUUAUUAUCUUUCCCUUUAACGCCUCAACAGAACACUUCUACCAGUUAACGUUAAGCCCAUAAAAAAACCGCGUCUUCUUUUUAUUCCAUCAACUCCCAGUCCAACUCAGCCACCAGUGUUUUUCCUUCAGUUUCUUCUCUGGCUGUUUACAGUUUCUUUUCUUCAACUGGGUCUCUGUAACAACAAUCAGCAGAAGAGUCAACGAAACUGAUCCCAUCAACUUCUCUUUGGGUUUUCAGCUGGUUAGGUAUGUGUGCUCUUCAUCAAUUCAUCGGUCUUUCUUGAUUUUGAGAAUUUCUGCUUAUUUGUGUCUUUUGGUUGGUUCUGAUGCCUGGGCUCAUGCGUUCUGGUUUUGAUUAUAGAGCAUGAUAUAUAAGGUUGUGGGAAUUUGGAAGGUUGAUAGUUAAUUUCAAUAUAUCUAUGUUGAAUUAUUGCUUCUUCUUUUUUAUAUGCAAAUAAGAGUCUACCAUUUAUGCCAACUUCUGCGUCAAGUCUUGGUUGGCGGUACCCAUACAAAGAAAGAAAGCAUCUUAACAUGUAGUAAUAAUUUAGUAGAAAACCAAAAAAAAAAAAAAAAGGUUCUUUUGCAGUUUUUGAGUUUCUCUACUUAUGCCCAGUUGAUAGUAUGCUUAUCCUAUGGCUCUAUCUUUAGAGAAGCAAGCAAGACACAAUUUUUAUGGAUAAAAAUGGUGGAUAUAUUAUGUCUACUAAACGAGUUACACAAUUUAUAUCUGGAAAGUGCACUGAGUUCGUUGUGAAUCAGGCAAUGUGAGGAAGUAACAGAUCGUACAUUUAUUUCAGAAAGAUAUGUAGCACUCUAACUAUUGUGGUUUUCAUAUUGUUAAUCAAAUAUUAUCAUGUUUCCAUUAUCAAUAACCCAAUCAGAUUUUGAAUUUCACUUGUCAUGCUAAUCCAUCAUUUCUGGAACAAGCUUACAUAAUGUGUUUUGCCCAUCUUAUGACAGAUAACCUGCGGCAAUUUUGCCCUGCAAGAUGUUCUCAUUGCCUGAAUCUCAUAAGAGACCAAAGAAUGGUUCAUCAAACUGAUCUUGUUAUCAUCGGCGUCUCUGUUGGCGUAGCCCUUGGAAUUUUGAUAGCUUCACUCAUAUUUUUUGGCAUAAGGUGGUAUAGAAAGCGUGCUCAUCUUCGGCGAUGUGCUAAUGAGCGUAGUUUGACAACUCUUCCGAUACAGGCAAAUGGCUUAGGUACAAGCACUGACUAUAGCGCAUCUCUUUCAACUUCCAAAGCUAUUCAAGGAUCCGAGAACCUUCAAAAAAAUUCUCCGCUCUCUUGGUGGAAUCAUCAAAACAAAGAUCGAUUUGUUUCUGCGCCAGGCGUACUUAGAUACUCUUACAAGUAUGUUGAACCUUCUGCGCUAUAGAAAAAUUACAUAAUGCUGUUACAGUUUAUAUUUCUCCAUUUUGUGGGUACUAAAAAAUAUUCUAUUAGGUUAAUAGUAGAACCUAUACUUGGACCUUGUGAGGUAUUGAGUUGAUAUGCUAUGAUAUAUGGUGCAUCCAAUGUAUGUUAUACUUUUCAGGGAUAUACAGAAAGCUACUCAAAAUUUUACUACCCUUCUGGGACAAGGUUCUUUUGGUCCGGUGUAUAAAGCAAAAAUGGCUGCUGGAGAGGUAGUAGCUGUGAAGGUGCUUGCUUCCAAUUCUAAGCAGGGAGAGAAAGAGUUCCAAACAGAGGUAAACGCUACAUCAAGUAAAUCCUGUGAGAAACCAUCUUCCUUCAUGCCCAUAGAAUUGAUACAAAAAUACUCACGUAUGUUGUAGAAUUCACAACCAAAAAUGAUUUCUUUGCUCUUAUGGUCCAAAGAAUACAUAAAAUGGAAUGUAACAUUUUCAAUAUUUUACUCAAAAGCUUGGAACAAUAAUAAAAAACAAUGCAAUUCUGGACAUGAACGCAACAAGACAGUCCUCAGGAGUCCGGUUUCUGGUUUCCAAAUUGACAAUCUGACCAGUUAUCACUGGUUAACUUAUGAUUGGCCGUCUCAAUGUUUAUAUCCCACAAAACAGGUUGAGUUUCCAUUAAUUUAUGUGGUCUUGCUGCAGGUAUCUCUGCUAGGAAGACUGCAUCAUCGCAAUCUAGUGAAUCUACUAGGAUAUUGUGUAGAUAAGGGGCAGCAUAUGUUAAUCUACGAGUUCAUGCGUAAUGGCAGCUUAUCAAAUCUUCUGUACAGUAAGUUCAGAAGCUCCUGUUUUUAUCCAUAUCAAAAAUCAAGAUUUCUCUUUGUUGUAGUAACUAGAAGCUAGGUGAUAUCUAAUUCAAAUGGAAGGUGGAAAAAUUUACUGAGUCUAUGUUGCUUGGUAGUUCCAAAUCGUGUAUUUCACCUAGAGACAUCUCUGUAUCUUUUUUUUGUUUCAGUAACUGAGAACUUGACUAAAACUUCUUUUCGGAAGCCUUUUGGGUUGAUUUAAGAAUCAUCUUCACGUAGGUGAAGAACAACAGGUCUUGAGCUGGGAUGAAAGGCUACAAAUUGCUCUGGAUAUUUCACAUGGAAUUGAGUACCUUCAUGAAGGGGUAGGAUAUAUAUCUGUAUCCUUGUUUUGUUAGUGAACAAUUAAUUUUGUUCACCUCUCUCAUAUGAAGUUUAUUUGAACAGGCAGUCCCACCAGUCAUACAUCGUGAUUUAAAGUCUGCUAAUAUACUUUUAGACCAGUCAAUGAGAGCUAAGGUAAGAAAAUAACCGUAUAUGAUGCAUGCUAGGCAGCUGGCACAUGCAUGGUAGUUAAUAGUGAAUGUUAUCAUAUUUAUGUUUUCAUUUCAAUCUGUCCUCACCUUCUCCUGUGCAUUAGGUUGCUGAUUUUGGAUUGUCUAAGGAAGAGGUUUUUGAUGGCCGGAAUUCUGGCCUGAAAGGUACUUAUGGCUACAUAGACCCAGUCUACAUAUCUACAAACCAGUUCACAAUGAAGAGCGACAUCUACAGUUUUGGAAUUAUCAUAUUUGAGCUAAUAACAGCCAUCCACCCUCACCAAAACCUAAUGGAAUAUGUUAAUCUUGUGAGUUUCAUGCACUCUGCAACAUAAACAUAUUGUUUACACAUAAUUCUGUUGCGAAGCUUUUUAACUUUUUUCUCUUUUUCCUUUAAGGCUGCUAUGGCCCCAGAUGGUGUAGAUGAAAUACUUGAUAAGCAACUAGUUGGAGAGUGCAAACUUGACGAAGUGAGGAGGCUAGCUAGAAUCGCACACAAAUGCUUAGAGCAAUUACCAAGAAAGAGACCUUCCAUAGGAGAAGUUUCACAGGGUAUAUUGAAGAUAAAACAGAGGCGUCUUGCCAAAGAAGAUACCAUGUCUUUCGCAGGCGAAGAAUUUUCAAGGGCUGUAAGCCGAAUAGAGAUUCAGCAGGUGGAGCUGAGUAGGAUAGCUAGCAUGAAAGAUAGAGCGACUGAAUGACCAAUAAGAAUUUUGUUUCCUUUUUGAGCUUAUAUUGGUUUUUCUGGUUUCGAAUUCGAUCCUUUGAGACGUUUUUGGGUGAAUACAAUGCAAGGCAAAAUCAAGUUUUUAAAUUUAAGCCCAUCGUUCAAUUUUAUUGUUGUUAACAUAUGCAAAUUAACCAUAAUAACGGAGGAGAAAGCACUUAAGUCAUCACCUAAUAACAAGGGGUCAAAACAUGCAUUGCAUCUUUAACCUCAUAAGAUAGUUUAUAUAUACACAACGCUGUUCCUUCUGCCAUUUGGCAUGGCAGAUUUAUUCACUCUCAACACAGUCGACACAAUGUGGAAGACAAAAAAGACAAAGGAAUUGAAACAUACGGUUCUCGCCUCCAUUGGCCGACUCCCAAGGGUAAGACUCAGGAUGCCAGCAGUCCCAUAAAUAAACUUGUGAAAGGAGGGAAAAAAAAAAAAACAAAUAACACCCCGACCCCGGUGUCAAACCCUACAACAAGUACUCUAAUAACUCCAAUUUAUUUAUCUAACAAUAUUCCCUCAAAACUGGCAUGAAGUCCCCAACCUCUGUCUCUGCCUCUGACCCACAUUCCCUGCAUUGCGAUUUGCAAAAGCAGGGCGCAGCAAUCUCUGGAAAUUCUCAAGAAACCGCAUCCAUUCCUCUUCAUUCAUAUCUGCCAAAAUCACAAAAUUACUGCUCAUAGGCCGCUGCUCAUUCACGCUCCUAUUUCCUGAGGAUGUGCCAGCCAAAUAGCCGUUCUUCUGCAUUGAGCCUAGGUGUCGCCAACUCUUCUCACCAAAGCUGAUGUUUUUCAAUGAUGUUGACAGCUUUGAAACGUUUGGAAUCCGAUCCUGCACUACACUAACACAGUCAUCUGACCUUGGAGGUAACUCAUUUCCCUCGUGCCCUUCCAUACCCUCCUCCACACUCUCCUCUAGUUUGGAUAGUAAAUAUCUUCCAUUUCCACCUUUUGAUCCAAAACGGAAAGUCCUUUCAGUUUUCAUUUUCUCUUCAGUAGUUGGAGCCAAAUCCAGCUCCUCCUCCUUCCCACAGUCUAGCUCAAACUGGAACUCCUCCCUGCCUGCUUUUGGCUCAAAAUAAGAUAUUUCCUCAUCCAACAGUGUCUUUGCUUCAAUGCAUAUUAUCUCGAGUUCACUCGGCUCCUCCUCAUGGCCCCGAUAUUCCCUACUCAUCAUCUCACCAAUCUCAGAAAGACAGAGGCCAAAGGCUGCAGCUUCCUUGAGAAAAAUCGUGCACAGAACCAAGACUCGGAGGCAUGCCUCUCGAAUCAUGGGCAGCUCCAUUCUGAGCAUAUCAGAGUCCUUAAAAGGGUCAAGUUUAUUUAUAUAUGCAAGCUCAUCAUCUGAGAAAGGAAUUGAUGCCUGCGGCCAGUGUAUCCACUCAAAGUAUGGAUCCUCUAAGCUUUCAGGUAGACAAAGGCCAUGAUCAAUGGGUACAAGCUCUAUCCGACCAAACCUCCCACCACCAUCAAGCUUCCUAACCAGAAGGUUCCCUGCAUGCCUGUCUGUGUUAAGAAUCCGAAUAUCUAGAAUCCCUAUUCUAUGCACAGCAGCAACUGGGAAGCUGGAAGUCCCAUGAUCACUGGCAUCAAAAUCAUGAGGAAUGAAUUGCUGCAGUGAUGCAAUCUUACUUGCUUGCUUUCCGUUUCGAUGCACAUUACCCUUCACUCCAUCAUUCACAUUAAAAACUGAAUGUGUGAUCUUCACAAGAGCAGUGUCAGGCACAUUAGCAAAAUUAUUGUAAUCAAGAAGGAAAGCUGCAACUUCUCUGAAACCUGUCUCCCCAACCCGUACUGAACGUUUGAGACCUGGCUGUCCAAGUACUUUCCCAACAAAACCUUUUGGGUUGUUUGGAGCAUAAGGUUCCUCAUCCGUCGGUUUCACAAUGGCAAUAUUUUCACCACUGCAAUUUCUAAAGUAAUAUGCACCUCCAAGCCCACCGUGAACAGGAACUGGAUCAAUGCCAUUUCUUAUUGCCUUCACAAUAUCCACAACUAAUUGUUUUGUUCUGGAAAAUUGAUCCGAGUACCCCAGUACCUCAAUUGGACCACUCUGAUCCCUCUGCUGAAGAUCCUUCCCAGUUGGCGAGAGACAGGGGGUAGACAAGCUUCUGUGCAAGAAGUUCCGGGUGAGAAGAAGCGGAGAAUCAUUUCGAACAAUGCUGAGAUCAUUCUUCAACACCAUGUCACCACAUACCAAUGAACUCUCAUCAGUUGGGACAUCAAGUGCAAGCCGUAAUUUCCUCUUCACUGUGUGGACAUUGUCACCCCUAUCUAGCUCUAUGCCCAAAACAGAACCACUUUCCGUCUGCACAAACACACGUCUCUUGCCAGAAUUUUUUCUUUCCAAUGUCUUUUUCCCAUGGUACUCACCAUUAAGAGGUCCUUUGAAGGUUGCAACUGCCAUCUGGUUAUGUACAGGUUUACCCAAUUCAGGAGACAUGAAAGGAAGCAGAGAAGUGGCAAGUUCCAACGCCGGCAGCAGAGGCAGCGGCAGCAGAGAGCUUCUCUCUCACGCAGACGCCAAACUCAAAUGCCGGCACUAAUUGAAGGAAAAUGUUUGUAAUGUAAACAAUCAUAAUCAAACUAGUAGAAGACAACUGAUUUUCACACUGGAAAAGCUAUAACGAAGAAGUCACCCACUUUGCCAAUUUGCUACAUUGCAGAGGCCACCUGAUAAUGACACUGGCAGGCUAGCUAUUCCAGAAUAACACAUUCAUUAGAUAAUCUUUUAAAGAAUAGUGAUUUACAAAGAAAUAAAAGUAUAAGAUAAAUCUUCUUUUUACAUCUGUUUCUUCCAAUCCCUAAUACUUGAAGAGUUUGAAAGGAAACAAAUAGACGUCCUUAUCUGAAAACGAUUCACUCAUUUGGUGACCCGGUACAUACAUCCAUAUUUACAAUCAUGCAUGCAUGCAUACACACACACACACACAGACAGGUAUAUAUGUGUGAAAAAAAGGGAAUCUUUUUCUCUGAAAAUUCUUAUGACAAAAAGCAGUCUGAUCAUCAACUUGAAACCCAAAUUACAACGCCAAGAAUCAACUUUAAAUUUCUUGUCCAUUCAAAUCUCCUACUCAAAGCUCUUCACUUUUUUUUUUCUUCAAAAUUUCUCCUCCGAAUCAGUAAUUUAAAAAGUGCUGGGAAUUUUUUAACUUGUCUAAUACAUAAAACUUAACGAAGAAAGCACAAAACAUAAAUAAAAAAAAACAAUGCCAUAAGAAUAAUACAAAUAAUCGAAAUUGAUCCCAAACUCUACCGUAACAAUAGGACACAAACCUGAGAUUCAAAUGGAAGCGAAAUCGAAGCUAAUCGCGGUCUGAAAAUUGUAAAAACUCACUAAACAAUAGUGUUUUCUAAUGGAGAGCUCAGACAAAAACGAAAGAGUGAGACUCACCGGAGACCGCGAUGCAGGGCAACCGGACGGCGGAGCUUACCGGAGAUCCACCGCCGUUGAGACAAGACUGAAUCGAAGACCGAGGGCGGGGAUUGGAUGAAAGAGAUAUCAACGGCCAGAUUUGAUUUGAUCGGACCUCAAAAUCAAUGCUGUUAACAGUUCUUCUCUCUCCCGCUUUUGGAGUUUUUCGUCUCUAACUCCCAUUCGCGAGAAGCGGAAGGGGGUUUAACGAAUAAUUUAACUUUCUCUUUUUUAAAUUCGAAAUAAAGGAAGAAAAUUACGGGCAGUAAUAAUAUGUGCGCGUUAUUUUGCCACGUGGGUGUGCGUCGUUCGUUCAACGGUAACGUGGCGGGUUUUCAUCUGAUUUGGGUUGUGUGACGUUACUGGGCCCUGAGAUGUCCAAUGGCAGUGAAGGAUGUGACUCCAUGAGAGUUCGCCGUUACGGACACGUGGUGGUUUCUCUUGACGAUGGUGGUGGGAAAGAAAGAUCUAGAACUUGAAAUUUCCAAAUCAUUGUUGGGCCUCAUUUACUUACUGGUCUUUUAGUCUUUAACCCCGUCGACGGCGGUCCAUUAAUGGAUUGAACGAUGGUCUAAAUGUUGGGCUUAAAACCAGUCCAUUUCUCAAUUUUUGAUAUAUAAAAAUGUGUGUAUGAAAUGUGCGCUAAAUUUGAACUUUUAUUGUUAACACUAUAUAUGAGAUUUAGUGUUCGAAUUUCCCUCCUUCAAUGUCGUUUAUAUCCAAAAAAAAAAUUUACCUACUAACAGAAGGUAAUGAGUUACGAGUGACGGAGAGUUAAUAAUUAUUUAUUGGUAAUGUUAUAUUGGAGUUAGAAAAACGGUGGAGGUGCGUCCACUCAAUCUACACCAAAGUGGUAAAAAAUGGGUUACCACCUUUCCCCUUGCGUUACCUUUUUCUAUUGUCCACAACCUUGUCCUAACACCUAACUCAAAAGAAAAAGCACAAAAAAAAAAAAACAAAGUUACCAACUAACAAAAAAUUGAACUUUCCACCCUUGUUUUUUGCCCUAGCAUAACGAAAAGGUAGUCAAGCCUUGAUGUACUUUACAGCAACUGUCUUCUGAUUAAAGAGAAGGUCUUUACAUAGAAUCCAAGUCCCCAUGGAGUAAAUAAUUGACCAUAAUAAAGUUAAAAGUGUGUGCAUUGUCAUUUAGAAGAAAUAAACAUAUGACAAAAGGAAAAAAAUAUUAUUGUGAAAUUAUGGGAAAAAGACAUAAACACCAUCAGUCCCUUUUAUUUGUUUAUUUAUUGUUUUCAAUACAAUUUUUUUCCUUCCUCAUUUUGUAAGUGGCACCGACUUCGUGUCUAUUUAAUAAAGAAAAAUCAUUUGAAUUUGAAAUCUAUUCUAAUAUUAGAAAUAGAAAUACCACUAGUACAUCGAUUCUCAAUUAGGGCAAUAUUAGAAAGAGUCAAAUGCUGGUCAACAACAAUAACUCAUGCAAGCAGUUUCUUCUUCACAGUCAACUUUCAUUGAUUCUUCUGCCCCAACCCAAAACAGUUCCCACUCUUUCUUUAAACACUCCUCAUCACCCAAAAGUUUCUCUCUUUUAUAUUUGAUUCCUCCUUUCAGAUUCUCAUCUCCUACAAAAAAAAAAAAAAAAAAAGAAAAAAAGAAAAAAAAACCCUUCGGUCUUUAUAGAGAGUCACACAACACAACCAUACAAAGCCCCCAAAAAGCCAAACUCAUCCAAUCCAACCAAAGACAUAUAAAGCCACAACCUUCACCAUUGGACCCCAAAAAAAAAAAGACACGACCUUUACCUCACGUGACCAAACUCAAACUCCAUCCCAUUGCUUUCAAUCAACAACUUUACCAAAUCUUGGAAAAUAUUAGCCAACGCUUAAUCUACACCUCUGCCCAACACCCCUCACAUGUCCCAUUUCAUUGGGUCGUCUUAUCCACUCUCUGGAGUGGAGAGUGGGCUUUCAUGAGACAAAGAUUUAUGAAAAACAUAAAAAUACUUAAAUGUAAUAAAAUACCAUGUCUGCUCCAUCCAACUCAAACACUCAAAUGUUGUGUGCAUCUCACUCGCACGUGCCGCCCCCCUCUCUCUCUCUCUCUCUCUCUCUCUCUCUCUCUCUCUCUCUCUGUGACAUCCCUUUCUACUAACCACUGCAGUCCUCUCUCUGUUCAUCUUUGCUUCUGCAAUCUAGUAGGAGACAGAUUCUUUUAGGUGGGUUUUAAUGAAAGGAUGGGAAAGAUGGUGUUUAAGUCCAAAAUGAAAUGGGUUGGUUUGCUUGGUCUGGUUCUCUCAGCUAUAUCUCUCUUUGUUCACUUUUUGCUGGCUAGAUUCACAGAAGGGGGUGUUUCAGAGUACCACUCCUCAAUCACAAUCUUCCCCAGGCGAACCAUUGGUGAAAGCUUGAAUUUUUCGAAGACUGUAAUUGCACUAUCCCAACUAAGAUCUCAUUUUUCUUUUUCUUUUUUUACAUUUGCUAUGUUUGCUCUGUCCUUAAGUGCUCUCUCUCUCUCUCUCUCUCUCUCCCUCUCUCUCUCUCUCUCUCAUAGAGAUUCAUGUUUUUCUUAAAUUUGAUUCUCUUUAUAGCUUUGCUUAUUGUCCAAAGUGUUAUCUGUCUCUGGGUUUCAAGUACUCGUUUCUGCUGGGCAAGACUUGUUCUUGCUCUAAAGAGUGGGAAUCAGUGUUUUUCUGGUGAAAUUGGUUUUGGGGACAAUAUUGCAUUGGGAUUUUGCUGGUUUUCUGAAACCCGCCUUUUACAUGAAUUAUUUUGUUAGUUUGAGUGUGAAUUAGUGUGGAUCCGUUUUUGUUCAUUUAUCUAUUAUUAUUUUCCAGUUAACAUUGGAAGAUUUUGGAUAUUAUCUGGACUGUUUAGUUUCACUAUUGUCUGUCUGUUGUCUAUGAUGGCUACUUAUCCCUCUACUUUCGGGUGCAGAGUCCAAUGUAUAGAAGGCUAUGGGGACCCGUUAGACAUCUGGAAUCUUUGCAUCCCAAUGCAAAUCCCAGAGGACACUAUGCUGGUUAGGCCACUUUUCAUCUUGCUAGUGAUUUCUGUAUAGGUGUAGUGCGCCCGGGAGGCUUAUGUUAGAUAAUUAUUAGUUAAAGGUUUCCUAUGCAAAAUUAAUGCUACCAAAAGGUUGAUGAUAACCCUUCUUUCUCUGUAUUUAUCUAUUUAAAAUCUUACUUUAGGAGAGUGCUGCCUUCCAUGUUGGGGUCAUCGAUUUAAUCUGGCCAGUGAGCAUAUUAUAGUAGAGUUUCCUACAAGCCUACAAGGAAAUGUUUCAUGUCUUAACUUCGGAUAUUGAAACCCUGAAAUUUUGGGUUCAAACUGUUAUUUAUUAAUGUAUAAUUACCAUAGCUAAGUCUUGGGGUAGGGAUAGAAGAUACUUUUCCAAUUUUCUUACAGUCGAUACCUGCAGAGUCAAAAUUAUGUUAUCGUCUAUUUUUUGGUAGUAUUAAUUCUAUAGAUGCCUUCUAAAGUUAAAUAUGUGUCACAGAUCCUGGUUCCGAUACCAGCGGGUUUAUCUUUGUAAGGAUACAAGGCGGGUUUCAUGAGAUCAGGAAUUCGGUAAGGGUGUCAUGCUUGAAUAGCCUGUUCUCCGUUAUAUUUAAAUGUCAUAUAAGUUUACAACCAGAGAAUCUUAUUGAUUUUUCAGAUAUGUGAUGUAGUUGUGGUUGCUCGGUUUCUUAAUGCAACAUUAGUCAUUCCUGAGAUACAAUCAACCACAAGCAGCAAAGGCAUCAGGUUUCUUUUCGGACAAUCAUUACAAGGCUUUGUUUGUUUAUGACCUAAUAUUGAUGUGUUGAGUACUUAUUUCUUUGUUGAUUUAUUGUGUCUAAUGUUUUCAUGUAGCUCUCAGUUUAAGAGUUUUGCCUAUCUCUACAAUGAGGACCAAUUCAUGGCGGCUUUAUCAAAAGAUGUCAAAGUUGUGAAGACCCUUCCUAAAAAUCUGAAAGGGCUGAGGAGAAAAAAGAACAUUCCAGUUUUUAAAGUGCCUUACUCUGCUUCACCGUAUUACUAUAAGCACCAUGUUCUUCCAAUUUUAAAGAAGCAUUUAGUAGUUGAACUAGUUGUGUCUGAUGGAGGAUGCUUGCAGGUACCAAUGUCUGUUCUCUCUAUUGCAUUGUACUCAUAAAUGCAGAUUCCUGCACUGAGUAUAUCUUGGUUUGAUGAUAUAAUUGUUACUAGCAAUAAUCUCCUUUUCAUUUUGUGACGUUACUACUUUGUUUGGAUUUAAUGCAGGCUAUCCUGCCACCUGAUCUUGAAGAAUAUCAGAGGCUGAGAUGUAGGGUUGCUUUUCAUGCCCUUCGGUUCCGGGAGGAGGUCCAAGAACUUGCCACUAAAAUUUUACACAGGUCAAUUACCAGCCGUCAUUACUCUUCUCUCUUCACCCUCUAUUUAUACAUAUCUAAUGUUUUUCUCAUCUGGAUGGCUUUUAACAUAUAUUUACUAUUGCUUUAGAUUAAGGGCUCCUGGACAGCCAUUUAUAGCAUUUGACCCUGGAAUGACCAGGGAAGCUUUGGCAUAUCAUGGUUGUGCUGAACUCUUCCAGGUAAUUGCUUCAAACCUGGAUUGCAUGAUGAACUCUCUUUUUGGAAUGCUUUCACAGCAUUUGAUUUGCAUAUGUUUGAAACUCUUCCCAAGGAUGUGCACACUGAACUCAUUCAGCACAAAAGACAUUGGAUGAUAAAACGUGGAAUUGUCAAGGGGAAGCUUUCGGUGAAUUCUGCAGAACAACGCCUUAAUGGUUCUUGCCCACUAAUGCCAGAAGAGGUAAGAUACAACAUGCCUACAAUACAAAAGUAGUGUUCAUAAUCAUACCAACCCCCUUAGUUCUUAUAUAUACUACCAAGUCUUUUUAGUGUUAAAUUCACUAGAGAAAAAUACUGCCCACAUCCUUUGAUAAGAAAUGACUUCUCAUGGAGCCUUUUAUUUUUAUUCCUUGGAUUGCUACAGAUUGGUAUUGUUCUUCGUGCAUAUGGGUACUUGUGGGACACAAUAAUAUAUGUCUCUGGGGGAGAAAUUUUUGGUGGCCAAAGGACAUUGAUCCCUCUUCGUGCAAUGUUUGAAAAUGUUGUUGAUAGGACUUCCCUCAGCAUGCCUUGGGAGCUCAGUAGGAUUUAUGGUCGUGAGGCUAACCUUGUUGAUCGCAAUCCUGGGAGUCCACCUAUGAUUGAGGAAGAGAUGAAGAUUGAAGCAUGGAAAACUGCAGGGCCACGUCCUCGCCCGCUUCCACCACCUCCAGCUAGGCCCAAAUCCUAUAACAUUGAAGGUUGGUGGGGUUGGGUAGCUGAGAGUGAUAAUGAGCCUGAUAGUACAGUUAUGGAAUUGAGGACCAACGCCCAUAAACUACUGUGGGAAGCAAUUGAUUACGUGAUAUGUGUUGAAGCUGAUGUAUUCAUCCCUGGAUUCGAUCUUGAUGGUAAGGGGCAUCCAAAUUUUGCAAGCUUAGUCAUGGGACACCGACUCUAUCAGUCAGCUGCAUCAAAGACAUACAGGCCAGACAGGUAUGUUGCUUUAUCCGGACAUAUGUGUGUGCACAUGAUUAAUAAGUCGAAGAUAUUUUACUGUUUGCUGCUUUUCUUUGACAUAAACUAUGAAAAGUAAAUUUUUUCUUGAAUCAGGAUUACGAUGUAGGAUUUAUUGAUUUGAAGCAUUUGAGCUGUUAGUUUAUUCACAGUCAAGGUGUUCUGAUCCAAUACUUCUACUUUCUUGGUUCUUUUUCUUUCAAAGUUUGAUGUGUUUAUGGACACAGAUAUGGCAAGUGGCUAGUAAUCUCAAUGCUACCUAUCUGCGUCUCUUUGCUUGUUUUUUUUUGUUUUUUGUAUUUUUUGCAAAUUAACUGACAAGUCUUGUUUGUAGCCUGGUUUUUUUUUGGUUUUUUUUUUUUUGUAUUCUUGAUAGCAUGGAAAUAGGGACUAAAUGAAGUUGUGAUCAUGGACUGCUAGGUCUAAAAUUACUCUAUGUAUACUUAAAAAUUAUGAGAAAUUGUUAUGUUCAUUUGCUUUCUCGUAGAUUAUGGUUGACUAUGUUUUCUAUAAAAUUAUUUCUUGUGCUUUUAUGAACACAGAAAAGAAGUCACCAAGCUUUUAGAAGAAAUUAGUGACCACCUUUACCAUGCAAAUCAUACUUGGCUGAUGUCAGUGCGCAAGAAUUUGAGGAAGAGAUUAGUUGAUGGACUAAUAGAAGCUUCCGCAAGAUCAAAACCACUGUCUUUUAUCUCUCAUCCUGUCCCAGAAUGCUCUUGCUUGAGGCAUGAUCCUGCGGGAAAAUCAAUUAAUGCUACAACAUCAGCUCAUGCUUCAACUUCUACUAGUCAUUCUCAAGUACUUGCUGCUCUUGGAGUUGUGCACUAUUGCCCUGCUUGGAUGGAGAAUGAUUUGAUACUGCAGUCAAAAGACAAGGAAAAUGAAGAAACUCUAGAUGAAGACGACUCCACGUCAUCAGGAUUGUUUUUCCGGAAAAAUAAUGGAUAUCAUGAAGGUGUUAAUGGAGACUUAAGCAACAAAGAAGAGACUCAGUUGGAUGAUCAAGAAGAGCUUGAGGGUGGAGAAAGGUAGUGAGGCUGAUUAACGACAUGGUCAUCCUACACGGCAGUUCUGUACAUAAAAGAUAUCUUCACUAGUAUGAUCCAAGCAAAUUUGGAAUCAUCUUCAGCUCCAACUUCAUAAGGGGAAAUGCCAGUUUUCUAACUGUGGUUCAAGAACACAAGACUCUGGGCUGAUUUGACUCUCGUUGAAGCAUUUACUCAUUUUUGUUGGGUUGUUUAAGCCCUUUUUACAAUUAUAUAGGUCAUUAUUUAACCCCACAACCAGUUUUGAUGUAAACUCGUAUGUUCUCCAUGAAAUUGUAGCUUUAGCUUAACCUCUCUAAUUUUGUAGGGAGUUUUGUUUGUUAGACUUGUUGAUUGAAUUAAAUUCUUUGCAGUGGUCCUCGUCAGAAAUUAUGCCACCAUUUGGUUGUUGUACUCGUUCAAACAUGAAUCCACCAUUUUGUGUGGGCGCCUUGUGAACAUAGAUAAUUGGAGUUUGAAGUUCAUGUUGAUUAAUCUUUUUUGCCCCUCACGUGUCUGGCAGAAGAAUAUGAAAGAAGACUGCACUAUGUAGUAAAAAUAUACAAAUUCCAUAUCCUUAUGAUUUUCAACAAGCCCAUCACAUAAGCAGAAACUGACUAAAAACACCUCUCUUUUUUAGUGAAACUCCCUCAUAUUCUUCAACAUGCAUGUUUAUAUACAACAGUUAUCAUUUGAGUGACUGCUGCCUAAUGUGACUAUUCUUGACUAAAGUAACAUGAUGACCAUCCUUGACAAAAUCAGGUGCUCAUGUUGUCUUUUGUCUAUGUUUAGAAGCCUUUUGAAGCUCUAAUGGCAAAUCAAACGAAUUGUACAUCCAUCAUAAUGUAGAAACUGGAAAGAACAUAUACAAACUCGCAUUUAACAAACUGUAGAAAAUAUAAACUCAAAAUUCUACUUCAAACUCGAGGAAGGAAUUUCGUCCAUAUUAUCUAAUGCAGAAAACAUCUCAUUCAUGAGAAACUAAAACAUAGAGCAAGGGUAUUGGGUACUUGUGUGCACACACUCCAAGAUCUUGUCAAUAACACAAUGACAUGUGAAAAUUUAUUUUACAUUUCGUUGCGUUAUUGACUGGAGAUAGCAAAAAAUGUUGUUCCCAUUGCGUGAGAGUUUCUCUCCAGGUCAGGUCCCACUCCUCGAUGCGACAACAUGAUAGCUGUGGACUGAUCAUGUUGUAGGGUAGGGUCCAUCAGGAAUCAUGGGAUGCAUCUCUAAGCCCAAGCCCACGUGGUCACAAGAAGAACAAUUAGCCCAAAUUAUGCCCUGGUGGCUGGCGGGUCACAUUAGUUCCAGUGGUGGCCACUACCAGAAUGAAUAAAUCAGUUAAUUAAGGUUUAAUAGUGGAAUUAAUUAAUAUUAAAAAUAAUUAAAUAUUUGUUAAGGUCUUUGGUUUUUAAGUUACUCGUUUAAAGAAUAGAAACAGUGCCACCUAGGGCUCCAAUUCCAUGGUUGUCUUUACUGUAACAACUGUCUGUACAAAAUCCAAAAUCCAAAGCUCCGCCAACAAGACCACACCUUUUUAACUAUUUCCAGACCCGUCGGACCCAAUUCGGGCACUCCCCUUCGACCAGGACCUCCCGCAUUUCACUACCGCCACCGCUCACACUCGCCGCACUCUCUUACAAACUCCUCCUAAGUACUCUCUCUCUCUCUCUCUCUCUCUCUCUCUCUCUCUCUCUCUGUGUAUCGUCAUAUUGGCUUCAUUUUAUUUAUUUAUUUAGGGAUAAAUUUAUUAUAUUUGUGGCAGUUACAGUAUAUAUCGGAGAUGGCGAAAGCUUCCAAGGGCCACCACGAUGAAUUUGAAGACGAUGAUGAAGAGUCUCAUGGAGGUAUCUCUCUCUCUCUCUCUCUCUCUAUGUGAGCUAGUUGUGGCUGCCUUGAGAAAUGAUUUUUUUGUUGUUGCUGUAAAGGAAUGAAGCUAAUAAUGAAUUGAUAGGGAAUUUGGCAGUGAAGGUAGAAGGGCAAGGCAGGGAAAAGAACCGGUCCAAGCAUUCCGAGACUGAGCAGCGUAGGAGGAGCAAGAUUAAUGAGAGGCAAGCUCAAAGCCUAAGCCUUUUUUUUUUUUUCCUCUUUGCAUUAAAUCACUCCUUCAAUUUUUCUUUUUCAAUUCUGCUUUGUACGUGUUUCCAGAGCUCGAAAAUUAUAGUUAGAAUAAGUAGAGGGAAAUUGGUUUUGCGUUGGAUAUGUUAUAGUUGCAGUAAAAGGUCUCUGUGUUUUCAUUUUCUUUUUUCCUUUCAUUUUUCAGACAAAAUGGGGCCUUACCAAUUGCCACAAUGUACCUACAGGAAAAGUUGGCAUUAUAUUUUCGUAGAUGUCGUACUUCAGUUGUGUGUUUUGUUGAAUUUUGUAUUAGGAAGAGAAAAAGAAGAGAGUUCAGGGUGGUAAAGGAGGACUUCUAAGCUGUAGAAAAUUCUCUUACAAGUAUUAAAAACUUUAAAAGUUCAAAAAUUUACAAAAUGUUUGACCUUGUGGGUACACAAUUUCAAGCCUAUUUGGCUAUCCAAAAUUGAAUUUGUCUAUUAGUCAUGCAGGUUAGCAAAUUUGAGGAUCGAAUGUUUAUUUAUUUAUUUAUUUAUAUUCAAUGAAAGCAUUAUGUGUUGACUUUUAAUUGUAGUCUUUGAUCCUUUUCUUUUUUGGUAUUAAGUUAGAUUGUUGGCGAUAUGAAGAUUUUAUCUUUCUGUUACUGUUGUAACUCUGUUUGCUGCUCUUUUAUGCUAUGCGGGUCUUUCUUUUUAAUAGCAUGGGCAUAAACUCUUCACUCACCUGGGCAAUACAUAUUUCUGAGGCAGAUUUCAGAUGUUGAGAGAUCUCAUACCCAAAAAUGAUCAGAAAAGGGAUAAGGCCUCAUUCUUGUUGGAGGUACACAUUCCAUUUGCACUCUGCUUAUGUGUUGAUAAUACUUUACCCUCAUUGUCAUAUUAUUUUGAUAGAACAUGCUCUGUAUCAUAUUCAAAUAUAUUGUAUCUAUAUGCAGGUUAUAGAGUAUAUACAAUUUUUACAGGAGAAGGUAAAUUUGUAUGAGGGAUACCAAGGAUGGAGUCCAGAGCCCACAAAAUUGAUGCCAUGGGUAUACUCUAAUGCUUGAUAUCUGUGUCUGUGUGCGAGAGUGUUGGCUUGGUUAGAUAUGCAUGUGUUAUGGUCUUGGAGUCAUUAUCCUUUAUCACUUUUGUAUGGCAUUGUCAAUUUCAAUAGGUGUUACUUUGACACUUGAAAAAAGUGUAAGUGCUGGGCCUGAGUAUGUGCAUUUUGAAUAUCUGCAUGUGUUAGAGGUACUUCUUAUUGGCAUGCACUAAGAGGCAUGUCCAACUAGAGACAGAAGAACCUUGCCUUUAUACCAAGAAAGUUAGUGUCAGACUUUAUCUUUUGCUAUAUGUUUUUUUGUGUGUAUUUUUCAAAUUAAUAGCUGGAAGGUGCAAUUUAUGCCCUUUAUUUCACCUUAUGGGUGGAAAAAGAAAAUUGGAAACUAUGAAACUCUGUUGUUCCCUUAAAUCAUAGCAUGUAUAUGGUACAUGAACCAACACCAAAUAGACGCCUGCACACAACAGUUGCAACUUGCACCAAAAUCCAGGUAGAGAGGAUUUUUACUGUUACUGAAGAACAAGAUCAUACCUGAGACAACUGCAACCCUAUAUAUUUGUAUGUGGGCGUAUUUAGGAUUUUCGGAGGUUACUUCUGAUAUUAAGAAUUAGUAUGACUCGUAACAGCCCGCCCAGUGGAAACUUACCAACCUACCAUUUAUUUGUUUGCCACAGAAAAAUCAUAAUAGGCCUGGAGAAAAUUUUGUAGAUCAGUCUCAAGUUAUGAACAAUGGUUCUGGUCAUGAGAAUAAUGCAGUUGUCUCUCCAGCAAUGCUCCCCAACACCCAGAACUCAGUGGAAUCUGACUUGGGCUCUGGCGUUGUUUACAAAGCAUUGGAUCACAUACCUGGGUUAGCUACUCGAUCAGUUCCUAAUGUGCAACAACAAAACAUCUUUGACCCAAUUGGGAGUGUUGGACUACCCACACAACCUCUGCAGGAAUCUAUUUCUGAUGCUGAGAACAUGACUUCCAAUCCUCCAUACCAAUUGUGGCAGGGUAUAACAUCUACAACUGCUUCAGACGAUAAACUGAAGAAACAGGAUGAAAAUAGUGGAUCUGGUAGCAUCUCAAGUGCCUACUCUCAAGGGUGAGCUUCCACAAAGAUCUCUUGAUAACUUUAUUGUACCAGAUGCCAAGCUAUUGUUAAACAUGUUUAUUGUGUUGGAAUAAAUUUCCCUGGUUGUAUUCUAUGGCAAUCAUGCUUAUCCUAGGUUGAGAUUUUGAGUUCAAAUUUUGAAAGCGUUACCAGUGGAGACUAGGAAUAGGAAUUUCAUAAUUGCCUGAAAAUAUUGUCAAAAUGUUCAAAUAAGUUUCCAGGAGAAGCCAUAUAUCAAUGAUUAGUACUGAUAAUAUGGACAGUAAGGCAAUAAGUUUCCAGGAGAAGCCAUAUAUCCUUUCAUUCUUCAAAAUUGGCUUUAAGAUGGGUUAGCUUUUAACAUUUAAGCCAUGAUGGCUGUUUCUUUUAUUUAUGUUGUUGUAGGAUAUGUUGGAUCGUGAAAUCUGUAAUGGUAUCACAAACUAUUGUUUUCAAUGCUUACGUAUUCUAUCAAUUUUGUAUUUUGAAGUACUCGAUUUGCAUAAUAUAACAGGACUCUUAUAAUCUACUUCAUUAUGGAGAGAUAUCAUUUUGCUGUUACUGAGUUAGCUUUUGUGCUGAGCAGGGUUUUGAACAAUCUGACACAGGCACUGCAAUCUUCUGGUGUGGAUUUGUCCCAGGCCAGCAUCUCGGUUCAAAUUAAUGUCGGGAGUCGAGUAGACAGUGGACUGACAUCCAUGGCAUCUAGUUCAAAGGUUGGUUUAGAAUCUUCAACCGUUGCGUUAAACCCCAUCCUAAAUGUGACUGCUGCAUCAGCUACUGAUGUGUUUUUUUACUAUUAAAUGUGAAAUCCCGUAGGCAUUUUAGCACAUUGGCGGACAGCAUGUCUCCUAUUUUAGUCUUGCCAUAUGGACUAGUGUACUGGCCUCUGAAUUUUUUUCCCCUUAUUUUUUUAUAUUUGUUCAGGCACAAUUGAACCAAUCCUUGAACAAUCAAAUGACACAGACCCAAGUAAGCAGUUGUGAUGAGGACUUUGAACCGGCUCAUAAGCGGUUCAGAACAGGAGAAAGCUAGAGUAUCUGGGUUCCAGUUUUUCUUAAUUUCCUUGUUUUAUUGAGGGUGAAAGGGGGUUGCUCUUGGGCAGGUCACUUUUUGUUACAAAAUUUCAUGGUCCACAGACAACUAGGUCGAAGUUCAAAUUGUAUAUGGUUUGUGCUCCUUGUGCAUGAAUUUUCCUAGAUAGACGUGUUAGAUAUUCUUUUGUUUGUAGUUUGAAGUUUCAGAUGAAUGAUUCCAUGCAUUGUAACAAGAAGCGGCUCUUAUGUUCUUUUCUGCCUUUUAAUGAAUUUUUUUACAUAUGAAUUUCAUCGCCAUGUUCUCUUUUCUUGCCUCCUCCUUCAAUUAAACCUUAAUUGCUUAUUAAAUGGAUAAUGGAGUUUUGGAAUUAGCAGCAGCUAAUUGUGAUUUAGAAUUUGAGUAAUGUGGCAGGGUAAAAUUGAGAUAGUCUUGUGAUCUGAGAAUAAAAUUUGGUGAAAUUUUCAGCGGCUCUAGCGUUUGCUUGUUGAAAUUCUAUAUGCUUGGGGAAUCUAUUUCCAAUCCCAAUACCCAUAAUUAAAGCUGCAACGUUAUCAAAAUGUGAAUUAAUCGAAGAAUGAAAUAACAUCAAAUGGGACAAAUGGAUGGCUUUUCACCAACUUCCUUCUCCCCAAGUUUAAAUGGACAUUCAUGAGGGACUUUGAGCUUUCAGUCUUUCACCUUUUUGGAAAUGGUUGUGUGCUGCGAAAGCCAAGUUUAAAGUGCAUGAAUGGCAGCACCCAUAUUCAUUGAGUGGAAGUAGAACAACACCAUAAGUGCGUGUCCAUGUAUUGACUAGAUACUCUAGUUUCUCAGUGGACGGUAGCUUCUUGGAUCACACACCAAGUUUUCUUGGAUCACUCAUUAGUAUUAUUGCUAUGCUGCUAUCACCUCUUUCUACUAACUAAUUAACCUACUUCUUUCAUUUUUCUCUUUCUCGCUAUAAACUAAAGGAUUAGGAUCUACCUAAUAAAAAAGUGUCUUGAUUUGUAAAUUAUUGGUUUUAUGUUCGAACCCUCAUGACACACAUGACAUGUUGAUAGUGUGUAUGAGAAAUCCCCCUAUCUUUUGUUGUUUAGACUAUUGCUUGUAAUUAAAAAAAAAAAAAACUAAAGAAUUUUGAGAAGGACAAUAAUCCGGUGACUUUCAACCAUUGAUACAAUGAGACCCACAUUUACAUCAAUGGCCACGGACGAGUGUCCCAAACACUGCUAUGGACUAAAACCACAUGCUAAAAGAACCUUGGGAUGAUGAAUAAGUUAAUACUAUUGUUAUUCUUCUUGAGUAGUAAGUGGGCAAUAAUUUUGGGAUCGUAUCAUUAAGUAUGAUGUGUUCUUUAUUCAACUUUUUGGAAGCAUGGAGCUGGUGGACUAUAAGUUUUAUAAUACGAAUUAUAUUUAAUGGCAAACUAAACAAUGAAGGAGAUACAAGGUUUGGUGCAGAGUCCUAGCUAAUUGAGGACAUGAAAUGAUGGGGAUUAUUUGCCAAACCCCACCAUUUAUAUGUAGGCUGAAACAUCAGCUUUCCAGGUGCAAAGUUGUUGUCAGUUUAAGAGGUCUGGGUUCAAUUUUUAUAAGCAUUUGCGUCAUGAGGCUUGACCUCCACCACUCCAAUAGGGAGUUUAUUAGUUUAGGCAUGCCUAAUUCAUGUGGUGAAAUCUGAUUUAGUACCAAAAAGUAAUUUAAUAUUAUCAGUGGCAUCAUCCAGAUGAUAUGACCACAAUUAGUUUAUCAACACUAGAUUCAUUUACAGAGAGAGAAGCAAGGUGAAUAUCUUGUUGCAAUUACAGAAGUACAUGAGGGAUUUUGAGGUAACCAUCCUAAAAACUCUCGUCAGGAGAAUGCAAGAUAUUCCCUAAUUACAAUGAGCUUAUUUGGUAUUUCACCCCAUAAAAUCUGAUUUAUUAAUGAAAAUUCUAUAAACUCCCAACUGCUUUCUGAAGAGCAUCCAAGCAGAGGCUCCAAGAUCAACCCCAACCCAAUUAUCUGUACAUGACACUAUCCUUUGCUGUAUUAACUUAAGACCACAGCAUAAAGUAGCCCCUAAUUACUGCUUGUAUAAAUUCUCAAUGGCGCAUCGCAUAAGUUAAAAAAGAAAAAAAAAAAACAUGUAUUUAGCAUGCAAGAUCAUGUGCUUCUCAAUGGCUCAUCUAACAGUUGUAAACAUUCAUGCGGAUUUGAGUAGAAAUAAUCUUCUUCCUUUGGUUUAUCUGCAAUAGAAACUCGUUUCUUCGGCCUCCCCAUCCGAUCAGCAUGAGCUUCCUUUACAAUAGAAGAGAACUCAUCCCAGCUCAAUGAUCCACUACUGAAUUGUUCUAUUAAACCAAUCAGAAGUCUUCUGUCCAAUAAAACAGUCUUUUUGAAACCUAAGAAUCUGAAAUAUGAAGAAGCCAAGGAGAAACAUUAUCUCAGAUCAAAAUAAUUCUAAGACCAAGCAAGGGGCAAUUAACAACAAACAUCUUAUCUGGCUAGAACACUAAAUACCAAAAGAAUAUUACCUCCGAUGGCCUUCAACAACUUUAGCCAUAUUUCCAUCGUAUGUAGGAAUAAAUAUAUCACUCUCUAGGGAGACAAGAUAGUCCAAUGCUGCCCUUUGAGAAGAGUGGUUUGGGAAAAGCCUCAAGUCCGAAGGCUCCAGCAGAGUCUCUUUUCUGACCUGUUCCAUAAAGUUCAGGCAAAUUGUAAUGGAAAAGCCCUAUGAUGUAUAAUUGUUGGAACGGUUGCUUCUUCUUCGUUCUACUUACCAAGUUAGGAAAAGCAGAUUUCAAACUUUCCAUCCUUCUGUUUCCACCAUAUAUUUCUCCAGCAGCAAUAUAAAUUUGGACAUUGUGGUCAAUACCAAGUGCAACCAAAACUAGAGCAGUUUCCUCUGGUGUUAGCGGGCACAAACCUUCUAGCCUUUUCAUUUCAGAAUUUAUGUCUUUUAUCUUCCACAAGGGGUUAGCAUAUCUAACAAUGUGUAAGAUCCCAUAAUUAAAAGAGGUUGAUAAGCAAAACAACUAAAGAUGCACAAAAGAACAAAACUAAAAAAGGACCUACCUCAUUCUUGUGAGUUCUUCUUCCUCAUCAUUGUUGCAACCAUGACUACAGCCAGAGAAUGCCAACAUAUCCAUUUCAUAUCUGAGAUGAAGGGCCAGAAAAGGGCCUUUUUCUCUCAAAAUUCUGAGAAGCUUUCUGCCAAUUUCCUCUAUCUGGGAAGUGAAUCUCAGAGCAUGGAAAUUAACUCGGCAGCGCAACUUCUGAACCUCAAGAGGGAGCCCAUUAUUAGCUAACCGAGCAUCGGUUUUAUUCAAAUGUACUACUUUAUACUUCUGCACCAGAGGUAGGAUCUGUUGGCAAACACCUCUAGAAUUAGUGAGAAUGGUCAUAAACCGAAAAAGAAAAAAUGAUGCUCAAAUACUUGUCUUUUGAACCAACCUGAUGAAAGUAGUAGGAAAUGUUGGACCAACUAAUAGGUGGCAACGAGUAUACAGCUCUUUUCCUGACCCUUGGCGGCAGUUCCUUUAAUAUCCGAACCUCAUCUCUCAAGGAUGCAAUGAAAUGAUCAACAUCAAAGAUGUCUUGAAACUCACUGCCACAAUAAGGGGAAAGCUUAGAACCUAGAUGUUCCCCAUUCUCAUUAGGGGCCUUUACAAUGAGAACAUCCUUUCCUUAAAAUUUUAAGGGAAAACUAAUUAACCUACCUUGCCGCCCAAAAAGAGUUUUUAUCCAGCUCUGGAACAAUAAGAGUCACAUUUAAGUAUCUGGCAAUUGCAACCAUAUCACAGAUCUGCAGCAAAGUGAGAAGUGAGAAAAAUAACAUGGUGGUGAAAUAGCAAUAAAACAUCCAUCUAAGAUAAGAAUGUUCAUAAUUGUGAUGAAGGAGCAAGCAACUCACGGCGGCUCGCAUUUGAUUCAGUCCUCCAUUGCAAGAAACCAUGAGAUAACCAUUAUUCUUGUAAACCCCUGAAAUAAAUAAAAGUAGUUCAGAACUAACAAACAACAUUCGAAUUCCGAACUUUUCAUUGAAAGAGAGUAUCUAUAAUGGAAUAAACCAAUUACCAAUGAGCCAAACAAAUUAAAAUCCACAUGAACAAUGGAAAUACAUAAAAGAGGUCAGCAUCUUCAAGAAGAUUAUCAUUCUACAUCAACUGUUUGGAAUGAUAUUAAAGUAUGAUUGUUACUUCGGUUGCCUGAAACAUGAGUUCUCUAAGUAGUAAAUUACACACAAAAGCGAUCAAGGUUUUUAUUAACAAGCUCAAAACUUACUUUUUGGUGGGAGAGCAAUUGGGAUUGGAAGCUUAACCAAUUCAGCAUGCGCAGGCAACUCUAAUUGAGUGCAGGGAGGACAAACCUUGAACAAACUUGGCCCCCUUAACAACCAUACUCCAACCAGCUGAACUGCAGAAGCCCACACCAAAGCUGUAACAAUCGCCCGAAUGAUCAACAACCAUGCGUUCGUCUUCAAUAUCGAACUCUUCAAUUUUUUAACUCUACCCAAGAACUUAAAUCCCAUCUUCCCCUCUGAUCUAUAAUCACACUUCUCAAAGUCCUCUGCUUUGCACAUUGUAAUUUGUAACAGAUCAAAACACCUUCACUAACUACUGACCAUCAGAAAACUGAACUCUUCAAACACCAAACUUAUUGCAAUUCAACACAAUCUUUGAUAGACAAAGGUGAUGGUGAUGCUCCAAUGCUAUCUGUGCACAAGACAAGGUGGUCCUCCAAGAGUUAAUAACAUAGUCGAAACGCCUCGAAAGAAUAAAGGAUUUAAACUUUCUUUAAUUCUGAUGAAGUUGGCACUAAAAUAAUCAAUAGACCAACUCUCAGAUAUUUACUUCGAACCACCCAAAACUUGUCACCUAUGACCCUCCACCAAUACUCAUCAAGACCCAGAAAGCAAAAAUAGAAAAUUUUAACUAAAGCUUCUCCAAAGAUUUCAAAGAAUGCAACUUUACGCUUAAUCUUUCCAAACCCAAUAAUCACUUUGAGUUGCUCUUAAUUUGCCGGUAAGAUUCCGGCCAAUAAUCCGGCGAGAGUCGCCGGAAAACUUGUAGAAUGUGGUUGGAGAAAGCAGAGAAGCACAGAGCGGAUGAGGAAAAUAGCGUAUAGUUUCAAUGAGAAACAGAAACACAAAAAAGUCUGCAAUCAAGGGUCAAGUGACCGCAUUUAUAGCAAGCCGGGCCAAACUAGGAUUUCACACCCUAGAGAAUUAGAACUCUGUUCACCGUCUCCCAUUAUAUUUUGUUUUUAUUUACAUAAUUAAACUUUUAUAAACACUGAUAUCACUAUCGUUUCUGCUUUAAACACCAGAAUACAUACAUACAUGGUAGUAAUGGAUAUAGAUGGACUCAAAUACAACUCACCCCAAGUUUUUUAUAUUUGGUUUUAGAUUAUUGUUUGUUGGGAGGAAGUGGAUUUGCAACCAAAAUCUAAUUACAAAUUUACAAGUCAGCAGACAUGAGAGAUAAUAAAGUGUAGUGGUAUAGAUAGACCACCAUACUUUAUUUAGUAAUUAUUUUCGCAGCAAAGUUGAUGGAUGCACUACACUGCAGUUGUUUUUGCCGUAGAACUAAAGUAAUUGUUUUGUUUUGUUUUUGUCAAAUGUGUUUUGACUCUUAUAAAAAAAAUAAUAAAAGAAAGAAAAAACCGUCAUUCUAGGUAAUCUUCCAUUGUGGUAAAAUGGAGGUACAACUUGAAAGAUUGAUUAUUUUACCUAACUACUAGAACUUUUUCAUUCACAUUGGUCAUUCAAAUGUGUAUAAUGUGUUGAAUAAGAAAACUGAAAUGUAUACCAUAUGAGAUUAUGGAAGCUUAUUCAAUAUACAAUCAUUGUGAGCACGAGUACACAUUUUUAACCAUCCAAAUAUAACUAACCAUGAGGUUGCUAUUUCUUGUAAAAUUUGUGCCAAAAAAGUCAUGCUAGGUUACCAUUUGGAUAGAAGGUACAGCAAAUCUUGAUUUGGGCCUUUUUAUUUGCUCAUGUCGUUGUGGUAAUGUUAUAGGUAGAUAGAAUCUAACAAUUCUUUACAGCUGACUCUGGUGUGAAAUUAAAAAGAAAAAAAGCAGAGUUUGCAUUGCUAUUUUAUUGUUCAGCAUUCCCUCAGUGAUGGGCAACUUGCAACUUUCUUUUAUUGAUUGGCAUGGGCAGAGUCCUACUGAUGUCCUCUCACCACAAGUGGACAUUAUACCAGUACAGCAAUUUACUCUUUUAUAUGAGAUGGAGAGAUCAAUUAUUCUAAAAUGAAUAAAAUACCAACAAAUAAAUUUAAGAAAACAGAGCAUCUGACACUUUUGGCCUUGUCAAAGCAAAGUCAUGCUCUGUUUUUUCUUUUUGUUUGGAGAAAGAUAUGCAGUCUUGGAGUUUGCAAUUGUGACAAAUCUCCCGUGAUUGAUUGUAUCUGUUAUUUGACAGAGCAAUUUGCUUCUUGCAUGAAUAUCACUUGAUUUUGGUCUCUCAAAUAAAAAAAUGCAAUAAAUAACAUUGUGUUCAUUAGAAACAGCGGCAUCUUUUGGCCAAAAGAGAAAUAAUCCUACAACUGUUUUCUUCAUAUUUGCUGUGCUACAACAAACAAAUGAGCGGUGCCCUCAUCUGAGUCUUGGGCAAACAAUAAACUUCACCAUAAAAUCAAGCAUAUAAAGUGUGUUUUUUUUUUUUUCUCCUUUGUGUCCACAUGAUGUAUUAAUAGUCACGGAGUGAAAGCUAUAAUAUUAUAAUUGCUCAUCAUCACAAUGAUUGGGUGAAAUAAUCAGUAGAGCAAUGAUGGGGUUAUUAUUAUAAUAUGAGGGUAGUGGUGGUCUUUUUAGUUCUAUACUUCCAUGAUUCUAUCUUCAUCAAAGAAAGAGAUAAGUAAAUGUGAGCUGAUUUUUCCACUUCUUUUUUCUUCAUUUACACUUUUUUUUACUUUUUAAUACUUUUAAAUUAAUUUUGUUCUUUUUUUUAUCUUUCUUUUUCAUAUUCUAUCCUUAUCCUACAUUAAUUUCUUUUUAUUUUACUUUUAUAUUAUUUCUUUUUCUUUAUACUUAAUUUUCCAACUUGCAUUUCAUUUUCUUUUCUUUAUAUUUUUUAUUUUUCUUUACGUCGUUAAAUGAAUAUGAUAAUAAAUUUUUAUUUAUUUAAGAAAACCCAUAAUGCGUAAUGAAGUUAAUAAAAAGUUGAAUUAAACAUUAGAGAAAAAGAAAAGAAAAGAAGGGCGUAGUAGGGGAGGGGACGAGCUGCACAACGAUUGUAGAAGUGGAAACAACCCAGCAACCCUGUCAAUCUAUAUCCCCAGCCAUUUUCCCCACUGACACCCAAAGGCCCCAACUCUCCAAGCCACACUUACCUCCCCAACUCCAAUCCACCCACCCACGUCUAAUAUAUAUAAUAAAAGCCCUUGUAGCCUUACCACUACACAAUGGUCAUUCCCACUUCUCCACCUUCUGAGUAGCUCCUUUCCUUCUCUACUAUACUACGCCCUUCUUUCCUUUUUCUUUUUAAGUUUUUAUUUUUAUUUUUUCUAAUGAUAUAUGAUUGAAUUUUUAAUGUAUUUUAAAAUUAAUUCCACUUUUUAUUAACUUCAAAAAGCUUUAUAGGUUUUCAAAAUGAAAUAAAAAAAGAUUAUCAUGUUCAUUUAGCGGCAACUUUAAUGGAACAAACCAAAUUGAUUAAUGAUCUUAAACAUAGGGAUUAAAUUGGCCAAAUUAAAAACACAUGGAUUAAAUUAGCCAAAGUGAUAAAACACAUGGACUAUUUUGACAUUAAAGCCAAAGAAAUAAUAUAAAAAUGAAGUAAAAAGAAAUUAAUAUAUGACAAUAAUAAAGUAGGAAAGAGAAAUAACGAAAAAGAAAAAGAGUAAUAAAAAAAUAUUAAAAAGCAAAAGAAUGUAUAAGUGGAAAAAAGAAAAGUGAGAAAAUCGACUCCAAAUAAAACUGUAAAAGGGCAGCUCAGUACAUUAAUUACCACAAUGUUUAUGUCAUUCAUAGAGAAUUUAGCAUAUGCUCAAAAUCCACUGAUGUCAAGUACUAAGAUGGCCUUCAUUAUUUUGGUGCAUUAUUUGUGCACUGAGAGAGUGGAAUUACUAUGUGUGUUUAUGGACAUGAGUUUCUACUCUCCAAUGAUGAGUGAUAGUCAGAUGGUCCAGGCAAAUUGACUUAGGAUCUGGUUGUUGAUCAGUAAAUGAUCUUUGCAGGGCCUCUCAGCUGCCAAAUAAAAUGGGCCUCAUAGUUUCUUUUGCAUUAAUUCUUACAGCUAUCAUCUUCACUAUGAUAAAUGUUUCUUUGGGCGAAUGGAGGUUAGACCAGUUAGUCAAACGAAGGCAGUAUGCCUGUCCUAUUAUAUUUGAAUUCGAACAAUCUUUUUCGCACAUUGGAGUAGUUUAGAAUUAUUGCUCUUGUCAAAAGAUAAAUAUUUAUUUAGAGUAAUUAUAAUUUGUAAUAAGUGAGGGGACAGGACCAAUUUGGUAUGGGCUUUGAUUUUUUUGGGCUUACUCAAAGUUAGGUCAGAAACAUAAAGCCCAAAUUCUAAGGCCUAAUCCAAAUUUUAAAUCUGAAAUUCAAAGUAGUUAAAUUUCAUGAGUCAUGGGAUUGUGGCCCAAUUUCUUUCUUCCCAAAUUAGGGUUUAGCAAGCUACUUUUUUCCUCAUCCUAGGGUUUUAGCACCUCUCUCUCUCUCUCUCUCUCUCUCUCUCUCUCUCUCUGCGCGGAAACAUGAGGAAGCUGAAGUUUCACGAGAAGAAGCUGUUGAAGAAAGUGAACUUCUUGGAUUGGAAGAGAGAAGGAGGUCACAGAGAAGCCCAGGUUCUGCAACGUUACCAUGUCACCGGUCGUGACGAUUAUAAAAAGUAUAUAAUAUUUGUAUAUUUUUUUUAAUUUAAUGUCAUUUUUAUGGUGUCAUUGGUCGCUCAAUCUUAGUUUUGUUUUUCCCGAUUGAAAAUUGGAAAAUAGAUAUUCGGGUUUAUGCCGGAUGGUGCAGAAGCUGGUGAACAUAUUGAAGCAGAUGAACCCAAACGACCCUUUUCGGAUUGAAAUGACCGAUAUGCUAUUGGAAAAGCUGUGAGUUAUUUGUUUAUUUACGUGCUACAGAAAUUGUUCUGUUAGGGAGUAUACUGCAAAUUUUGUUUUUGUUUUUUGAUGCUGAAUAAACUUGAAUUGGUAUGUUCACUUAGAAGUAUUAACCUUUCAAAGCUGCAUAGUAAAAACCCAUAACAAGUUAUCAGCUUUUUGUUAAUUAGCUCUAAAAGUAUUUUUCUGCUGGACAUUAUGUGUUAUGUGUAGGUGAUAGUAGUGUUGAUAUCGAAAAUGAGAAAUUUGAAGCAGUCAAAUGUAUUUCAUUGCUGUUUGAUAUGAAGAGAGAAGUCUUUGGGAUUAUUCUCUUGUGUAAUUUGUUGUGGAACUGAAACCAAAAGUGGUUCUAGUUGCAGAUGGCUUGACUUUUGCAUGAUCCAGAUUCAAUAGAUUUAUCUUUGUUUAGAUGCAUGGUACAAGAAUACUGCAGCGCCAAUGGUAGAUCUAGUAUCAUCUGUGGUUUUUAAAGUGUGAUUCAUAGUUAAAGGGUUUACGUUGAUGACAGGUACAAUAUCGGUGUGAUACCAUCCAGACAAAGCUUGGCAUUGUGUGAUCAUUUAUCCGUGUCAUCCUUUUGCAGGUAAUUUUCAAUUACUCCAUUACAGGACUUGCUUGUCAUACCUUGACGGGAAAAUGUGAGAGUGAAUUCUUAUAAACUAUUGACAAAAAGUUUGCAACAAAUUAAAAGGUGUCCUCUUUGCAAUUGCUAUUGGCACUACCUGGAGGGUAAUACUAAUUUGUUUGAGUAUAGUAUGAAAAUCCUUACAUCUUUCUUGUGAGUCAUGAUGGCUUACCACACACAAGGAGGAACAAGAACUCUCUUCCAAAUUUUUGCAUGCACCGCUCUUGUUACUUUACUGACGAUGUCUAUGUUUAUAGACGUAGGCUUUCAACUGUGGUGGUCCGAUUGAAGUUUGCUGAGCACCUGAAGGAGGCUGUCACAUACAUUGAGCAAGGGCACCUCCGAGUUGGUCCAGAGACUGUUACUGACCCAGCAUUCCUAGUGACAAGGAAUAUGGAAGACUUCGUUACAUGGGUGGAUUCAUCAAAGAUUAGGAGAAAGGUUCUGGAGUACAAUGACAAGUUGGACGAUUAUGAUGCAAUGAACUGAAAUUAAAAGGCUUGUGUGCUAAUUUUAAGGUUCCUUUGUCCCCUUCUGAAGAGAAGCGAAUUCUUAUCUUGCAUUGUAUAUCAUGUAUCGAACACCUCACAGAGUUUGCUGUUGAGCGCCAAAUGUGGCAUUUUUGUGGCUGAAUACUAUCAACGUUUUUUUAUCUUCAUGUUGAAAUGUAUUUUUUUUUUAAAUUUCCGUAUGAAAACUGUUUUUUAUUGUACAUGUAAAAUCCUUGAUGCUUUUUUUAUUACAAUGCGCUCCUAUCAUGAAGAUGCAAAAAGGCAGAAGUAGUUACUCAUAUAUUGUUUCUCGACAUGGAAGAUCCCAGCCACUGCUGGUGCUUGAUCAUAAGAAUUGCAGCCGUAUCAAUGUCAACAGGUAGGCCAAGUAUUACGUAUUAUUAAAAAUAUGUAUUUUAUAUAUUUAUUUGAACUAUAGAAAAAUUUGUGGGUUUCAGAUCAGCAAGCAACUUCUGACAUGGAACUCCCAAUUCAGGCAUGAUAAGAGGACGAAACUCGCAAUUCAGGCAUGAUAAGAGGACGAACAAGAACUAUAAUUGGAAAAUAACACAUUUUUGGGAGAAAAACAUUUCUAUACCAGGGAGUCAUAUGUAUUGAACAAACUCAGAAUAGAGAGUUGCGGAGUUUGAACCCCUUCAUACGUAUGGGGUAUGGGGUUAUGUAAUUCACAAGCAUCACUAUUUUUACAAAAAAAUUAAACCCCGUAGCCAAAUACAGCAAGCAACACAUACAACGCCCCUAGGUCUAACAAAAAAUCCUCAGCCUCUCCCUGCAUUGAUUGCAGCGCGCACAAAGUCCUCGCAGUUCGUAAUGCCGCCAGAAAGCACAUCAGCUAAUACACCAAUUAUAUCGAAUGCCUCCUGCAAAUCACUGGAAGAACUCAUCUCAUCGAGCCACGACAGCAACUCCUUAGAGAAAUCCACCAUCUCCUUUACAUUCAAAAGUCGCUCUUUCAUCACUACCUCCCAACCUUCCAAGCUUCCACUGUCAUCUUCCCCUUCUGAUGCAGUAGAAGUACCUUCUGUUCUGGUCAAUGACAGAUUUGCUGAUUUUUGUACCUUGAAGAAACGUUGCAGCUGUUCAAUUAAGCCAGUGUAGACGAGCAUUGGUCUAAUGACGGACAAAAGCUCAUCAGCACCCCCAAUUUCUGCACUUGGACUUUGGCUUGUAUUUCCCGACUCUAUCUUGACUAUAGGUGAUGAACUGGAUGAUGUGCGACCUGCUGAACGGCCAUGCGUGUGCUGCAUGUAGGCAUGGUAUAUUCCACGCUGCAAGAAGGCUCGGCGGUGUUGCACCCAGGAUUCAUGAGAUUCCGAGAGAAGUGAAUUCACCAUCAUAAAUUGGACAGUUUCUUCAGAUCCCAGAGACGGUUGUUUUUCAGGAGUAGAAGGUCUGGAAUCUAAGCUAGAAGAUGUCAAAUAUGUUGACACAGACUUGGCCAUUGUAUGACGCUGAGAUGGGCUUCCCUGAUCAAGAAGGUGACGCGCCAUUUGGAUCAUGAAAGGAAGAAAUCUGGAGUUGCUUUCCCUUCCACCACCUCUGCUUUCUGCACUAAAUGAUGCCCCAGUCGCAAAUCGAGCUAGCAUCUAUAUAACAAAGGUUCAUAGAUGUUAGGGUCAGAUUUAUGAUGCCCAAUCAAUCCAUAGUAGAAAGACAUGGAUGCGGUCACCUCAAGGAACUCAUUCAUACUCACGGUACUUGAAGCAUCACCACAAGUUAAUCAGUUCAUGUAAGAUAGUAAAUGAAAUUGCUCUUGUGAUAUCAUUAUCCUAUCCUAAAUUUAUAUUAUUCCUAACAUGCAAAAGGUUUAAUCAAGGAAACCAUCAGUAUACAUUAAUCAUUUUGUUAAUGCAAUCUUCUAAACAUAGAGAAAAUGCAAUGCACAAGGGAAGAACAAGACCAUCACAACAAAAAGGCAAAAUAACAAAAGAGAAGAAAAUGAAAGAAAGUGUUAUACCAGAACAAUGUCAUAUGUUAACAGCCGAAGACGACUUGCAUCAGCACGUCCUAGAGCAUUGAGGUUGUCCCAGUACUGGUCAACAUAGCGAAUAUACUGUGCUAAUGGAACAGAUGGACCUCUCACAGGGAACAAAGAAUUGCAAAGAGAUUCAUUGUUUCUGAGAGUUGCUCCUUCCCACUCUUUCUUUGGAUUUUUCAGAGCUGCGUCUGCUCUCUUCGCUUCCUGGUGGCACUGGAAAUGAAUAAUGUUGAAAUAACUAACAGUUGUAUAAACACACUCCCCACGAGCACUACCAGAAGGCCCUGCACCUAAAUUCACUCGUUUGCUAUAAGAGUAAACACCAAGCAAGUCAGUAGGCCUUAAACUGUAACCCUCUCGGCAAACCAUGCAUGCUAACCCAUCCUCCUCCUCCUCCUCCACAUCUUCUAAACCUUCAAGCAGUGGUCGAGCAACAAUAAUACGCUCACCACCAUCUGAAGCUAGCUCCUGUCGCAUUCCAAGCCCCUGAGUUUAUGAAGAAAGAGGUAACUAUCAGCUUACAGAUAAUAUUAAUGCUAACAGGGAGGUCAAAUAAGAAAAGAAAUGCAAACACGACUAAAUACUAUCCUAAUUCUAACAAAAUAAUCUUCAAACUAACCUUCUACCAUCUCUUACAACGUAUUAUAGCUUCCACUCACUGACUAUAAAGAAGAUUACACUCAAGUUUUAAGUUACGAAUAACAGGGCAGGAUACCCCAUUUCCCAACAUUGCAACGAAACUUUUUGAUGUAUAUUUAACUUAAGAAUUACUGUAAGCAACUAAACUAAUCGAUCUACUAAAACCUUUGAUUCAGUGGCACCUGCUUUCCUUUAAUUUAAAGAUAAGCUGGGUAAAAAAACCAAAGUCAAUGGUAAUUACCAGAAGUAAUUCCUCUCUCUUCCUUAAAGCUCUACGUCUCAUUUCAUCCCUGGUGGCAUGUCUCAACAUCAGCACCUUCUCCUCCAAAAAUCCAUCUCCUUUUCCCUCCUUAUUUGAAAGCGUGUCCAACAAGUUUUCAGCCCUCGCUCCUAUCUCAUUUUCCCCUGAGACCCCUUCUAAAGCAUGAAGCAAAGGUAAUAUCCCUCCCUGAUCAAUACACUUCUGAGUGGCCAAAUGUCCUGUUGACAAGCCCCUCAGCAUAGACAAUAUCAGUGGAACAGAUGGCAAUUUUAAGCCUAUUGCCCAUUCUGUAGUUGAUUUAAAACCAGCCUUCCCCGCUACUGAAAAACUAUCCCUCAGAUGUCCAACUGCAACACCAGUAAUACCCCUCUCAAGAAUAAUGUCUUUCAAUCUCUCUCCACAGGAGCUUGUUUUGAGAGACUCAGAGACCCUUACAAAAUUUUCUAGUGUGAAUCUUUGUUUUGCAGCUUGCUGGGCAAUGUUCUCAUCUUUUGGGUUAUCUUCAUGUUCUUUCUGCAGCCGAUCAUAUUCUCUCCAGUCUUGCAAGGGUGGGCUGAAGUGCAGGAUAAGAGCUUCCAUUGCAGCAGGUUCACCAUAUGUUAAGUAGGGCAAGAUUCUCGCAACCAUCUCAGUGUUCCUCUGCUGUUUGUUUGAUUUCUUAAGGCCCAAAGGAUGAGACAAUCUCUCCAGAAACAUGAGGACUAUUUUCUUGGCCUGUUCACCUGUCUCUUCACUAGUGACAGUAAGAGCACUCUGUGUGAUGUUAAUGUUGUCACUUUCAUUAGCUUCCAGUGUCAGACUCUCAACAAUCAGAAGUAUGCCUUCAGCCGGUUCCAUGGCAUCCACAGAAAAGGCAUGUCUUGCAGUUUCAAGAAGUAAACCUAAAGCUCCUAACCUCAGCAAGGCCCGCCUGUUCUCUCUUAUUUUGCAACAAUGCAUGAGGAGAUUUAGAACAGCUACCAAUUGCUCUUGGUUGGACUUGAAAUCAUCCCGCAAACGCUGUACAUUCAUAUUAUAAGUCAGAUAUUUCAACAAUAAGUGGCAAAAGGUUUCCCUUACAAAAACAAAGGAAUGAAAAACAAAAUAAAAGAAAGACGUGUAAAUCCUGGACAUGGAAAUCUAACUAAAGGAGUAUAACUAUACCCACAGAACAACUGAACAUCCAGACGGCCCUUUUCUUUAAAUAAUAAAAAAAUUGAGGAUGUGAGUAAUCUGACAACUGUAAGAUUUAGAAUCCAUAACCCCCAAUCCAAAAAGAAAAAGUAAAGAUUAGUAACGCAAAUGUCAGUGAUGGUUUAUAAAAGCUGUUUCCCAAGAAAUAAAUUUUUCAAUCCACAUGCUUAGGAGUUCAAUGUGUAUCUUACACAGUUAUGUUUUACUGCAACAUAAAUGGAAUACAUUUGACUUGAAAAAAUAAAAAGGAACUCUUCAAAAUCUGGGAAGGACAAUAAAUGCAAGAUGCAACACACCUGGAUCAUGCUCAAUAUAAUUUCCAGCCCAUCAUACUCACGAACAGCACCUGCAAUAGCAAACUCGACCUCUGGAUCUUGUGACUCCUCUCUAUCUUCUUCCAAUUCUUUUAUCAUAGGCUCAGUUGCUUCACCAUCUAAUCCCUGGCAAUUGUAGCCAAAAAGAUACAUCAAAAGACAUCAAGGUAGGAGAAAACAAAGUCAGUAGAAAAAACGUCACACUACAGAUACACCAUAGAUCCGUUAGGAAUGAAGGAUGUAAGGUUGCAUCUGGAAGAACAAAUUUAAAUAAGGGAUUUGAAUGUAAAAACCAAGAUUAAGUUGGCUGAAAUAUUAUGGAGAGUACCUAUCUUUAGAUGUUAGCUAAAGUCAUGGAUUAAUUCAAGACUUUAACUAGAAAAUGAAUUUGUAGGUGAAUUAUAUCAUCUCAAAUUUAUGCUUUAAAUGAUUUGACAGUGCAAGAACUUCUUUAGUUUUGUAUAGAAUUUUAUAUGUCACUGUUAGAAUUUGGUUUCUGCAAUCUGAUUGUAAGUUUAGGACCAAACUCCUAUAUAUCAAAGAUUGACAAAUGAGUGGAGCAAAAAGGUGUUUCCUUCGUCAUUUAGAAGCAUACAGUAAUCAGUGAACACACUUUUAUUUGGUAAGUAAUUAGAUAAGAAAAUAUGUAACAAACCUGAAGCCGAUACGUCACUGUCAUAGGUGGAGAGUCUCUAGCUGAUGGAACAGCAUUAGGGGAUAACAAUGUAGUAUUAGCCAUGGCGUUUGAAGAUUGAUUUGACUUCUUCCAGACUUGCUCAUAGACUUGAGCUAUGCUCAAAUCAAGAGAAAUAAUGUUUCCAGCAACUAGCAAUUCCAUCCCAUAGUCAUCUUCAAGAAGACCUAAUAGAUCCAACUGAUGGCAGAUUUUAUUCUUGACAUCCCGCAUCAGAGGACCAAUCUCAGAACUAGAAUAGGGAUUCUUUGUCAUAGACCCCCUAAUGAACUCUUCUUGCGUAUGUGCCUUGUUUAGAACCAGCAGAUACACCGGCUCUGGCUUUGAAGGGCAGAUGAGAUUGCAGAGCUGCUCCAGUAUAAACUGUACAUAUAAUUGAAAAUGAGUGCUGACACAUAGGUUGGUGAAAACAAAACUGAAUCCCAUGCUUACAAAUAAAAUAAAAGACAAAACAAGAUAAAUGUUAAAACACACAUGCAAAAAUGAGAAUGGGGAAAACUUGUAGAAGAAACUAUGCAGAACCCAAGAAGUAUGUGACUUUUAUCAAUAUAGAAGGAAAAAAAAAAAAACUAAUAUGAACUGGAUAAUUAAGACACUACAUUAGUACUUUCAUGGGUUAUAAAACGAUCUAAAAUCAUCAUUUGGAAAAUAGUACAUAAUGCACAACAAUAAAUUCGUCCAUACCAGGCAAGUUCGGCCCUUUCUCUCCUCUCCAUGGUUUUGCAAACCACAGAUACAGGCUCGAAUGAACUGCCGUUUAUUUUCACUGCUUUCAAGCAAAAGGCUAUCUAAAAGGUCUUUUAGAAGCCGAUUGCAAUCACUAAUUAACUUCGUCUUCUGCACUACCAAGCCACGAAUAACAAUAAGAGCCUCAAGAAUCUCCGACAGCAAAUUGUUUCGCAUGAAUCUGACAUCAAGAUGAAUUAAGUAAGAUAUCAAGAAUGAAAUCAGUUAAGCAAAAAAUUAGAAAAUAGUAAAGAAAUCAAUCGUACCUGGAUCUAAUAUUUGGAACCUCCAAAAAUUUACCAAGCAACUCUAUAAGCUUGUGGAGUAUAAAUCCCUGUGAAAUGUCAAUAUGCAUGCUCCUUUCUAGGGACUCGACAUUGCCCACUUCUUGAGUAAUUAGUUUACAAAUUGUGCCCAGGCAUCCACGCACAGUCAAAAACAGACGGGCAUCUUCUGAAUCUAUCAUCUUGAACAGUGACUCAAAAUAUUCCGCAGCACUUUCACCAGCAGAAAGAGUUGCUGGUAACAAGGACACUAGUAAGUUCAAUAACCGAAAUCGUCUUGAUGUACUUUGGGCACAGAGCAGACUUAUCAACAUGCACAUCUCCGACCUUAUAGAUUGAGAACAAGCACUAAGAACAAGUUCAGUAACCCAUGACCCCAGCUCAAAUGCUGAUAAGUCAUUCUUUGCUGUCUUACUAGUACGCCGCUUCCACCUGAGUGCAUAUUUAAGAGCAAGGAAAUCUUGUCUUUGAGGUCGAGGCCUCUGGCUACCACCUUUAGUUGACUGGGACACUUUGUAUUGCCUUCUAACAAAAUCAAGAUAUGAUGCCCCCUUCUCCCACUCAGCAUAGCUUAAUAAUUGAAUAUCCUGAGUCUUUUGUGAUGCAUCCCAGUUUUUAUCUAAUGAUUCUGGAGUAGGCUUGCCCCCACUGCCAAGUCCACCCAAAGAUCCAGAUAUAGAAUUACUUUCAUCCUUGAUCUGCGAACCAGUAGUAGCUUUUCCCAUGCUAGGCUCUUUAUCUGGUACAUCAGGUUUUGGAGGAGUACAUGCCUGAGAUAUAAUCCUCAGACAAGGAAGAAUAACGUGCUCAGAAAUGGCAGGAUGCUUAGCACCCAAUUUGAUAGAAGAAAAUAACAGCUGGAAAACAACACGCAAUCUCGAUUCCCAAAACUCAUCAGCAAGCGAACAUACUUCUGACAGCAAUGAUAACUCUUCACGGGUGGCCAGAGCAAUGUCCAUGGAGCGAUGAUGUUCAAGGCAGUACAUCACCUUUUUCUGUAUUAAGCUAUUCAACUCGGUCACUGCAUUUAUAUCACCCUCAGAAAAUGCACAAAGAACUGUUCUAGCUUGCACACGAGCCGUUUUAGGACCUUGAUGAAUGUUAUUUUCAAAUAGUUCUGUUAAGAUGCUAGCAGCAACAAGUUGUCUCUUGGAACUUGGAUGCUUUGACAGCACCUGUAAUACCUCUAGACACUGUGUCACAAACGUAGUAGCACAGCCGUAGCAAUUAUUUGGAGACCUGGAAACCACAAAUCUUGAAGCAGCAACUCCACUAUCUGCACGUUUCUGGUGCAAAUAAUUCAUCAAAACCCGGCGUAAUCCUUGCAGUGUCUGAACACUUUUGCUGACAGAAUCAAAAGCUGCUUUGCACUUCUCACCGUAUAGGACACCAAGAAGAGCUAUUUUUCGGUUAAUCUUACAUGCAGGCCCAGGUAAGGAGACCAUCAUUUGCUGAACAGAAUCCUUCUGUUGCGAAUCUAUUUCAUUCUCGCCAACACUUGAAACAAUCUUGAGGAGGGGCUUCUUGAAUCCUAAAAGUUGCUGAUAUCUCCUAUGAGCAUUUUCUGAUUCAGUUUCUAUAGCAGCCAACCCUCUCUUCAUAUCUUCAUCAUUUUCCAUGUCAUCAAAAGUAAAACUUGGCUUCGCCAUGAAAUUGAACUCAAAUCUACCAUAUUUACUAUAGCCACACUCGUUGCAGAGAAAGGAAUCCAGAUUUUCAUAAUUAAUGUUGCGGCAUUGCCUGCAUUGAUAUGCAUUCUCGUGGCAAUUGCCGCAUAUACCAUGCUUAUCAGUGACCGGUCGACUGCAACGUGGGCAUUGCAAUGGUUCAAGAGACAAAGCCUGAAGAUUUUCAUAAAAGGAAUCCAGCUCAAUCAUGAAGUUACAAGCUGUUAUUGGAAUGGGAAACUCCACUUUAAGUUCAGUCUGAUUGAAAGCAAGAUGACAACUCUUGGCCCGUUUCCACAGAGACCAAUUAUUCUUCAAUUCUGACAAGUCAGCCACAGGUCGAUUAUUGUAAUACAGGUUCAAAACUUUCACUGAUUUAGACUUCCGUGCAUCAUGAACAUUCAUGGUCACAGUCUGGAUGGUGUAACUCCCAGUACAUUUCACUAUGAUGCGGUUGUCAGUGAAUUUUGUUUCAGAUUUCAGACUUUCUAGCUUCAUCCUGCUGUAUGGUACCUCAGGAGAGCUGCAGGCAACACAAGGCUCACUCUCAAGAUAGUACCCAUCAAAUUCAACUAAUCCACUUAAAGUGUUGUAUAUGCGGGAAUUUGGAUGAUUUGCUAAAAGCUCAUUUUGUGAAUGAAGUGUUUCAAAGAGGCAUCUGAUUACAUCUGGGGUUAAGCAUCGAUCCACAAGUUCACUGCUCUGUUGCUUUGAGCUGAUAUCUGGAACUUUACCCAGCAACCAUGUGACAAGUUCAGUAUACUCAACAAUAUUUUGACCAUACAUUGGUAGACAUUUUACUUUCUGCAAGAGAGCCAUCAUCAUAGUUUCCUUGAAUGAUUGCUUAGCAUGAUGCCAAACACCAAAAAGAACACACUUGGCCUCUGCACGCACAGAGCUAGAAUUCCAUUCCAGCAAAAAGCAAUCAAUGAAUUGCUUCAAGACAUCUCCACCCUUGUCACUGAAGAUAUCUAUCACCGACUCCAUAUCCAAAUAGGACUUGUCCGAACCAGAUUCUGUUCCUUCUUCACCUUUCUUCUUCUUUUUGGGAUCCUGAGAUUGUGACCCUGAUUUGUUUGAAUUAAUACCUGAAUCCACAGCUUCAUUUUUCUGUAAUGAAUUACCAAUAUCCUUUCCUGCGUAGAAGGAAAGAUUCAACAGCUUCAAAAUCUGAAUAACUGACUCUUCUCCAAGAUAGAACACUCCGUUUAUCAAGAAUGGCAAAAAAUCUGAAUGCCUCAAACAGUACUUCUGCCAGUUCCGAGGUCGUGCCGCAGCUACUUCAGCCAUAGUAGAGAGACAUUUAACUAUCUUAACACUUCUCUCAUAUGACAAAGGAUUUUGAAACCCACCGGAUUUGUUCACAUGUUUGAAAAGUUUUUUCAUCUCACUUGAAAACUGCCAAGAGUCUCGCACACUAUAAUAAUGAGUUUUGCUUCCAGAGAGAUGGAGGAAAAGCCGCCUUGCAUAUCUUCUCACAAAAGUCGUGUGAGGAUUGUUAAUGUAACUGCACAGGACAUCCUGAUAUCCAUCUAGCUUCAGAUCCUUGCCAGAGGAGAUCUUUGACACCUUCUCUUUCUCUCCAGUCUUGUCUUGCUUUUCAGGUCUGACCAAAGUGUAUACCAGCCGAAAGGUAUUCUCCAACAACAACCUAUGGUAGUCCAUAAAAAUAUCUGUACGGUGGGCUUUUGCAUAUGAGUCUGAAAAGAAAGGAGAAAAAUUACCAGCCACAACAUCCCUUCGAACUGUUAACAGAGCUCCACAGCCAGAACCAGGUCCUGCAUUUUCAUAAUUAACAGAAGGGGACUUAAAAACAUGCAUUAGCUGCUGCAAUAUGUCCAUUAAGUAAUUGACAACAGACUGCUGCCUAAGGGAAUUGCAAGCUCGAAGCAGCUGGGAUGCAAAGUCAUUUUUCUCUUGAUCAUCCAAGGAAGAUGAAGCAGCAACUGAGGUGGAUGGCGAGAUCUGGAUGAUGGUUUUAUCAUGUGUUUCUGCUGUCCCACUAGGUUUUGGCAUGGAACUGUCACUGCCCGGCUGGUGCCAGUUUCGUAGCAUCAGGGUAAAGAACAUGAAUAUAAGUAUUGCAACUUCCCCAAAUGAACCGCGAGCUUUCGCAACCAAGGGUUGGUUAAGAUUAAGCUCAUCCAGAAACCACCGAAUUAAUUUCUCUAAAUCUAAGCUUUCAGGCUUUGAGAUGUCUAUAAACGGUCCACCAACAGCAGAAGAUAAUCUGUAGAAGAGCUGCAUAAUAGGAAUCGCCCGGACCCCUGAUGUUGACUGCAUCCAUCCCUUUAAUUGUUCAAGAAGCUCCGAGAGAAUCAAGGAAUUCAAAGCUCGUUUCGAAGCAGAAAUUGAAACCGGGUCAUUCACUGAAGCAGAAAACUCCCCAGACUCAUUGGGCUCAAGGACAUGAAUUGAUGGAGCAGAAUUCUGGGUCCUCGAAUCUGCAGUUACUGGCAAUAUGCUUGAAUCACUUACAUCAUCUGGUGUGAAGUGGAACUCAUUGCCAUCUCCCCCUAGUGAUUCCACUUCAAUGGGUAUUGCUGUCAUAGGAUGAUCUCUAGAGUGAGGUGGAGGGAGACGGUCUGCAUCCAAAACUUCAUAGCAUGCCUCACACAGAUCAAAAUCAGGACAAACAGUACAAUGCCAUCGCCGUCUAAGUAUAGGAACAGUGGUGCAACCAUCACAACAGUAUUGAACAGAUGAAGUGAUGGAAUCUUCUUCAAUCAUUACUUGGGCAUUUCUGCCAGUAGUGUCAGCAUGCACAGGGGCAGAUACUGCAUUUUCUGCAGCAUCAUCUGUGGCCAACAUAGUUUGCUUGGGAAAUGGAACCUGAAGCAACCUUGAUGAUAUAGCCAAGCUGGAAAGAAAAUGGUAGUACACGUGACUAACUGAAAAAAACUAAAAAACAAGUUGAACUCACCAUGAUGUAAUAAUAACAAUUACCUGGUUGAGGUCUGAACAGCCUCAUUGGGCGAAAAGAGAAGCUUUUUAAAUAAUACAACAGCAGGUCCAACAGAGUGUACCCCUGUAUCCUUUCCAUGCAAAGCCAGGCAUUCAGCAUAACAAUAAAUGAGUUCUACAGAAGAUAUGACAAUGUUGUUCAUUGUUUGUGUGUCAAGCUGCUCUAAGUCCAAAAUUCCCCACAGAACUUGAAUAAGCCCAUCCACAACUUCAGAACCUGCAUCAGGGAUGGGAAGAAAGAUCCUUUAAUUUAAAAUGAAGGACGCAGGAUGAGUGGAGCAAGCAACCCAAGAUAACAAAAUGGUUAAAGAAAAAUAAAAAAGGCAGUAAAUGAUCUGAAGAAAAGAAAAAACCAUUAUGUAUGUAUAAACUUGCAACACCACUUAAAGAAUUGUAUCUCUUCUUCCAGUAAGCACUUAAGGACACUUAAAGAAGAGUAAAGAAUUGUAUCUCUUCUUCCAGUAAGCACUUAAGGACACUUAAAGAAUUGUAUCUCUUCUUCCAGUAAGCACUUAAGGAGGUCAAGCUGUACAAGUUAACAAAAUGGCAGCAAUAUGGAUAAAAUCAUAAUACUUUAUAAAAGAUCAUCUCCUUUUUCCCCUUUUAAAUAACUACUUCAAAGACAACAACAAUCAACCCAUGUCUGUACAAAAAUUAACAAAGCUCAAGCCAUAGUAACAUUCCAACAAAACCCAGUCAGGCGUAGGAAAAAAUCAAAAUAUUAUUAACAUGGAAAAGAACUGCUGUUUUAGAAUGUCAGAAAAGUACCUCAUAAUACAGUGUAAAACCGAUAUAGGUAGGCAUUACAAUAGCACAUCAAAUAAGGUGAUUCAACUCUUUAUAUGAUGCAUGCAAAAGAAGAAACUACAAAUGAAAUAAUGCAAACUGUACUUGAUCAAAUCUUAUGGGAAGUAAUGUAUCAUAAAAUUUCAUACAAAUAACUAAAAGGAAAAACAAUAAUCUGUAUAUAAAUUGGAUAUUCAUACAUUAUAACUAGGCUGCAAGAAGAACAAAAAAUAAACUGUACCACCAAUGCCAUGAUAUGGCAUGAAUAAGCUACAGCUACUUAUCACCAAUCUCAAAGAAAUCAGUGAACAGGUAAGACACAUUUUAAGUUGAUAAGUUAAUAUACAGCAAGGAAAAGAACCUCAGCAUUAUCAAAGCUCGCUAAGUUGAGGAAUUUAGGCAGCGAGAUUCACUCAGUUUCUAUUCCCGUAAUAGGUUGAGGUACCAUCUACGACACAUACUUUUAUGAUGUGGUUACUACUUAAGGAACAUAUACUACAUCCACCACAAGAGAAUGUGAAGUCUUAAACAUGUAAACAACUUGGGGCAUCAGAGAAUGUGUGAAAUACCAUUUUUCUCUAAGAAUGUAGCCAGAUUUGAGCGACGGUGCAAUGCAAUCUUAGAUACUGCCCGCAUCUGGGCUGUAAACUCUUCAACUAUCCAUGCCCCUGCAGUACCACCAACCCCAAGCCUUGAAGAGAGUACAGAGGUCGACUUCACCACCCCAAGAAGCCGCAUGGUGUCCUUAACCUGAAGGAGAAGAUGUCAAUUACUGAUUAAACAACACAUUUCUUCAUUUACUAAUGCACAAAUAAGGACGAUCAUGCAUUGCAAGAAAAAAUGUUAAUGUAUCAUAUGGAUCAAAAGUGGGUAAUUACAUGAUAGUAGGUAUCUUUUUUGGGGAACACAGCCUGCAAGACAUGGCAAGCAGCAGCCUGCAACAAGGGCUCUCGGUCACUCUCAAAUAUUUUUUCUAAUAACUGCUUGCACCUCAGUUUCAUUAGCUCCGGAUUAACUUCCUCAGCUUUGGAGCAACCCUGAGACCUGCUCAAUGAAUAAAUGCUGGAUAGAAGCUUAAGACCAUCUGCUAUGACCUGCUCCUGUAUAGGAGCAGACUGCAUUGAUCGGCGUUUUUUCCCAGAUCCUGAAAGCAAGGAAUUACAACCAAGCACACGAGCUUCCAUAUCAAGUACAGCAUCCAUCUUUUCUUUCCAACCAAAUUCAUCUUUGGCUCUACCAUAUACUUCAAGGCAGUCAAUUCUAGGCAGAGCAGAUCCAUUGAAGGUUGGUCCAACAGAGAUUGUAAAUUCUUCAUCAGCAAGGAGCGACUCAGCAACUGUAAAUGGUAUAUCAUACCAAGACCGCAUGCCUUCAUCUAAUUUAAUGACCCGGUGGAAAAUAGUAAUGUCUGAAGGUAUAUGGUUUGCCGAUGUAUUACCAACAUGCACGCGAAACCCAACCAUGAUGAUAUCAGGGUUUGAAUUGAAGACAGAUAUCUGAGGCAGAAAAAGAAACAAUGUUAGAACCAUUGUAUUUUAAGUUAAACAUGAAAGCAAGUUCAUUAGAAUAGAUACAACCGAAAACAGAGUGGAUUUGGAACAAGCGGAAGAAAGGAGAUGAAACCAGAAACAAGAAAGGAGAUGAAUACCAGAAACUAGACUAAGCAUGCCAUGUAAGAAAGGAGAAAGGAGAUGAACACCAGAAAAUAGACUAAAUGCCAUGUACGCCAGGUCACUAGACCCUUUUGCAACAAUUACCUUAAAUCCCGCAGGGCUUGGACUUUCUAGAAAACCAUCCUCAGAUGCCAAGCUUUGCUUAGCCCCUUCAGAAUCACCAUUUCUGAUGGCAUCACCACCCAGUUUCACAUCUGCUGUUAUGCACACUGUUUUCUCAAAAAAAUCAAGUGGAAAUUCAGGGUUAACACCAGCAUAAGCCUUAUUACUGAGAAUGCCGGAACCCAAUUUUUUGACUUUCUCUGCUGUUACACUAGCACCAGCAUCAACUCCCAUUGGAACAUGUGAGUAUAUCUGAAGGCUACCAUCAUCGUGCAAAACAAGACAGUGAAUCUUAUCUUUGGAUAAAGGCUUAUAAGCAGUUGCUCCAACAAGAGGUGAAGUCGAACCCACUGCAUGUCUCAAGUUCUGUGCGAAUAACUCCUGUGAUCCCAUCGAUACAGCAAUGGCAGAAUUUAAUUUUAUACUUGAGAAGCAAACGAAUAACCCACUGCCUGCCAGCAAUUCCUUCCAACGAUGAAGUCCAGCAGACCGCAGUUUACCAUCUUGUUCCUCCUCGUAUAUAGUAGAUACCUCACUCAGAGAUGUGGCAUUGGGGCUUAGCCGACCAACCAAAGCAGUGCCAUCUUGAUAGGAUAGGAAAAGUAAUUUGUACACUGAUGAAAAGUACAAAGAUGAACCCUUCGCGUUUAUCUCUUUAUCCUGUAUCUGGAUUACUUCCUUCAAAGGUGUAGCCCCAACAUUACCGUCCACUGACAACUCUAGCCUGAAUAGCCUUCCAUUUUCUGAAAGAACAAUAAGAAACAUCCUCCCUAGAGUUGCCAAAAGAAGUGUUGCAUCCACAAUCAUAUCAUCUGGCAGUGUGAAGUAGUGUAUGGGACUGAUGUUGUCCUGAGAUAGAUCAUAUAUUUUGACAAACCUGUUGGUAACCACCAUUAAUUGAACCUGAGAACCUGGAACCCAAUCAACCCGUCUGAUAUAUGCACCUUGCAGUGCCAGUUCAAUGGCAAGACGAUCAGUCACUUCACCACGGGGAUUCAAGGUAAGGACCUGGCAAUCUUCAUAGCCUGCUACUGCAAGAUAAUUCUCCACCACUGGAUUGAAAGUAAGCUGCACAAUUUCAAAUCGAACAACAUUCUUGGAGAGGGGCUUAACAUUGGUUUUGUCUGCUGUCACUGGUGCAAUGGUGGCCUGUCCAAUCAACUGCCCAACAUCAAAUAUAGCAACUUUAUCACCUUCACCAACAGCAAGUCGCCCUCGAAUACUGACACUGAGCAAGGAUUUGACAAGAGAACCACUAGCUAAAUGUGAUUUAAGUUCCUUAGCAUUGGAAUAGUCUGCCUUUAUUUUCAGGUCUAAGGAGCCGCUUUUAUAUGCCUUCUUCAAUUGCAAGAGGUCAACACCAAAAGAAAGCACCUUGUCUUUACCAAGAAUGAUCUUAUUAUCUUUUGACAAGUUGGACUCUCUUCUACUAGUUAUAUAGGGGAACAAUGAGGAGCAAAGCUCGAGCACCUGACCUUCAACAUCAAGUUCUUCAAGCAACGGUGUGAUCCCAUCCUGAAGCUCUCUUGGGAUGGAUAGUCUGAGAGAGUUAUCUACAUCGGUACUAGUAUCCUCGUCAAGAUCUGAAUCACUUUCUGGCAGCUGCUCUCCAUCCUCCGUGAAAGGUAAAAAGGACUGGAAAUUACUAGUACUACGGAUGGGGGCGCUACUACUUCCUGUGUACUUGCGUGGCUUUAGGCAUUGACAAUUGCUGCCUCUAACACCCCCAGCUCCACAAUCACAAAAGAAACGACUAGAGCGAGAAUAAACAACACGAUGACCACGGUGACAAACUUUUGCACACACAGAGCAACAGCCUUUUGAGACAGUCAGAUCACAUGUAUAACAGAAGUACCAGUGUUGUUCCAUGAAAUUGCUACCGCUAGAAGUAAAUGUGCAAACUUUAGAAGCAAGGGCCCUUUCACUGUUAGUAUCGUCUUCGUCAUCCUUAUCCAGGCUAGCCACCUCACCAUCAGAAGUUCCAUCAUCCUCAUCCUCGUCUACAGAAGUUGCAUCACAAUCAAGAGCGAUGGACCCACCUUCUUCAUUAGUAGAAAGGACCAAUGUCUCGGAGUUCUUCCUUGAACCUAUGGGCCUUGAAGCCAUAGGUCCCAUACCAAAAGCAUUUCCAGGCAGAGAUUUUCCUGACAACUUUUCUGGGGUAUUCUUACCAGACCCACAAUCACUUAAGACACUACAGAAAAAGUCAAAAAGAAACUUCAGGCCUGGUAGCAGGCAAUCAUUGCCGGUCAGCUUCGGCAUCAGCAUUAUGGUCCUCUUUAAAAGUAAUUUCACUGAAGCAUCACCCUUUGAUAGCUGAACAACAAAAUGGAAAAAUGAUUUGGCAACAUGAAUAUCAAAUUUCAAAAAUGCAGGAUCAAGGGAGACCAGCACAGCUUCAAAAAUAUGACUCUGCAGUUCUGUUGAUUUCAAAUCAGAAGGUGGCGAUACAAUGCAUAAAAUAAAGUUCAUGGUCGACUCCCUCAGAGAGAGAGAACUUCCUUUUGCACUGUUAACUCCACCUGAAGCUUCCACAACACAACCUAAGAGCCUCUUCUCCAACCACUUGGAAAGCAAAAGUAAGUCCAUGCUGAGAAAUUUGUUUUGGAUCUUGUGUUUAAGAUCAGGACACAGCUCUCCAGUUAACAGAUCAACAAAAAAGCUAAGAACCUUUAUGUUAACUGUCUCAGAGUAACAAUUAUGUAGAGCGUCAAUUAGAACCAGUAAAUCACCACGCUGCACGCCGAAAAGCGCCUUCACCUGCUCUGGGACAUCUUCUACUCCAAGAUAGAACUUAAAAAUAUCAACCUUUGUAGGGUCUUUUCUAAGGCUAUCCAUCAUAUCAAUAGCCUUGGUGAUUAUGCACUCAUAAAUGCUGUUGUCGCUUACUCCUCUGGCAUUAAUGUCCCUUAGAAAACCCUCCAAGUGCUCUAAUAGAAUUAAAUUGGCAUAGUCUGACCCACCCAAGCCUGCACUCAAGCUUUCAUAAAUGGUUUCACAUUUCCCGUGAAUGCUUUCAAAGAUCCUAUCAAACUUGAUUGUCACAACAGUAUCAAGAAUUUGACGAAGUACCUCAAUCUCCACGCUGACAUUUCCUAUCACAUCUUUUAUUUUAAGCAAACCAACAAGAAUGGAAAUUAUCCCUCUUAUGUUAAAAAUGCAAGAAAGAAGAAUUCCACUAUGAGUCUGAAGAUUAAAUGGGAAACCAUGUAACAUACAUUCCCAGGAGACCCUGCACAAAAUUCCUGAAGCUCUUUUAUCAAUAAUAGCAUCAAACUUUACCAACAGGUCAAGAACAGACUCCAGACGAAAAGAAUAAGUGCCAGUCUUUCCAAGCUCAUCCUGAAGGCAUCUGUCAAAUCCUGAAUGUUUAAAGAGCAAGAGUGGUGAAAACCCAUCAGCAUCCUUCUGGCUAUUACCAAACGUAGCAACAAAAGCGUUCUGAUAAGCCUGUAAAUAUCUUUUCAACAAAGAUGAAAAUAUCUUAAACAACAUUGAAACAUGACCAGCAUCCAUCAAAGAAGAAAUCAUCCCUUCGGCAACAGCAAUAUACUCAUUGUCCUUAGACAUGUUCUCUAUCCAGUUUGAAACCACUCCUGUGACUCUAUUCUUCGCACCAUACCUCCAGAUGCCAACAUCAAGCAAGGAAAGUGCCAAAGACAACCACAUUGCAUUUCUCAAAAAACCCCAGCCUAAUUCCUCAAUGUAUUCAGGUACAAGUUCAGCGUCUAAGUGCUGAAGCAAAUGAACUAUAACUUCAGAAAAAUUGUUUUUCACACCAACACCAUGAUGACCUAGAAUUGAAUGGCUGAAGUAAAAGAAAUUUGCUAUUUCAGAAGUGUCAAGAGUCUGUGGAUCACUCCCUAAAGGAAGCUGAUGGUCUGUUGCAGUGCCAAUAGUUGGAAAGUCCCAACAAAGUACGAAAAUGUAUCUUUCAAUAAUGAGAUCCUCCACCACUGCAGCCUGUUUACCUUUCCAGAACCCCAGAAUUGAUGACAUGGUUGAACAGAUGUCAUCCCAACUCAAGCAUAAUCUGUCAAUAUUAAGACUGUCUGUGGACAGCGAAGCAGGGAGGGCAGAUAUAUCAAUCAGUUGAUGAAUUAAGGGACUGAUGUCAGGCUCUUCUUCACACCAUGUAGUCAUUACAUUUUUAAAUACAAUUGAGACCCAAGAUGACAAAUGAUCGUUCACCCCAGGCUGUGAACUGGAGUACGGAGCUUCCCUCAACUUGGAUCGUAGAUGUACAAGCAAAGAUGAAGGACAAGUCUGUGGGUAAAAUAUCAUAUGGCGAAGCACUAAAAUCAACCUUGAAACCAGUAAAGCCCAGCAAGACAAAUGUGUACUGUUGAAACCCGAAGCUGGAGCACCAAUUGUUCUGAGAGCAGAAAAUAUUAACUUUGCAUGUGAUGCCCUUUCCUCUUCAGACGAUAAGUGAAAUGCCACAAGAAGAAUCUCAAUAUGAAAAGGAGAUGGAAGGGCCUCAAGAAGCUCCUUAAAGCUAGGGCAUUUUAAAGAAAUAGCUUUUGUCUUCUCAGAAACAAAAUCCACAAACCCCCUGAAAAUUUGGUUUCUCAACCGGCUGCCAGCCAAACCCACCCUACAGAAAAGGGUGUGAGCUAGCAAGGUAAGGGUCUGAUUAUUGUAAACAAAAGUAUCAUUCUCAACAUUCAAAACUUUCUCAACAAAGUACUCUUCCAGUGAAUCAGAUAAAGCAUGGCGUGUGACAAGGUCCUGAAACAAAUCAAAACAAAGUUCAUGGGCAUGCCCAAUCUUUCUCUCUUCAUGUGAUAGAGAAUAGCCCUCAGCACUCCUCUCCUCAGCGCAUCCCUGACUGUGGAGUAAGGAUAAAAAAAUAUCAAUAUGGCUUUUGCUAAGCUUUGAGCAGCCAUCCGCAAAAACGGAUGGAUGCCAUUCAGGAGAGAAGAUGCACACUUUAAAAAAGCUCAACAGUUCUGUAGCAGCUUCCAUUGGCAUAUUACUCUGGCUAGAGCUAGAGUUAGCAACAACUGGUGGCUGAUCAUAUCCGUCAGUAGAUCCACGGCCACUUUCAGAGAAAAGGUCUCCAAAAAGGGCUUCUUCUUCAUGGCAAACCACAUUUUCCAAUUCAGAGCUGCAAGUAGUUUUUGCACAACUAGAAUAUGACCUCUCCACCUUUGGCCUCAGUUUCACUCCCUCCGAAUGAAGGAACAAGAUAAGAUGCAUUAGAUCAUCCAUCCAUUGUUUUGAGGAAGGGAAUAUCAUCUGUACUAGAUGUUCAAAUGUGAACCUGUGAAGUAAAGGAACUUUCUCAGAAUGAACAAUGCAUGAAGGGGAACCAAGAAAAUUGACACUACUGCCAACAAGUUCUGUGUCUAACUCCUUCCAAUUGACAGCCCGACUAGUCUGUCUCUUAAGGUCGUGAAUGAGCAUCAAUAUGUAAACAACAAUUCGUGGAGAAUAAGCUAGUGGGGGCUUCAGGUUAGCAGCAGACUUGUUAUAUCUCCAUACAGAAGAGUCUAAAUUAUCUAGUAUGGAAGCUACCACACACACUUGGACAUUCAAGAAAACACUGCUGUUGCAGAAAGUAACCCGGACGAGUUCAAGGAAGUCUUCCAGUAGCAACAGAGUGAGGCUCUCAAAACUACCAUCGGCUGCAACAUUGCUAUUUACAAACUCAAAUCCAGAUCUAAACAACACAGGCACUGCAUCAGCAAAAGUACCAACUGCUUGCACCAAUGAGGCAUCAUAUUCAAUAUAUGGGAUGUCCUUCGUGAGACUUCCAAGUAGCUUUAUAAUCCUCAAACUGAAAGACAGCCUCUUAUAGAAGUUUGUCCCAGCCAUCUUCUCAUCAAACAUAUCUGGGAGCACAAUGAGUUCCUUACAGAGCAAGAUCAAACGUUGAAUACACCCCACGUGAGCAACUGCCCAAUGUUGAGAUAGAAAAACCAAUUUGUUCAAAUCCUGGUGGACAGUAGGCCCACCAAACCCACUGGUCUGCCUAUCAGAUUGUAUGCACUCAGAAGCUAAAGACAUAAACAGACGAUCCACCGGUUUCUCUGACCUUGAGCAAUUGACACCUUCUCAUACACAUAAAAAGUAUAUAACAUCAGUACCAGUAAGACAUGAGGCAACAACACUAGAAGAAAUCAAGUCUUACAACCAAAACAAUCACCUUGAGGGCCACAUUUAAUGUGGUUAUCAAACUCAUUACCACAAGAACUACUGGUAACAGAUGGUAACAAUUCCACCAGACUAUCAACAGAGCAAGGUUGCAGUGUGUCAGGUGCUUUAUCCAUUUCAUCAACCAACGCUAUCUCCAAAAGCUGCACCAUCAUACUCUGCAAAACAACAAGAAUUGGACUAUCAAAACAAGAUAGAGCCACUACUCACCUCCCCAAACAUGUGUAAACAGGUAGCAAUGCAGAACACUAAAUACAUAAAAAUUAAAAUAAAAAAAUAAAAAAAAAUUUUAUUUUUUUUAAUUUUAAAGGGAUUUUUGGAAUAAUCAGAAACCAACCCAACAAAAGAGGACCUCAUCCAUAAAUCCAAAAAAAUAUGGGUACAGGGGGCAGAGAGAAAAUAAAAAUGAUCUCCCUCUCUCCCUCCUUCACACAAGACACAAGACAACAGAGCAAAUUGAUGUUUGCAAUUAAUGCGGCUAAGCAGAAGUAAAAUUCAAACUAAACUAGUCAUACCAUAUCGAAAGAAGAACUACUAACCUGAAUGCUCAUAUCUUCGCUGUUAAAUUCUGAUCUCUCCAAAUAACAUACAGCAAAUUCCAACGACAGUUGCACAAUGGCAACGAUUAUUGCUUCCGCUUGCCCCACUACAAAGAAAUUAAGUACAUUUAUUACCACUAGCAAAAAGUACAACCACUUACAUGUAAAAGCAAAAAAAGCUAGAAGCUACAGGCAUACAGAGAAAACUAGCAACAACCCACAAUCAAGUACUUGGAAUUUGAUAUACUCUACUUCUAUAUUCAAAAGAUAGCAAGAGAAACUCAAGCGGAAAGAGUAGGCCACUAAUUUCACGUAGAAGAAAAUGAAAUGAAGCCAAGUACCCAAUAGAGAUCGAGAGGAGGAAGCGAUGGCAUAGGCAAUCGAAUAAACUGCUUGAAUUUGAGAAUCGGCCCAUGAUUGGAACCCUAGCUUCCCGUCUCCGGCGGCCUCAACGCCGCGUUUAAGAAUCAGAAAAAGGUUCUCGAGGCCAGGUCUGAUGGAGUCGGAGGAGGAGCGCAGCCUCUGCAAGAGAUCAGCAGAGGAGAUGGGUUUGUUUUCCGAGUAGAGAGACUCGACGAGUUUGGGGAAGGCCUCGGCCAUGAGGAACGAGACGAUCGGGUGAAAGACAAGUGAGAAUUAGUGCAUCGGAGAAAAGGCAAGAAAGAGAGAAGAAGAAGAAGAAGAAGAAGAGUGUUUGGGUCGGUAGUGAGGUUGAAAAAUGAAAUGGGUCUAUGGAAUAAAAAUGUAAAUGUUUUAAGGCGGUCGAGAGGAAUUUAGUAAAAAGCAAAUUUGUGGUGAUUGAUGGGUUUAAGGAGACCUUUUUACUUUUACUAUUUACUUAUUAUGGAAAAGAGUUUGCUUUUUUCCCAAGCAAAUGUGAUUCUUGGGAAUAUUUUUUUUUAUAUUUGAUAUGCAAUGUAAUACAAAUGUUUGUCGUUUAGAUAGAGAAAGUGCAAUACCAAUGCGUUAUUGAUAUAGACUUGUAGUGAUACUUAUCUUCUCGAUAAAGAAAAGUAAUACCGACCAUAAACAGUAAAUCAGUAAAAUUACUAACUGAAUUUGUUUGUAACACAUGAUUGUAUGAGGAAAUUAACUAUUAGUUUUAGUUGAAGUCACAUGAGAUUAAUAAAUGGAUGAGAAUAAACAUAGUAUGUUCAAAUCAUUAUGUAAGAAGAAGAAGAAGAAAAAAAAAUUUUAAUCUAGUAUGGAUUGACGAAAAGAAAUCUCAAAGAAGAUGCAUGUCUUAUCAUCCAAGAAAGAUGAAUGAGACAAAAUAAACUUUUGACGAAGACCAUAAAAUUAAAAUAAAGUAAAUAGAUAACAUUCGAACACUCAUGACAAUUAUUAUCACUUUGAAUGAAUCGGGUGUAAAUAAACUCAACAAUAGGUGUUAUAAUAUGCGACAGAAAUUAGGCUUCUUCCUCAUUGUAAAUGUGCAGCACAAUUAGUAAUUAUAAGAGCAUGUCUAGUGGGGUGUUUAGCCCAGGCCAUGGCUGGUUUAAGCCUAAAAUAGUAAUAUUGGAUUGCUAAUGGGAGGAUUUGGCCUAGGUCAAGAAACCCGGGCUCCAUGGGGGAUCUAUAUUUGUGUAAAUGGUUUGGUCAAUUGAGAUUCUUACAACUUUGUUCCAUGGAGAUAUAUUCUAAUUAUGCAAAAUGAAAUUUGAUAUUGAUUGAAUAAUGAGUUUCUAUAUGUCAAUACAUAUAAAAGGGUUCUUUAUAAUUGGACACGAAAUAUACGGGAAGAGGAGUUCAAACGUUAUAUUUCGGUGUGGCAAAUAGCUUGUCAUGCACAUAAAUAUUUUACUCACCAUCGUUCAUCAGUGAAGAAAAGGAAGAAGAAGAAGAAUAAGGCUUAUUAUCACAAAACGUCCCUAAGGUUUACGAAAUUAUCAGAUUGCAUCCUUAAUGUUUUUUUUUUGUCACUCGUGGUCCUCAAGGUUAGUAUGUGCGAUCACAAAUGAUCCCUGCAUUAGGUUCCGUCAAAAACUCCGUUAGUGUGCUGACGUGGCAUAUAUAUAUAUCACAAAACAUCCCUGAAGUUCACGCACCUAAUGUUUCGAAUAUGGAGUUUAUUAAAUUCAUAUAUGGAAAACAACAUAGAAUCGUAAUUCAUGUGUGACUUUUAUACCCGCACAUGGAAAAGAAAUGAAAAGCUAGAGCUUAGAAGAUAAGAAGCAAGACCCAAAGAUCAAACACUUUAAACAAAUGAAAAUGAUCUCUUUUGUAGACGUACAAACCUUACACAGACUGACUUUGAUGCUGUACCCCAAAAAAACAAUAAAAGAAAGGAAGGAAAAACAGUUUAUCAAGGUUAAUGAGACGUUCUUGUUUUUUGUGGCGGUUUUUCAACUUUCAACGGCGGUUUUUAUAAUUUAGCUCCGGUUUUUGUACUUUUCGUUAAGAUUUACUGUUCAAAAUCAUGGCAGACAUCAAACUGAGCAUCCUACCCUUUCUAAUGACAACCAACAACAACUUUGGAACCCCCCUGCCUCUCCCUUUGUCAAAGUCAACGUGGAUGCAUCAUGGAAUCCAAACUCAAAGAGGGUUGGCAUUGGUAUCCUAAUUAGGAACACUCAUGGAGACUUUAUCAAGGGUUCAUCCAUCCCAUCUGUGGCGAACUCUGCUAUUGAGGCUGAGGCACAAGCUUGUCUUGAAGACUGUAAGCUCGCUGCUGAGAUGGGUUAUCGUCAAGUAACUUUUGAAUCUGAUUGCAAGGAAGUAAUCUCUCCUUUGAAGGGCCCCUUAUCCAAUGGAAGGUGGGAAAUCUAUCCUAUCCUAAGUACUGUUUGAGAUGUUUUGAACUGCUUCCAGACCUACGUUUGGACGUGGAUUCCUAGAACCGCCAACCAAGCGGCAGAUCAUUUGGCAAUGCUUGCCAUUUCGAGGAUGAGCCCGGAAGUAUGGGUCAACCGACCCCCAUCCUCUCUAAUGCAUAUCCUGAACAAAGAUGGUUUACCAUGCCCCCCAAGGAGUGCUUAAUGUUUGCGGAUGUGUGGGCUUCUCGACGUAUCCGGUUGUCUUAUGACUACGUCUUUUUAUUAGUCCUUCUUCUAUGCAGCUGUGAUGUUUUAUUUCUUGUUGUUCGUUGUGCCUAGCUCCUUUAUAGGUUGUGUACUUUCUCUUGGCUGUUUGCCUUUUUAUGAAAAUUCCAUAUUUCAGACCAAAAAAAAAAAAAAAAAAAAAACUCCAAAGUGACUUUAGCUGCGGAAAAAGCCGUCGCUAACUGCAGCUAUAGGAGCUUUUAUCUACGACUCGGAAAAUCGCCGCUAAAACGUAGAUUAAAAUUUCAACGAAAAUUUUUAUGCAAAAAAACAAAACACCUUCCUUUUUAAUCUCUUUUAUUGUUCAUACACAUAUUACAUGGCAUUUCUAUUUGAAGUCUCGUCCAAAUAACUACAAUUGGAUACAUGAAGCAGAUGAACAAUGUCUUCAAGAAAAUUAUUUUUCACAUCAACACCACGACGACCUUGAAUUGAAUGGCUGAAGUAAAAGAUAUUUGCUAUUUCAGAAGUGCCAAGAGUCUGCAGAUAGCUCCCUAAAGGAAGCUGAUUGUCCUUUGCAGUGCCAAUAGUUGGAAAGUCCCAACAAGGUACGAAAAUGUAUCUUUCAAUAACAAGAUCCUCCACAAUUACAGCCUGACAUGGUUGAACAGAUGUCAUCCCAACUCGAGCAUAAUCUGUCAAUAUUACAACCGUCUGUGGACAGCAAAGCAGGGAGGGCAGAUAUAUCAAUCAGUUGAUGAAUCAAGGACUGACGUCAGGCUUUUCUUCAAACAAUCCAGUCAUUACAUUUUGAAAUACAAUUGAGACUCAAGAUGACAAAUGAUCGUUCACCCCGAGCUGUGAAGUGGAGUACGGAGUGUCCCUCAACUUGGAUCGUAGGUGUACAAGCAAAGACGAAGGACAAGUCCGUGGGUAAAAUUUCAUAUGGCGACGCACUAAAAUCAAACUUCAAACCAGUAAAACCCAGCAAGACAAUGUGUACUGUUGGAAACCGAAGUUGGACCACCAAUUGUUCUGCGAACAGAAAAUAUUAACUUUGCAUGUAAUGCUUUUUCCUCUUCAGAGGAUAAGUGAAAUGACAUGAGAAGAAUCUCAAUAUGAAAACCAGAUGGAGCUAGAGUUAGAGUUAGCAACAAUUGCUGGCUGAUCGUAUCCAUUUGUAGUUCCACAACCACCUUCAUAGAGAAGGUCUCCAAAAAAGGCUUCAUCUUCAUGGCACGCAAUAUUUCUAAUUCAGAGCUGCAAGUAGUUUUUGCACAACUAGAAUAUCACCUUUCCACCUUUGGCCUCAGUUUCACUCAAGGAAAAAGAUAAGAUGCAUCAGAUCAUCCAUCCAUUCAUUGCUUUGAGGAAGGGAAUAUCAUUUGCACUCGAUGUUCAAAUGUGUGCCUGUGAAGUAAAGGAAUUUCUCAGAAUGAACAAGGCAUCUAGGGGAAUCAAGAAUAUUGACGCUAUUGCCAUCAAGUUCUGUGUCUAACUCCUUCCAAAUGACAGCCUGACUAAUCUGUCUCUUAAGGUCGUGAAUGAGCAUCAAUAUGGAAACAACCAAUCAUAGAAAAUAAGCUAGUGGGGGCUUCAGGUUAGCAACAGACUUUGUUUUAUCUCCAUAAAGAAGAGUCUAAAUUGUCUAGUGUGGAAGCUACCAUGCAAAACACAGUUGUUGCAGAAAGUACCCCAAAUGAGUUCAAGAAAGUCUUCCAGUAGCAACAGAAUGGGGUCUCAAAACUACCCUCGAUUGCCACAUUGAUAUUUACAAACUCCAAUACAGGUCUAAACAACCCAGGCACUACAUCAGCAAAAGAACCAACUGCUUGCACCAAUGAGGCUUCAUAUUCAAUAUCUAGAUUUCCUUUGAGAGACUUCGAAGUAGCUUUAUAAAUCCUCAAACUGAAGGACAGUCUCUUCAAGAAGUUUGUCCCAACCAUCUUCUCAUCAAACAUAUCUGGGAUCACAAUGAGUUUCUUACAGAACAAGAUCAAACAUCUACUGAACCACACAUGAGCAACUGCCCAGCCUGAGAAAAAUUUAUUUGUUCAAAUCCUGAUGGAUAGUAGGCCUGCCAAACCCACUGGUUUGCCGAUCAGAUUGUAUGCACUCAUAAGCUAAAGACAUAUCCAGACGAUCUAGCGGUAUCUCUGACCCUGAGCAAUUGACACCUUCUCAUACACAUAAAAAGUACAUCAUCAGUACCAGUAGGCCAUGAGGCAACAACAUAGAAGAAAUCAAAUCUUACGACCAAAACAAUUACCUUGUGGACCAAAUUUAGUGUGGUUAUCAAACUCAUUACCACAAGAACUACUGGUAACAGAUGGUAACAAGUCCACCAGACUAUCAACAGAGCAAGGUUGCAGUGUGUCAGGUGCCUUAUCCAUUUCAUCAACCAACGCUAUCUCCAAAAGCUGCACCGUAUUACUCUGCAAAACAAAACAAAAAUAGAGCAACUACUCACCCCCUCCCCAAGCAUGCACAAACAGGCAGCAACGCAGAACAGUGAAUACAUAAAAAUUACAAAUUAUAAAAAAGGAUUUGUGGACAAAUCAGAAACCAACACAACAAAAAAUGACUCAUCCACAAAUCCACAAAGUUCAGGGUACAGGGCACAGAGAAAAAGUAAAAAAAUUCACUCCCUCUUUCCUUCACACAAGAAACACUUAUUGUUAAUGUUGCUACUGAUUUGAAUCUAUUAAACAUGAAAGUUUCAGGCUUCUAAGCACAAGACAACAGAGCGUACAAUAAUAGAGCCACGGAGAGAGCCCUCAAAUUGAGUUGUUGAAGUUAAUUUUCAGAAAAUUUAAGGUGUUUUGAGGGUUAAGGAGGUUUCUAAGUUCAAUAAAAAUCAUUAAAAACUUUGAGUACAAAAGAAUCCAGUAUAGCCGGGCGGCUAUACUCUUUUUACACCGGCCAAGGCCUAUGCGCCACGUCGCAACCGGUUACAGCAGAGCGUCACAGCCAACUUAAAAAAAAUUGGGGAAAAUAAGUAUAGCCGCACGGCUAUACUAUUUCUAGAAGAAAAUUAAAAAAGAAUCCAGUAUAGCGGGGCGGCUAUACUCUUUUUACACCGGCCAAGGCCUAUGCGCCACAUGGCAAACGGUUACAGCGGAGCGGCUGUAUUAUAUUUUUAAUUACAAUUUUUGAAAAAAAGUAUAGCCGUGCGGCGAUACUAUUUGUAAUAAACAAUUAUGGAAAAACUGAAAUUUUUUUCAAAAAUAUAUUAUUUUUAUUCAAUAAUAUGUUAGAAUUAUGUGUAUAAUACGUGAAUUUUGCGUCUUACUAAAAUUUUUGUUAAAAUUAAGUGCACUCAACAUGAGAAAUAGUGUAUAAAACAUUAUUAAAUGUGAAAGUGCAAAAAUAUUUAUGCGGGUAAUAGCUUUGGAAAAGUAAAAAAUCAAAAAGGGACAGUAGAUACUCGAGCAAUGACCUAAUAAUAACAGAUAGGGCUCUUGGGCUAUGGAGAAAUUUAAUUAAGACACCCAAACGAGUUCACAAAAGACUUAAUAAAUAUAAAUGAAUUAUUUAUAUGGAGCAGAGUUAAAAUUAUCUAUUCAAUUCACAAACAAUCUAUUUAAAAAAAAAAUGGCUGUGUAUCUGUCUUUCUUGUUUGAUUAAGAAAAAAAAAAUUCACAUCUGAAAUUACUUGCCAAUUCUAGAAUGCACAUUUAGAGAGUAGUAAACCGGCAGUAAAAUGAUAUCCAACUCCUAGUAUUGUAACUAAACGCAAGAACAUGGAGCUCACCAACCAAAGAGUAGUCAAAUCCCUUAAAACUGCGAACUUUAUAUAAUUUUUCAAAAACUUCAAUAAAAAACGAAAAUUCAAGUGGAAAAGAGAAGGUCACUAAUUUCACGUUGAAAAAGAAAAGAAAUGAAGCCUAAUCAAGAGGGAGAAGAUGUGGCAUAGGCAAUCGAAUAAACUGCUUGAAUUUGAGAAUCGGCCCACGACUGGAGCCCUAGCUUUCCGUCUCCGACGACCCCAACGCAGCGUUUUGGUAUCAGAGAGGAGCGCAGCCUUUGCAAGAGAUCAAUUGACAAUUAGAUUAGGGGUGUCUAGCCCAAAAUGCUCAAAUUGGGGCCUUUUUUUCUUGUUUUUUUAACAACUGCACACGGGUGUACUAUUUUUUUUUUUAAUUUAAAAACCGGAUUAUACUAAUUUUUUUAAAAUCAGCAAAAACAAGUAUAGCCGACUGGCUAUACUAUUUCUUAAAAAAAUAAUUGAAGGAAUCUAGUAUAGCCGGGCGGAUAUACGAUUUAUAUAUAUAAAAAAGACCGGCCUAGGGCCGAGGCGCUACGAGUCAAAAUAGUAAAGCCAGGCGGCUAUACUAUUUUUUUAAAAAUUACUAAAAACAAGUAUAGCCGAGCGGCUAAACUGCUUCUUUAAAAAAAUAAAAAAAUCUAGAACUGUUUCUUUAAAAAAAUAAAAAAAUAAAAAAAAUAAAAAAAUCUUGUAUAGUCGAGCGGCUAUACGAUUUAUAUCUAUAUAUAUAAAGCAAAAUGCAGAGAAUUGUGAAACAUUCAAAAUAUCAGAAAAUGCCCUUGGUUAAUGCAAAUAUUAAGAAUUGAAAUUAUUAAUUAAAUGAGGAGAAUAUGCUAAAUUCACACUUUUUCAUAUUAAAAAAAUUAAAAUUAAAAGACAAAUUAAAUAAUGGAUCCCAUUUUUAUGGAAUACAACUACCCAUUAUUUUUAUGCCCAGCUUAGGCACUACGUGUCAAAAGAGUAAAGCCAAGCGGCUAAACUAUUUUAAAAAAAAUAUUAUUUUUAUACAAUAAUAUGUGAGAAUUAUGUGUAUAAUGUGUUAAUUUUGUGUGUCUUAUUGAAAUUUGUGUAAAAAAAUAUGUGUAUUAAACAUAAAAAAUACGUAUGUACCUAUAUAAUACAAGUAUUAUACGUUUGUCGAGUCUUUAAGACGUUUGCAGAACAUGACACGAAUAUAUUAUUGAAAAAUACGUACGUAUGUGUAUUAUAUAUUAUUAAACGUCAAAGUGUUAAAAUCUUUAUACGGGUAAUAACUUUGAAAAAGUAAAAAAUCAAAACAGUAAAGAUGUACGGCUAUACUAUUUUAAAAAAAAUUAGUAAAAAACGAGUAUCGCCGUUCGGCUAUACUAUAUCGUCCAACAAGUUAAAAAGAUCUAGUAUAGCCGCGCGGCGAUACUAUAUAUAUAUAAAGCAAAAGAUAUAGAAUGGUAAAACAUUCAAAAUACCAGAAAAUGUCUUUGGUUAAUGCAAACAUUAAGAAUUGAAAUUAUUAAUAAAUGGGGAUAAUAUGGUAAAUUCACACUUUUUCAUAUUUAAAAAAAAUUAAAAUUAAAAGAAAAAUAAGAUAAUAAAUCGUAUUUUUAUGGAACACAACUACCCAUUAAUUUUUUUAAUUCUAAAAUAAAUUUUUUAAAAUUUGUUUUUAAAAAAAAGGCCUCUCACAAGCACGGAAGUGCUUGCGGAGAGGCUAGUGUAUAUAUAUAUAUAUAUGAACCGCCCGCGCUGCUAUACGAUGUUUUAAAAAAUUAUUAAACACAAGUAUAGCCGUGCGGCUAUACUAUCUCUUUCAAAAAGUUAAAAAGAUCUAGUAUCGUUCACCCAUAAAUUUAAUAAAAUAUUUUAUUUAAGUAUAAAUGCUAAUAAUAGGCAAAUGCUCCUUUCCAUUGCCUAGGCAAGCGUCAAAAUAGUAAAGCCGCAUGGCUAUACUGGCUAUACUACGAGUAUAGCCAGUUUCUAAAAAAAAAAAAAAAAUCUAGUAUAGCCGUGCGACUAUACGAUAUAUAUAUGCACUUGGCUGGUGGUGGAGCCGGCAUGGAAGUGUUUAAAAAAAUGGUGAAUUGGAUAACGAAUAGAAAGUUGACACAUGGGAUAAACUACAGUAACAACACUUGUUAUUGUAGGAAAAUGUUCAAAUUAACAUAAGAAGUACCUUUGGUAACGGUAGGGAUAGAAAUUAGAAUUUGUUCUCUAUGAUAAACUCAUUGCUUCCAACUUUUUCUGUUUCUAAAAUCAAAUUUAAAUAUUCAUCAUUGAAGACAAUUAUUAUUUUUUUCUUCAUACAAACACAAAAAAGUUUAUUUUUGCCACACAAACAAAUACAUCACACAAUUUAUUUGAAAUCAAAUAAUUAUAAGUAAAUAAUAAAUUUUGAAUAAAUUUGCCUUAUUUAAUUAGUGAAAUUAGUAAUUAUAUUUUAAUUAUUAUUUAUUUAGUGAAUAAUUAGUAUUAAAUUUAUCAAUUAACUUCAUGAAUUAUAUUACUUAAUAAAUAGUAGGCUUAUUUUCACAAAACGUCCCUAAAGUUUACGAAACUAUCAGAUUGCAUCAUUAAUAUUUUUUUUUGUCACUUGUGGUCCUUAAGGUUAGUAUGUGCGAUCACAAAUGGUCUAUGCCGUUAGGUUCCGCCAAAAACUCUGUUAGUGUGCUGACAUGGCAUAUAUAUAUCAGUACUGAUCUCUUGGACUACAUGGGUCCAAGAGAUUUGUGGUCACUCACCGUUGGAUGUAAAUUCAAUGGUUCACUCACUUUUGCACUCAUUUUAAAAAACUUUUUAGAACCAUUGGAUUAAUAUCCAACGGUAGGUGACCACAAUCUCUUGGACUCCUGUGGUCCAAGAGAUCGGGACUGAUAUAUAUAUAUAUAUCACAAAACAUCCCUGAGGUUCACGCACCUAUCACAAAUGGUCCCUAUGAAAAUUGUUAAUUUUUUAAUUUAAAAUUCAUAAAAUUUUGAUUUUCUUUUUAAAAAUAUUUAUAAAUUAAAAAACCAUUUAUAUAAGGAUUUUAAUCAUGAGGACCACUUAUGAGCCCUAAACUCUUAGUUUUUUAAAUUUUAAAUUUUAUGAAUUUUAAAUUAUUUUUUAAAAACUCCAUUAGUUUGUUGAUGUGGCAUAUAUAUGGAGCCCACAUCUACAAUAAUAUAGUGUCACAUGUAUUUAAAAAAUAAUAUAUUUUUUAAAUAAUUUAAAAUUCAUAAAAUCUUAAAAAGAAAACCAAAAUUUUAUGAAUUUUAAAUUAAAAAAUUUCGCAGGGACCAUUGUGAUCACACAUACUAACCUUGAGGACCACGAAUGAUAAAAAAAAUAUUAAGGAUGCAAUCUGAUAGUUUCGUAAACCUUAGGGACGUUCUGUGAUAAUAAGCCUAAAUAGUAAUUCAAAUUUUCCCUUUUUCUUUUUCCCUUUAAUAUUCACCAAGUAAAACAUAACUACUAAUCAAAGUAAUUAAAAAGAGAGCUACUUAAAGGGUAUAGCUGCGUGGCUAGACUUUUAAAAUAUUAUAUUAUUCGGAGUACCGCCGCGCGGCUAUACUUCGAAGAUAUUCUUUUGAGGUGCCCUUUGUGAACACCCCACAUCGAAAAUCCACAAUCCUAUAAAGGUCUUUAUAAACAAAGCUCUAUGAUGGUUUGGUAAGUGUGGUUAACAUUAGAGAGUUGGGGUAAUGGCCACGGCUUUGGAUUUGGCGCUGAUUAAUAAUAAUUAUAUUAUAUUAAUCAAAGACUUGGGCCUUGGGGCUCUUGGGUUUUGGAGAAAUUUAAUUAAGACACCCAAACGAGAAUAAGCAAUUUAUUAUUUUCGUUUUUGACAUAUCCUUUCAAUUUAAAUUUGAAUAAAAUUAGGUUUGAAAAUUGCACAAAAUAAUUUAAAAUAAUUAAUUACUAUUUAUUGAGCAAUUUUUUAUUUCAUGCAUCUUUUCGAGAUCUAGAACGUCCCAAGUCACUUGAAGCAGCUUCAGUUCUCCAGACCCCCAAAAAACGAUGUUUUCUGCUGUAAAACUAGAUUACAUCUUCCCAAUGUAACAACACAUACAUAUUUUCCUUACAUUUUCUUAAUGUCAUGCAAACAAAACUUCAAUUUUGAACAUAGGAAUCAGUAAGUGAUGGGCGGACUCAUUUUUUAUGGGUCAAAAGCUGUAUUACAAUAGCAAUAUAGAAUGGAGAGUGGUGUUCAAGUACAUAUAACGAGCAACAGUUUUGAAAUGUUUCAUAUUAGAUGGGCUGGUUUUUGUUUUAAUUAUUAACUUCAGGGUCUAGGGUUCAAGUCACAGAGAAGGCACACCUGAGUUUUUAUUUAUUUAUAUUUUAUAAAUAUGUAUUUUUUUAAAUGUUUUCACUUGUUAAUUUUACUUUGAUGCUUUUGUCAUGCCACAUGUGUGCACCCUGUUCGACAAGCCUCCUAUAGCCAUGUUGAUGACAGAUGUCGAAGCAAGCUGCCUUGAGAAUUUCUUGGGCACGUCAUGGGCACUUCUAGGGAAUGCGUUGAAUGGACACUUCUUGGGCAUGCGUUGAAUAGCCAUGUUUCGGGCAUGCGUAGAAAAUUGCACAAAAUAAUUUAAAAUAAUUAAUUACUAUUUAUUGAGCAAUUUAUGAAAUAAGUAACAUAUUUAAAUAUUCACUAAAAAAUAAGAAUUAAAACACAAUUACUAAUUAAAGUAAUUCAAAAAGGAUAAGAUAUUACUUAAUUACAUAUAUUAAAUUAAGGAAGUUAGCCAAAAAAAAAAGUAAAGAAACUAAUUUUAUAUUUUUAAAAAUUAAAAUUUUCUUUUAAAAAAAAAACAUGAACACUUCUCUCGAUGAAAUUUCGUUGGCACAGAUCUAUGCCGGCAAAAUUUACCGGAUUAAGUUUCUCCCGACGAAAAUACCUGUGCCGACGAAAUUUUGUUGAGAGAGGUCUUUUAGUAUAUAUAUAUAUAUAAACUUAGGAUGUUUAGGUUAAUUAAUUUUUAAAAAUGUUAUCGUUAGUAAUUAAAUAAUAAAUUUGCCUUAUUUAAUUAGUAAAAUUAGUAAUUAUAUUAUAAUUAUUAUUUAUUUAGUGAAUAAUUAGUCUUAAAUUUAUCAAUUAACUUCAUGAGUUAUAUUACUUAAUAAAUAGUAAUUCAAUUUUUUCUUUUUCUUUUUCCCUUUAAUAUUCACCAAGUAAAACAUAACUACUAAUCAAAGUAAUUAAACAGAGAGCUACUUAAAGGGUAUAGCUGCGUUGCUGGACUUUUAAAAUAUUCUAUUAUUCGGAGUACAGCCGCGCGGCUAUACUUUGAAGAUAUUCUUUUGAGGUGCCCUUUGUGAGCACCCCACAUUGAAAAUCCACAAUCCUAUAAAGGUCUUUAUAAACAAAGCACUACGAUGGUUUGGUAAGUGUGGUUAACAUGGGAGAGUUGGGGUAAUGGGCUUGGCUAUAGGCUCGACUUUGGAUUUGGCGCUGAUUAAUAAUAAUUAUAUUAUAUUAAUCAAAGACUUGGGCCUUGGGGCUCUUGGGCUUUAGAGAAAUUUAAUUAAGACGUCCAAACGAGAAUAAGCAAUUUAUUUUUUUUCGUUUUUGACAUAUCAUUUAAAUUUAAAUUUAAAUGAAAUUAGGUUUGAAAAUUGCACAAAAUAAUUUAAAAUAAUUAAUUACUAUUUAUUGAGAAAUGAUAUUGGGCUUGACAAUCUUAUUCUUUGAGCUGAACCUGCAGUUUAGGCCGAGCCUACUAUGAUAUGGUCAUUGAUUUUGGGCCUUUCUUCCUUUUGAGCCCAAUCAUCACCCUAAUGUGUUAUUGUCACGUCAUUUUCCUUUUGUGGGUCCAAGAACGUUUCAGGUAUAAACACAGACCUUAAGGACGAAAAGUGAUAAUUUUAUGAAUCUCAUGGACAAUUUAUGAUAAAAAGCCUUAUUUUUAUGAUGUAUUCAGUAUUUUUUGCAUUAUGAUUUGAAUCCUUUUAGAAUUUAUGCUUCUAAUAUAAUGCUUUUAUUCAGAAGUAAGAAUUUUGAUUAUCACUAAGCUGUCGGAUAUGCAUUCACCAACUAGUUUUUUGAUUUCAUUGUUAUUUUUUGUUCUUAAUUUUGGAGGGCAUUUGAUUGUGAGCGAGGAUUACCAUCUCAUUCAUUGAUAUUAGAUGAGUGUGAUUUAAUAUACAGCACACAUCUCAAAAUCAAAUUCAUCUUUUGAUAAUGCUUAGGGGUGGUUAGCAAAAAUACUUGCUCCCUUAAUUUUUAAAGUGAUCACAGGUUUUGAAUCCCCUCAUCCCCUGAGAUAAAAAACAACGCUCUAUUGAGCGUUAAUAUUAGAUCAGAUGGUGUUGAACUCCAAGUAUUUUAAAUUUAAUUAAAAAUAUGUAAGAAAUUUGUAGCUUAAGUGAUUAAGUAGUUACCGACAUCUAAGGUCUUGUAUUCGAAUAUCCCUUUCCUAAUAGCGCAUGUGUAAAAAAUAAUAAUAUUAAAAAAAGUCAAGAAGAUGCUUCUCAGCAUGUUUUUCGGCCAAUUUCAAAAUUACAUAUAUGCCCUCUAUUAUCUCCAUGCAAAAAUGCAUUAAUGGGUAUAUAUUAUGGUAAUUGCCAUGGACACAGGUGGCUCUAGAUAGAGCUAUUUCUCCUUUUAUGAAAGGAAUCUCCUUAAGAAGGGGUGGACAUGGAUGACAACUCUGACAGAGCAACGACCUUGAAGAGAUACUCAACGUGGCUAAAUAUGCCUGUGAAAUUUUUAAAAAAGAACAAAAACAAGAAAAAGAAAAGAAAAGCGUUUCCCUUCAUGCAUUCAUGACUCAUGAUUCAUGAAUGAGAAGACUACCCAACCCAAUUUCCUCAACCCUAUUUUCAGUAAUGACAAAACAGAAAUUGCAAAACUCCAAUUUCUCCAAAUAUUAUAUAGUGGUAUCUACAUAUAUAAAGCAAAAGAUAAAGAAUGAUAAAACAUUCAAAAUAUCAAAAAAUGUCAUUGGGUAAUGCAAACAUUAAGAAUUGAAAGUAUUAAUUAAGAGUGCUACUACUUUCACCCACCUGCCUAUUUUCCCACCCACCUUAUCUUUAAACUUUUAAAGACAAAUUUAACCAUACUGUAAAAUGACUUAAAAGGACUUAAGGAAAAAAAAUAGAGAAAAAAAAAAAGACGUAGACUUUUCAAGUUCUCACGAACCCUAUCGUUUGAUAGAAAGAAAAAAAAACACAAGAAAGCUACGACUCCUUGCUCAUGAUUCCUCUUAUAACUUUUCAGUGCUCAGAACUUAAUUCUCAAAUAAUUUUCUUCUCUUUUCUAUUCAUUCAAUCAAAUUGUUUAUGAAGAAGAAAACGACAAGAGAAUCAAUGUUGAAGGGAACAGUUUUGGCGAAAAAAUAAGGAAAUCCUAUUUGAACAUAAUUUCUAAGAUCUUUACGAUUACUUAAAGCAUUGGGAGAUGAGUAUUUCUUGGACUCUGAUUUUUUUUCUUAAACUAAUUAAAAAUCUGAAAACUUGGGGAUGAAUCAACAAUUCUAUGAUUUAGGCUCUGUUGAUUACACAAAGAACGUUCCUUACAAAAUCAGUUUGGCUGAGAAUUUUUUUGAGGUAUGAGAAGGUGAAGAAGGCUUUUGGGGUUAAUGAGUCAUUGGUUUUUGAGGAAUGCAGUGAUUUGGUGGGGGAUAUUUUGCAUGAAGAUGUGAUGAAAAGUGUGAAAUACAUGGUGAAAUAUUUGAUGAAGAAGGACAAGUCUUGUUGUACCAGAGGAAGCUUGAUUUGAGAGAUGGUGUGGUUUUCAUUGAGGCAAAGAGAGGUGUAUAGUAAACAUGAGAGACAAAAAGAAAUAAAGUGUGAGAGAUGGAAAAUAAGAUACAGCAAAAAUGAGAGAGAUGUGUGGGCCGUCAGAGAGAGAGAAGACGUGAGUAGAGAGAGGAAAUGAGGUAAUAAUUAAACGGGCAUUUUAGGAAUAUUGGUGGGUGAAAAAAUAGGAUUGUGUUUUUUAAAAUUUAUAUGAUGGGUGGGAAGAUAAGGUGAGUGGAAAAAUAGGAUUGUGUUUUUUAAAAUUUAUAUCGUGGGUGUAAAGAUAAGGUGAGUAGAAAAAUAAGACAGAUGGGUGGAAAUAGCAGCACUUUUAAUUAAAUGAGGAUAAUAUGGUAAAUUCACACUUUUUCAUAUUAAAAAAAUUAAAAAAAAAAGAAAAAUCAGAUAAUAGACGGAACACAACUACCCAUUAUCUUUUCUAAUUCUAAAAUAAAUUAAAUUUUUUUAAAAAAAAACUUCUCCCAAGCACGGAAGCACAAAAGCGCGUGCGAAAAGGCUAGUAUAUAUGUAUUCGUUAAUUGCCAGAUAUUAGAUAUUAUUUAGCUCCUUCUUGGAAAAUGAUAUGGGAUCCAAUAUAAUUUAGGAAAAAUCUCCUGUCGAAUUUUUUCUAAAUUUAUAUAUCAAUAUAUAUGGACAUAAAUAUUCUUUUGGAAGAAAUGUGUAGAUAGAUGGUAAAUUGGCAACCAUUUUCCAAAUUAGAAUUUUUACCAAAUUAUUUCAUCGUAAUAAUUUUUAUUUUAUUUUAUCAAAACUCUCAAUAUACAAUACAUAAUUUUCAGACUGUUUAUGUUUGUCUGUACUUGCAACAACUUAGAAGACACAUGCAGAAUAUAGAGUUGAGGAAUUGGUUGGAAUUUAUGAAUUUUCUGGCUGACAUCAACAAAAGAAAGGUCAGCCAUGCAUGAUGAGAAUAUAAACUGUCAAAAUUAUGACAGAUUCUAGCAUCCAACAAAGAGACACUGAAAGCAUUAAGGCCAGUAUUUGCAGAUAAGAAUGGCCUCACCUCUCACACUGUAUUUAAUUUCUGGUUUUGGAAAUUUGGCCAAAAAGGAAAGAAAAAAAGAAAUAUAUAUGGACAGAUAAUACGCGGCGCCUAGACUCAGACUAUAUUCCUUUAAUUUAUUUUUAUUUAAUUUUUUUCUUUAAUAAUGCAUAAAAGAUAAUUGGAGCUUGGUUGUCAAAAAUCUGAGGGAGUGUAUGAGAGAAUCUGUAAUUAUGUAAUCUAAGUUGUCUUGUUGGGAUUUCUAUUCACACUCUUCUUUUUUUAUUUUUUUGUUAGAGCAUUCAAAUUGAAUUCUGUGGAUUCUGCUCUUCACUUUUCUCUCCUCCCUAUACUCUCACUCUCUCUUUAUAUACCAACCCUCACUGUCCUCUUGUCUCCACCAAACAACCAAGAUCUGAGAGAAAGAUACAAAGCUAGCUAGCUAAGCUUAGAGAGUGAGCCUUUAGAGAGACAAAAAUGGGUUCAACUUCAAAUCCUCUUGAGCUAAAUUCUCUUGAUCUUGCACUUAGUCUAAAGCCCUCUUAUGUCCCAAAAUCACUCAAUCACUUAUUCAGUGAUCUGGCAAGUAUAGAUAAUGUUCCACACAAAUUGUCUGUUUUGAAUGAGUAUCUUCUAAAACACCAAGAAGAGCUCCACAGAGUAGAGGAAUUUAAAAGAGACCUACCUCAGUGUGUUCUUCUGUUGUUGGAUGGUGAGCUAUAGCUACCCCCAUUUAUUUAUUUUUCUUUUUUCUCUCUAAGAAAAUUGUUGAAGGGUUUGAUCUAUGUUGAUUUACCUCUAAUGGUUUAUUUUAUUUUUUAUUUUUGACUGUUGUUUUUUCUUGGUUGUGAUAAUAUAUAGCUAUACAAACACUCAAUAACGAAAUUGAGAAGUUGAGUGGUCAAGAUCAGUUCGAUGCAUGUAAGAAUAGAGGCUCAUGUGAGGAUCCAGUAGAACGGCGGAGUGCGUUCCGAAAAUAUAAGAGCUCAUCACCUCCGUUUAACCCUAGGCCUCGCAACCAAGAUCAUACAAGUCAAGACCAUAAGGUAGGUGGCAUAGACAUGCAAAAAUUCAGUUUCUCUUAUUUUUUAAAAAUAUUUUUCCCUCUUGUGUUUUGAUAAAUAAUUAUUUGAUGUGAUUUGACACAUUUUGGUGAUCUUAUUGAAGGUGAAGGGAAAGGAGCCGAUCCUCAUGGAGCCAAGUCCCAGGAGGCCUUUCCCAUGUGAUCUCAACAUGGAGGCAAGCGGUUCAGAACUGGAGCUAGAGCCAGAACCAGAUCCACAGCCACAGCCAGAGGUACCUCCGCCUAUGUGGAAACACAGCAGGUUAAGCUGGACGCAAGAGCUCCACACAAAGUUUGUGGAGGUCUUGAGCAUGCUGGGAGGUCCUGCAGGUGAGAAUAUUUGAAUCAUUUUGGGUGGGAUCUAGGUUUUUGGGUAUAUAUUUUCAACAUAUUCCGAAUAUAAUAUUAUUUAAGGCUUGAUGCCAAUAUAUUGUUUGUUUAUUACAUUUGCCCUUUUGAGCAGAAGCAACUCCAAAACAAAUUAGGGAGGCCAUGCAGGUCGAGGGGCUUACGAACGACCAAGUGAAGAGUCACCUGCAGGUUGGCUUUGAAUUGUAAUUUGUGAAUCAUAAGAAUAUUACCUUACAAAGACAGACUUGUUAUUAUCCGAACUGAUGAGAAUCUAUACAUUUGGUUGGCUGCUUUAUUCCGAACUGUACAUAUUUUUAUGAGAUUAAUUAUCAAUUGUGAUUCUCCUUAACUAGCAUAUUUAUAUUAAGGGAAAGGCGAUAAACUCAUGUUAGUCUUUAGUUGUUAAUUUUUUGUCAUUGCGUGCAUAACAGAAUCUUUAGAUUGGAUCAAUUUAGUUGCAAUGACAUCUUAAUGAUAGAUCCUUCUAUGUACACAUUAAAAAUGAGAUAUUUCUCAUGCGUUGGAUCGCUUGAGUAGCAAUGAUGUCUUAAUAUACAGGGGAUCUUUCUCAAGCGCACAAGAAAAUCUAUUCAUUGGAUCAUUUUAAAAGCAAUGAUAUCUUAAUAGUAGAUUUUCUAAUGUUGAAGUUAUAUUUUUCUCAUUGAUCAUUUUAGUAGCAUUGAUAACUACUUAAUAGCAGAUUUUCCAAUGCUCAAAUUCUAUACAAGAUAUUUAUGCUCAACAUACAUGGGAGAUCUUUCUCAAGCGCAUGAGAAAAUCUAUUCAAUCGGAUCAUUUUAGUAGCAAUAUCUUAAUAGUAGAUCUUCCAAUGCUCAAGUUACAUACAUGGUAUUUUUCUCAUGGGUCAUUUUAGUAGCAGUGAUAACUUAAUAGUAUGUUUUCCAAUGCUCAAAUUUUAUACAUGAGAUUUAUGCUCAACAUAUACAGGGGAUCUUUCUCAAGCGCAUGAGACAAUCUAUUCAUUGGAUAUCAUUUUAGUAGCAAUGAUAUCUUAAUAUAGUAUAUCUUCCAAUACUCAAGUUAUAUACAAGGUAUAUAUAUAUAUAUAUAUUUUUUCUCAUGGGUCAUUUUAGUAGCAGUGAUAAUUAGUAUGUCUUCCAUUGCUCAAAUUAUAUACAGGGAGUUAUGCUCAACAUAUACAGGGGAUCUUUCUCAAGCUCAUGAGAAAAUCUAUUCAUUGGAUCAUUUUAGUGGCAAUGAUAUCUUAAUAGUACAUCUUCCAAUGCUCAAGUUACAUAUAGGGUAUUUGUCUCAUGGGUGGGUCAUUUUAGUAGCAAUAAUAACUUAAUAGUAUGUCUUUCAAUGCUCAAAUUAUAUACAGGGGAUUUAUACUCAACAUAUACAGGGGACCUUUCUCAAGUGCAUGAGAAAAUCUAUUCAUUGGAUCACUUUAGUAGCAAUGAUAUCUUAAUAGUAGAUCUUCCAUUGCUCAAGUUACAUACAAGGUAUAUUUUUUCUCAUGGGUCAUUUUAGUAGCAGUAAUAACUUAAUAGUACGUCUUCCAAUGCUAAAUUAUAUACAGGGGAUCUUUCUCAAGCACAUGAGAAAUCUAGUUAUUGGAUCAUUUUAGUAGCAAUGAUAUCUUAAUAGUAGAUCUUUCAGCUCAAGUUACAUACAUGGCAUUUUUCUCAUUGGUCAUUUCCAAUGCUGAAAUUAGAUACAGGAUUUGUGCUCAACAUAUACAGGGGAUUUUUCUCAAGCGCAUGAGAAAAUCUAGUCAUUGGAUCAUUUUAGUAACAAUAAAUCUUAAUAGUAGAUCUUCCAAUGCUCAAAUUAUAUACAGGGGAUUUUUCUCAUACGCACAUACGCAUGAGAGAUUUUAGGCAUCAUAUUAGUUUAGUGACAAUGAUAUCUUGAUUGAACAUCCUCACAUGUGCAAUUUAUGUGCAUUUUCUCAGGCUCAUGAAAGAUUCUGGUGAUUAAAUUACUUAAUGGGCCAAUGAUCUUAUGAUAAAUUUAGCCAUGCGUAUACAUGCGCGCAUGAGGGUAUUGUCAUAGUAUCCAUAUACAUGCCCCAUUCUGAUAAUCUUCCCUAUCUAAAAUGUUGGUAUAGCUUCAUAGGGAUGAUAUUUGUUCCAAAUGCUAUAGGUAUAGCAAUUCUGAAUUGAUGCUAAGCUUAAUGAGUGUACGUAAUAUAUUUGCUAAAUAUAUAUGCGCUCGAGAAACUUGAAAUUAUGGUGCCGCACCAAAUACCUUUAGAAUAUUACAAAAGGGACCAACAAAACUUAACGGGCCUCAAGAAACAGUGUGACUGCAAAACAAACCAACAGGGUCAUUUAGGCCCAAUCCCCAAACAAAGUUCUUUCCCUGCUGCUCUUUAUGAAUGAAAGUUGAAACCACUCAUUUAUUUCACAUGCAAUUUAAUUUGAGCUCUCAUAUUAAUUAUUUAAGCACUAAUUUUAAGAGUAUUUGCUAGAAUUUGAUGUUUGAUGUUGAUGAUUUAGUGGUGCUGAUGGACAAGUCUCAACUGUGUGUGUGUUUUGCAGAAGUACAGGCUCAACAGCUUGGGCGUCAAACCAGCAGCUUCUGCCAAAAGUUAUAAGAGGAAAGUCCCGUUUUACUUCAGGGACUUUUGGAACCCUAGCGCUUCUCAGCAGCAGCUCGAAAGUGCAGGGAAUGGUGGAGGUGGCUCUAGCAGCAGGGGAAAUGCAGAGCCAGAAAUGAGAAAAUCAAAGAGAACCUGGUUAGGUGAUGCUUAGUUAUGCAUCUAUGAUGGCAUGUAUAGCAUGAUUAGGAUUCAGGAAAUAAUAAGAGCUUCAAAGUUGUUUAUAAUUUCUUCUUCUAAUUUUUCUUUUUGGGUCUCAAAAGUUGUUUAAUUUCAUGUGCAUUGUAGCUGUAUAAUUCUACAAAGGGAGCUCAUAAUUAAUGCAAACAGUUGCACAAAAUCUCAUAAUACAUCGGGAUUUUUUACAAGUAAUGAAGUUUGUCAGAUGAUGAGAACCAUAGCUUUAUUCCAAGUACAAUAUUUCUGUGUCGACUACAUGCUCCUUACGAAGUAUAAACUUACAAGCCCUACUACAUAUGCUUCUGAUAAUUGCACAACCCAUACAAGAAUUUAUACAUACAAACUUAACCAACAUGUGAAAGACAUUAUUUGAGAGUUAAUUAAACAUGAUUUAUAUAGUUAAAUCACUUCUGUUUAAUAUCAAGGAGAAGUAGUUUGCUUUGAAGAAGAAGAAAAAGCAGGUGGGAUUCCAGGGAUGCGAGGUAUAGGUGGGAGUGGGAAUGGUAAUGGAGGGAGGAGUGGGAAAGAUGGUGGUGGUGGUGAUGGUGAUGCAGUAAAACCAGGUAUAGGUGGCAAGUUGGGAAUCAAUGGUGUUGGGCCUGCUGGUGGAGUAAAACCUGGUAUUGGGGGUAAAUUGGGAAUUAAUGGUGCUGGUUGAGGCUGAAAUGGAUUGGGGAUAAGUGGAGUUGGCUGUGGCACAAGUGGAUUUGGAGGCAAAAUUGAUGGUGGCUGAAAUGGGUUUGGUGGGAAGAAAGUAUCUGGGUGGGCUACUUUUUUAUCAGUUAGUUGCCCCGCCUCUGUAGUUUUACCAGGAAUGGGGGGUAAAACUGGAAUUCCUGGAAUUCCUGGAAGGGGAGGGAGAGGAGGAAGUUGUGGCAAUGGUGGAAGAAAAGGGACUGUAGGAAGAGGAGAAAGAUCAGGUAUUGUGGAGUUUUGAGUUAGUUGCCCUGCCUCUGUAGUUUUACCAGGAAUGGGGGGUAAAACUGGAAUUCCUGGAAUUCCUGGAAGUCCUGGAAGGGGAGGGAGAGGAGGAAGUUGUGGCAAUGGUGGAAGAAAAGGGACUGUAGGAAGAGGAGAAAGAUCAGGUAUUGUGGAGGUUUGAGUUAGUUGCCCUGCCUCUGUAGUUUUACCAGGAAUGGGGGGUAAAACUGGAAUUCCUGGAAUUCCUGGAAGUCCUGGAAGGGGAGGGAGAGGAGGAAGUAGUGGCAAUGGUGGAAGAUAAGGGAGUGUAGGAAGAGAUGGAAGAUCAGGUAUUGUGGGGUUUUGAGUUGGUGGUGGAAAUGUGAGCUCAUCAGUUGGAGGAAAUGAGAAUUUCCGAGAACUGAAUUCCUUGGAGUUUUGAAUGCUUGGUUUUUGGUUACAUAGGCUUGGCUGCUUUAGAGGCUUAAAGGUGAAGAACCCAGCUGAGAAAAUGUGUGUUCCUUGCUUUCUUGACUUGAGAUGCAGUGAAGAUGAAGUGGCUAUUGAGGCCACAGCACAAUAUGGUUCACUGCUGCUGAUUAAUUUCACAGAACACCCUUCAAUUUUCUUGACAUGCUUGCUCACAGAGAAAGGCAGAUGAACUCUGAACACUCCAUGGCUAUCUGUUUUCACUUCUGUCUGGAAACUUGGUUUUGAACUCCCAUCUUUGCAUUCAACACCAACAGAAGCCCCUGCAGAAAAAAUAAGUUGAAAAAUAAGUCAACUGAACGCAAAAUUCACAGUAUAAAAAGCACUUUUUAAUUGAGUUGUUGUUGGAAAAUUUGAAAUGAACCUGAAAUGAAGUGGCUGGCAUGUGAGAAUUCUGCUUGGAAACAUGUGUCACAGUAGACAGUGCCUACAACAACUGCAGAUGGGGUCUUCUUCUCAUGGCUAGCUUCUGAGGGAGUACUUAGUGAGAGAGUACUGAUCAAAAAGAGUACUGUAAAAAACCAAGACAUUUUAGAGCAUCUAUUGCCUCUGAGCAACUCUAACUCUAAGAAUGAGUAGAUGUAGGUUGCCUUUUUAUAUAAAUUCCUGAGGCUUAUAGCUGAUAUAAAUAUUCUCUACAGCAUUCAUUAUACACUUUUUUUGUUUCUUUCUGGUUGUUUCGAGGCAUAAAAAAUGAACUUUUUUCUUCAAAUUUUAUAGCCUGCUGGGCCAUCAAGGUAAUUUAUUUCACUCAUGCAAAAACCAGUCAACUGCAAACUAGAAGAAGUGAAUGUAGGUUCAUUUCCUACCACCAAACAACCCAAAAAAGAAGGUUAAUACUGUGAUUGUGAGGUAGAUAUAAAGAGGCCCCUAACUUUUGCUUUGUUUGCUUACAUUUAUUGAGUUUGUUUCUUUGUUUGGUGUAAGAAUUCUAAAGAGAAUAGUUGGGUCCCCGUUGGUUCACGAGACAAGUGGAGUAACCACAAAUUUCAUGAGUCCGAAGCUGUACACUAUCAACAACACAGGUUGAAGAUGUUGUUGGGUUUAUUUAUGUAUGUUCUUCACACAGAAACAAAAUGAUGGGCGCCUACUAUGAGCUGCUCUCAGUAAUAUAUAUCUGUGCAAAUUGAAAAACUCCCCAAGUACCAAACAAAGUUUACAACUCAAUGUAUGGAUCAGAAUCUUAUUAAUAAGGCUUUUUGGUUCAGAAUGUUAUGAUAAUCAUUAGAUUCAUUUAUUACAAUUUGCUUUAAAUUUUCUAAUUGUUUUUAACAAGUCUUUUCAGUGCAGGUGAUCCAUAAAUAGGUAAAGUAAACAGUCAAGUGAUUGCAACCGAAGAGUCUUUUCCUCAGUCUUUUGACACAAAGUUUUCUGACAAAAAAUAAAUAAAUAAAAUUUAGAUUUUAGCAACAAAAAAAUUUUCACUUUUGAAAAAAUCUAAAAAAAUUUCGAAAAAGACAUAAAAACUCCUUAACUUUCAAACCAAAAGACAUGCAAAUAUAAAUGAUUCCUUUGGAAAUCCAAAAAUAAUAAGGGCAUUUUUGUCUAUUUUUGCUUAUUUUCAAAAUAUUUCUCUCUAUUUUGGCAUUUUCCAAAAUAUCCCCAAAAAAAAACGACAAAGUUUAGACAUCAUCAGCAAUUAUAAGUCACUUGAGCACAGAUGUAUAUUCAAUAAUUGGUUUGGUUCAAAAACUACCAAUCUACAUAGUACAAUGAUUGUGGGACUGAUUAUUGGGAAUUUGUGAGACUUAUUUUAGCAGAAAAUGGACAAUGCAUAUGGCAUGCAAUGAUCCAAACUCAAAACAAAGAAGCUACGACUUCCAAGUAUUUGAGCAAUUUCAAGCCAACUCAGAAAUCUCUGUACUCUGUAGGCUUAUAAGACACUCUCCCAUGUGUUGAUGUUGCAUACAGAUUCCCUUUGCAUCAAUAUCCUUCCAUUCCAACAGUCUGUUUUUUUUUUUUUCUUUUUUAAAUUCAAUUUUCCACAUUUUUUACUGUCCGUCAAAUGCAUAGCAUUUUGGGUGAAAAAGAAAAACAAGAACUUCUACUACUGACAAAAGAGACACCAGUCACACCACAGAGGCACAAACUCCAGAAUUAUGAUAAUUACAUCCUGCAUUGGAAAUUGACAGAUUGUCUUCACGUUCCCCACAGUUUUGCAUUGAGCUGCUAACAAUCCCACAAACUUGCACCGUUUCAUUCUUUGUCCGUGGGCCACAAUUUUUGACAAAUUUGACAAUCUAAUAAGGCGGUUCCUGACAAUCCAAGGUUAUCUCCAUGACAACCACAAGCCACUGUUUCACUGUUAUCUUGUGAGGAAAUUGAAAUGUAACACCAAAUUUUCUUUUACACAGUGCAAGAGAUAAUGCAUGUUAAAAGUUAAAAAAACAAAAGGGGGAUGUUUUUGUCUAAUUCUAUGAUGUACAAAACAUCUCUUUGUCCUUCACGGGUUCCAAAACACAAUGUCACCUCUUCACUUCACGGGCGACCUUAAGCCUGUGGGCUGAGGGCCUUCGUGUCUGCUUGUUGAAUGUGGAGUUUUUCAGCCGAUGGAUACCAUUCCCAAAUGGAUACGUCAAGCUUGAAACAUACGAUGAGAUUCUUGAUUAGAUCCUUGAUGGCUUGUCCAUUAUUAUUGAAUUGAAACAACAAAGUUUGAUUGGUAACAAGGUUUGCCAACUCGAAGGGUAAGAUUGUAGCCAAUCAACUAAACUUUUUAGUGUCAGGUGCAUCCACUGAAUGUAAGGUCUCAUAUUUGAUUUACAUAAAUACAAAGAUGAUAUUUAUUUGUGACGGGUGUAUAGCUUUGUUGUGGGUACGCUUCUCAUUGUAAAAGUAUAUUUGUAAUAACAUCAGUAAUUUUUUCUUUUGUAUUAAAUAACAUUAGACACCUCAUUCAUGCAGGGAAGUUCUUUUAUCACAUUGAAUGUAUAAUGUAUAGCAGCAAUUUUCAUCCGUACAAUAAUGUAAUCAUCAGCAUGUGAUAUUUCUGUUUGUUCUUCUAUCUGAGUUUGUAUUUAUUCCAGUCUGAAUGCUUGAUAUGGAGAAAGAAAGUACUUGAUGAGCCAUCUGUCCAUGAAAUCAUUGGUUUCUAAAACAGCAUAAUAUUUGUAGAACAAAACCAUAGAUUAAAUUGUUAGAUUUCUUUAUGCACAAACAAGAUCUUUCACACAAAACUGUAAUACGUAUAAAGACAUGAAGACAUAUCUGGAGCCAUUUUCCUUGAGUACACAGCUUCUAAACUCAUCCAAUCCGUAGCAGCAGCAAUCCUAGCAAGAAUAGGAAUGGCUCAAGACUUCUGCUCUCUCUCAGAAUCUGUUUCAGCUCUCUCUUUAUAAUGAGAAUAGGUUUAAAGAACGUGUCUGAUGAGAGCAGGGCCUUAAGCUUAUAUAGGGCUAGGUCAAGUCGUCUCUAUUCAUCACCUAGGGCUGACUUGACUAAUCUUCCAAGUCCACCAGAUUGGUUCACGCAUAAAUGGAAAUAAAUAGGACCCCUUAAUAGGCCUCAAAACCCUUCCUUAUUUCACUAAGUUUUGGGCCUCAAUGUACAACUUAAUUUAAACUUUUAUUAAAAUAUAAUAUAACUUAGUAUCUAGUACACCGAUCUAAAUAGGAAAACAUAACAUAAAUAAACCCAGCUGCAAGUUUGUAUAUUGGACUGGAGUGGUACCAUUUGCAGAACAAAACAAUGUGAUACAGCGCAAACUAUAUUGGCCAGUUUGCAGAUUCGAAGAAAUAAUGCAAAAUAAUCACAACCAUCAUCUGUAUGCAAAAACAAAAAAACAAAAACAAAAAAAAAACAAAAACAAAAAAAACAAAAAAAAAAAAAAAAAAGAAGAAGAAAGAAAGAACAAUCAACGAUGCUUGUCAUAAAAAACAACUGCAGAUGGGUGCUUCUUCUCAUGGCUAGCUUCAUGAGGGAGUACUUAGUGAGAGAGUACUGAUAAAAAAGAGAACUGUAAAAAACCAAGACAUUUUAAAGCUUCUAUUGCCUCUGAGCAACUCUAACUCUAAGAAUGGGUUGAUGUAGGUUGCCUUUUAUAUCAAUUGCUGAGGCUUAUAACUAAAAACUAAUAUAAAUAUUCUCCACAGCAAUCAUUAUAAUUUUGUUUCUUUCUGGUUGUUUUGAGGAAUGAAAAAUGAACUUUUAGUUUUUUUUUUUCUUUCAAAUUUUAUAGCCUUGCCCAUCAAUAGUUUCUUUAUUUCACUCAUGCAAAAACCAGUCAACUGCAAACUAGAAGAAGUGAAUGUAGGUUCAUUUCCUACCACCAAACAAUCCAAAAAUAAGGUAAAUAUUGUGAUUGUGACUGUGAGGUAGAUAAAAAGAGGCCCCUUAAUUUUUGCUUUGCUGGUUAUUUGUCUACUUAAAUUUAUUGAGUUUGUUUCUUUGUUGGCGUAAAUACUAAAGAGAAUAGUUGGUUCACAAGACAAGUGGGGUAACCACAAAAUUUCAUGAGUCUGAAGCGUUACACUAUCAACAACGUUGAAGAUGUUGUGUUUAUUUAUGUAUGUGCUUCACACAGAACCAAAAUGAUGGGGGCCUAUUAUAUUGGUUAGAAGUACAAAUAUAUAUCAUCUCUAUAAAAAAAUCACUUGAAUCCGAUAUCAUUUGACCACUCAAUUAAAUUAUUGAAAUUUAAGUACUUUCUUGAAGCACCAUGUUCAUUGAUUUUCUUGGUCUCAAUUAGAUGUCUUAAUGAUUUUCAAUUUGCGUGAUUUUUUGCAAGGAUGAUCUCUGAAUGAAGAUGUGAAAAAUAGAUCGUUUGGAUCGUUGAAAAAAAUUUCGCAGAGAAUCCUACACCCUCAAAAUAAAAUUAUUUGAGAAAUCCCUCAAUAGAAGGGGACUAUAUAAUCUGUGAAAAUUGAAAAACUCCCAAGUCCGAAACAAAGUUUACAACUUUCCAUGGUGUCAGAAUAUGUGGUUUGAGCAGAGCACGGGAUCUUCUCGUGACCUAAUGUGGCAUAUUAAUAGGGUUUUUGCUUGGAUUAAAAUAAUAGCAAUGUGAGACCUCCAAAUCUCAUGGAGGUUUUCUACUUCUAUGAGCAUAGAACAACCCCUGAAUCAUUAGAUUCAUCUAUUGCAAUUUGCUCUAAAAUUUCUAACUGUUUUUAACUGCAUAAAAAACAAGACUUUUUGUGCAGGUAGUCCAUAAAUAGGUAAAGUAAUUCCGGCCAAAUUAAAAGUGUCAUGUGAUUACAACCAAAGAGCCUUUUCGUCAGUUAUUUGGCACAAAGUUUAGAACCUUGUAUCACCACUAUCAGUAAUUAUGAGUAAUUUGAGCACAGCUGGGACAACAAUAAAACAAUGUAUAUUCAAUAAUGCAUCAGUGACAAUUGACUGCUAUGGAUAAUGGGUUUGGUGAAAUAAAAAACUACCAAUAUACUACAUACAACAAUGAUUUUGGGAUUUGAUUAUUUGGAAUUUGAGAGACUUACAUUUAGCAGAAAAUGCACAAGCAUAUGUGCGUUUACCCUAAACAUGUUCAAACCUCAGAGAUAGGCUUUAGAUUGUGUGAAUUGUGAACGUGCCACUAUUAGUGGUGUAAAACCCUAAUAGACUUGAAAGAGAAUUAAGUAACUUGCGCACCAAGAAAACUCACUGAAAUCAAAUAAUUGUGAAUUGAAAUGGUAAACUAAAUCAAAGUUUCUUUUCCAUGCCUCAAGACAAAUGACAACUUUAUAAUUUCUCUAAAACAAUAAGGGUAAUAAACAACAAAUAAACAAGUAAACAAAAGGGAUCCAGAUCAAGGGAUCUUAUUAGAUAAUAAAUUGCCACCACCUUGGAUCACUUCUGAUUGAAUUCAGAGGUUAAGGGUCUAGUGGCAAUAGCAGUAGUAUAUCACAUCACCUUCAAUUGAUGAAGAUCAAUUGGAAAUCGAUACCAGAGACAGAUCUGGCAGAGCAAUUAUCAAGAAAGAUAUAGCAUUUGAGAAGGAAUUAGGGUUUGUACUGAAUUUAUUGUUGAAAAGUUGUGUUUGUUAUCGUGAGCUAUCUAUUCCCUUUUAUAUGAAUUUUGACUUGGUGGAGAGAGAUUACAACCUAUGUCAUGCCAUCAUGAGGAUCAAAUCAUAAUCCAUUGGAAUUAAUUAUUUAGUUGAUUGCCUUAAUCGUCAAGUAAUAUCAUGAUUUCUCCUUGAUUUUCUAGGUAAUUAUCAAUUAAUAGAUAAUUCCCUUUCCCAGCCACUUAAACUGGCCCAAGGAAUCUUAACCGGAUUGCAAUACUAAAAUCCCCCCCAAAUUGGCUUAAAUCUCAUCUGUAUAAAAACUAGGCCUAAACAUUACCCCAUAAGCCCAAUAGACUUGAUUAGAGGGAUUUGGGGUUACAUGCAUGAGCGUGACACCAUGCGUCGUUUUCAUUUCAAUCACUUCAAUCGCGCCAUUUUGACUUCUACUUUAGUCUUUCGAACCUUUCUAUCUUCUUCUCACUACGAAGCCUAGAGAUUCUUAGCGAUUAUCGAUACCUUCAACUUUUCCAAACUUUUGUUACCGAAAGUCUCAAGUUUCACCACCCCCUAACCAAUUCUCGUUUCAGAAACCAUUUCUUUGUCUCAAUGGCCACCUCUGACUCCAACGUCCCAAAGCCUAUCUCUGAAAAAUAUGCUAUUAUAUAUGCAUGCCCAAGACAUUUGUGCAUAAUUGGGUAAAGUUGCUGAUGAUGGUCCAACGCUCGUACAAUUUAACUGAGCGUCCAGACUUCAACACUGGGUCCAUAAAGAACAGUCUACUGCAAAGGUUUGAGUGGAUUGGCGAUCUUCAUGACCAGUAUCCGGAGCUUUGGGAAAAGCAUCGCAUUUACGAUGCCAUUAUGCUUUUUCGUUUUGACACUUCGAGGGGUAUUUGUUCUCAACAUAUGCAGGGGAUCUUUCUCAAGCACAUGAGAAAGUCUACUCAUUAGAUCAUUUUAGUAGCAAUAAUAUUGUAGGGCUUUUUCGUUCUGGCAGCUAUAGAUUAGUCUGGGCUACUGUAAAGAGUAAAUUGGAGAAAACUCCCCAUGUGUCUAAGUUCAAGAAUAAGACCCCAAAAGUGCUUCGAAAGGGUAGCUAAGCCUUAGAAAACACCUUGGUCUUCUUCACCAAUGAAACCAACAGUUGCUUACAAAUAAAUGCUUGGCUUGGCUUGAGAAGCUUGUGGCAUGGAAGCUAAGCAUUCAUGAGUUUAGCAAGAGAGAGAGAGAGAGAGAGAGAGAGAGACCAUAUUUUCUACGAGAAACACAGGUUUAAAGCAAAGGAUUUCAUGAGAAUUUGCUGAGGAGACAAGAUUUUUGGGAGCUCAAAAGUCUUCUUGCAACUGUUCCAGUGGUAACCUCUCAUCUAUGGUUAUCACUUCUCCUUCUUUCCUCCCAUAUUUCAUGGCAAGAGCUGAUAAAGGAAGAAAAUAGAUAGCAACGUUGGUCUGAAGGAUGUCUUUUCUCCUAGCAACCUGCUGGCGCUAAUACCCUUUGGUCAUUUGAAUGGUUUGUCUUGAGGUUUGCACCUGGUCACGUGCUAGAGCCUCACAGCAGCCUACAUAUGUGAGUCAUUCCUUGGCUUUUUGUUGUGGUUUUGUCUCCAACCAUGUGCUGGAGACUUUCAAAUAUUUUUUUUGAUCAUUUGGGCCUUCCUAAGGUAAUGGGUUUGUCUACUAGGGAAUGGGCCAACUUCACAAAGUGAUAGACUACUUUUAUUAAGGUGAUGGGUCAAUUUUCUAAAGUGGUGGGCUCUCUUUUUCUCUCAUUUAUGCUUACCCAGAUAUUUGGACUCAAGAAAUGGGCUCGAGUUUUGGGGCUCCCAAGCAAUCUAAAACUUCAAUUUCUCGGCUCAUCAAUGGGCCUCAUGAAUGCUCGUUACCAUCCAUACUACAACCCACUCAGCAAGCCCCGAACAUUUGCAUGGCUUGGGCCUACUUAAGCUUAUAGCAUGGCUAUGUGUAAUAAUGAUUUUCUGCUUGGCAUUGCAUGUUGAUUGGCGUGCCUGAAUUUUAUCGUCUUUGAAAAGGGAUAUGAUGCUUGACGGGAGAAUUAGCAUGGGCUUGUAGAGCUAGUGCCUUUUAUGGGCUCAUUUCAAUUCUUAGCGUGACGGAUUGCAUAUUUAUUUCGCAUGGCACGUGGAUCGUGGCUCUUGCAAGCAUGCAUGACGAAUUUCGCAUACUCCAAACCGAGUCUCUUCUUAAUUAGGUGUCGCACUGGACCAGGAAUUUAUUUGGACCUCAAGUUACAUACACGAUUUUUUUUUUCUUCACAUGGGUCAUUUUAGUAGUUGUGAUAACUUAAUAGUAUAUCUUCCUAUGUUAAAAUUAUAUACAUGGGAUUUUUCUCAUGCGCGUGAGAGAUUUAGGUCCCAUAUCAUUUUAUUGUGAACUCUUUAUUGAAUAUCCUCCCAUUCGCAAUUUAUGCGCAUUUUCUCAAGCUCAUGAAAGAUUCUGGUGAUUAGAUUACUUAAUGGAACAAUGAACUUAUGAUAACAUUUGUCAUGCAUAUACAUGCGCGCAUGAGAGUAUUGUCAUAGUAUCUAUACAUGCCCCAUUCUUAUCAUCUUCUCUGCUUGAUCUGGAAAUAUUAUCUAUGAUUCGCUAACACGACACGAAUUCACAAGAAAAAAUCAAUAUUUGGGUUUAGCUUGGACUCGUUAGCCACCCAUUAAGCUAAUAGGUCAUAUCAGUAUCAUUCACGAAUAUUCGCUAACGGGUUGUGUUGGUCAUUCACGAAUUUAAACAGGUCAUGUCCGUGUUUGGUAUUUUCCACCCGUUAACUUAACGGGUCGUGUUCAUAUCAACUCGUUAAGAAAGUGGGUCAACACAAACACAACAAUAUAUUUGGUCCAAGUGCUAUGGGUAUAGCAAUGCUGCAUUGAUCCUAAGCUUUUUUAUUUUUUGUUUGGACGGAUGAUGCUAAGCUUAAUGAGUGCAAUAUAUUUUGCUAAAUAUAUAUGAGCUCAAGAAACUCCGAAUUAUGGUGCAGCACCCAACACCUUUAGAACAUUACAAAAGGGACCAACAAAGCUUAACAAGCCUCAUGAAACACUGUGACUGCAAACAAAUCAACUGGGUCAUUUAGGCCCAGUCCCCAAACAAAGUUCUUUCCCUAAUCAUAUUUACGAAUGGAAGUUGAAAGUUGAAGCCACUCAUUUAUUUCACAUGCAAUUUAAUUUGUGCUCUCAUAUUAAUUAUUUAAGCACUAAUUUUAUGCGCAUUUGGUAUUUGAGGUUGAUAAUUUAGUGGUGCUGAUGGACAAGUCUUAACUGUGUGUGUGUUUUGCAGAAGUACAGGCUCAACAGCAGGGGCGCCCAACCAGCAGCUUCUGCCAACAGUUCGCAGAGGGCAGCCCUGUUUUACUACAGGGACAUGUGGAACCCUAGCGCUUCUGAGCAGUCAAACUCUCGGCAGCAGCAGCUCGAAAGUGCAAGGAAUGGUGGAGAUGGCUCUUCAGUUGGUGGCUCUAGCAGAACCAGAAUUGAAAAAAUCAAAGAGUUAGGUUAGAUGAUGUUUAGUUAUGCAUCUGCUGAGAUUUUGCAUAUGUGUAUAUGAGGGCAUGUAUAGCAAAAGAUUAGGAUUCAGGAAAUAAUCAGAACCUGAAAGUUGUUUAUAAUUUCUUCUUUCUUUUUUGGGUCUCAAAAGUUGUUUAAUUUCAUGUUGAAUUGUAGCUGUGAUGCAUUUUUUGUUUUUGUUUUUGCUUUUUGGGUUUCAAUUUCUGCCCAAAUUGGUGCAGUUUAAGUUCUAAAAUUUCCAUUUUCAUGGACUUGUGUUUCCCAAGCAAACUGGUCUAAGAAGAACAAUUCAAUUUUAGCAUGAAGAAGCAAUUUUUUCUUCUUCUUCUCGAAGGGUCUUUUUGAUUGGACAAUGUUGAAAUGCAGCUCCAAAUUCAGCAAUUCAGGUAUAAUUCUACAGAGGGAGUUCAUAAUUAAUGCAAACAGUGGCACAAAAUCUCAGAAUAUAUUGGGAUUUUUUACUAAGUAAAUGAAGUCUGUCAGAUGAUGAGAGAACCAUAGCUUUAUUCCAAGUACAAUAACUUACAUACUCCUUACAAAGUACAAACUUACAAGCCCUACUACAUAUGCUUCUGAUAAUUGCACACCCCAUACAAACUUAACAUGAUUUAUUUAGUUAAUGAUUUCAGUUUAAUAUCAAGGAGAAGUAGUUUGCUUUGAAGAAGCCCGUGGGAUUCCAGGAAUGCGAGAUGUUGGUGGUGAUGGAUUUGGAGGCAAACUUGUUUUUGGAAUUUGUGGUGUUGUGAAGGAAGUAUCUGGGCGAGCUACUUUUUUAUCAUUUAGUUGCCCUGCCUUUCCUAGUCCUGGAAGUCCAGGAAGUCCUGGGAGUCCUGGAAGUCCCGGAAGUCCUGGAAGUCCCGGAAGUCCUGGAAGUCCCGGCAGUCCCGGAAGUCCUGGCAGUCCCGGAAGUCCUAAUAAUUUUUUGUCAGUUAGUUGCCCUCCCUUUGUAUUUUUACCAGUAAAGGGGGUUAAUUGUGGAAUUCCUGGAAGUCCUGGGAGUCCUGGAAGUCCUGUUCCUGGGAGUCCUGGAAGUCCUACUUUUUUAUCAG